Molecule: long non-coding RNA, 104489 nt
Filed under: Eucalyptus grandis
Lineage: Eukaryota; Viridiplantae; Streptophyta; Magnoliopsida; Myrtales; Myrtaceae
Description: long non-coding RNA (EGRA_LNC002170)
Source: RNAcentral
UCGAGGUGCGCGGCUAGGAAUGCAGCUUGUGAAUGGAGUAGUGGGUGAGGGGCGAAUUUGGAAGGUCUUGGCUGACUUCUGGGCAGAUAUGAUGCUAUAUGUGGCUCCUUCAAAUGAUAUGGCGGCUCAUGCUAAGUAUCUCACCACCGGGGGUGAGUUUGUGACUCACAUUUGGGUUUUGGUCUCUCAUGCGGGCAUUACGAGAGAUCCAUAUGGUGGUGAGUAACAUGAUGAUCCAGAGAGGAGCUGAACUUGGCCUCAUUUUAUGAUAUUAUGCCUAAUCAACUGUGUAAAAUGUCUAUAUGGUUGUGUAUGUUUGCAGUAGUCCCGUUGUCUUGCAUCCAUCCCUGGUCAAAUUCUAGAAAACUUUUUCGUGUAUGAUGCAUGACCUCUUCCUUUACGUGGUGUAAUGUGUAGCUUUAUCAAGGGUCUAUUAGCGAAGACUUGAAUAGGUUGUCCAUUUCUAAGAUUGUAUUAUGUCAAACAUGGGCAAUAUGUAAUGUUUUUGUUGUUGUUUGUUCACACUUUUACAUGUUAGGAUAUACAAUGUCAUGAUCAUGCAGUAGAUAUCUCAUACCUUCACUUGAUAGAUCACUAAGGAAAAGCCUAAGUUUGAGUCUAUCAAUAUACUCAAUUGAAUUCACAUUCACUCAAAAGCUUAAUUCAAUAAAAUUGAUGACUAAAUAUCACACCAAUUUUCCGAUGUGAAACUUUUCUAACACUACUCACAAGUGCAUUUCAAUAAUCUCGCCCUCACAUAUGAUCUUAAUGUUAGGUCUACUCCUUCUUAGUUAGGUAUCCUUCUGUGUUAACAUGUCUCUACUUGAAUCUCCACAUUGUUUGUCAUGUGAAGACCGUAGCAGCAACAGCUACAACCUUCAUCCCUGCUCUCUCCCUCUCUCCAGACCGAAUCAUGAAGUUUGCCAAUGGGGCUACAUUGUUAUAUCACAAUGCCCACCUUCACCGUAGGUCUCUUGAUCGAACCAUAAAGGGUGUGUGGAAAUGACAUUGUUUACAAGAUUCCUUCUUGGAAAUAUUGACCCAAAACGAAUAUGCAUUGGGAGUGGGCAACCAUUCAUUAUCGGAUUUAAUACCAUUUGUUAGGAGCAUGUAGUAAAAAUCCCAUACCUUUACCUGGGGAAAUCGCCAAGAAAGAACUUAAGUUUGAGUCAACCAAUCUAGUUGGAUCAACAAUCAAUUAAAAAUUUAAAUCAAUAAGUUAUGGACAAACUACAAUAUAUUAACUACACAACAUUACAUAAAUUUUCUAAUAUAAGAUUUUUCUAACACAGUUCAUGUGCAUCUCAAUAUACAUUUCCUAGAAACCCCAGCAAAGUAGUGCUUUGAAUGAGGCCAAGAUUGUGGGCGACGGUGGGAUCGAAAUGGCUGGCCACGAACGCUCUGAGCCUGAAAGCUCCAUUUUCUUUGCGAGAUUGCCAAAGACGCUAAUUAACAUGUACAGGCAAGGCUAUGAAGGUCAAUAGAACCUUAAUAUGCAGUGCAAUCCGAGUAAAAUUGCAUGAAGCAUGCAUCCUCAUCCCUGAAUCUCACGCUUUGUGUCCUGUUCUUCUGUUUAAGCUCGUCUUAAGCAAGGACUGUGGAGGAGAGUCUUAUUGGAUGUAGAUGCGGACUGGCCAUUUCCCAUUCUUUUUUAUAAUCUUUUGUCCUGUUCCUUUUUAUCUCUUCCUGACAAUCUAGCAUAAUGUUUUUUUGUUUUUGUUUUGUGAAAAGCCAUAUGUUUCGCUGAAGAUUGUAACUAUUUUAUUCCAGGUGUAUUUCGAAGACAUUUGGUUACAUUGGGAAAUAGCAAAGCGUAGUGCCAUGAGGCUAAUUACUAGAAUCUGAAGAUAACAUGGGGAUCCUCUAGGGGCAAAGUACUCCGUACGUCCGAUGCCAUACCAUCUUGCUGCAAGUUCAGUUUAAUUCUUCUUUACUUCGAACAGUACCCAGCUCAUUGUUGCGAUCCUUCGGAGGCAAACUUGUGGCAGAUUGCUAAAUAGGCGCGAAUGAUUUCUCUUAUGAUGUGCCUAUGUUUAGCACGCGCUCUCCCAAACCGUAUAAAUUGCGACUUGGUUUAUCGAUUAUGUGGCAUCCGAGAAUCUCGACGAUCCGAAAUAUUUAUUUUUGAAGAAAAAGAAAUUUCGUCUUUGAAUGGCCAUAUGGACAAUUGCACCAACGGCCACAUUAUUUUGUCUCUUGGACCGAACCUCCUAUGUACAUUGUCGCGACCCCAUGUAGCCUUGCCAAUUUCUUUCUCCACGCAAGGGUUUCAGUCAUGUACUUGUACAUGAAGCAAAUUGAUUAUGGGAAUAUUAAUUGAUUUCUAUGGAAACCAAAAUGCCUUAUAAUUGUGCAGAAAUUAUGGGCUUAAUUUUUUUAGAUUAUGGGCCAUUUAAUUUGGACCUUUGGCCACAAAUUUUCGGGCCCAAGCAGGCCCAAGAAGCCUCCAAGGUUGUCGACCAAAGGGGGGGGGGGGAGGAACCGGAUAGAGGAGGCCAUGCCACCCUCCACUUGUCCUUUCCUUGAAGCCACUUGUCACCUGCAUGCAAAAGUUAAUUAGUUAACUAAUGAAAGAACAAAGAGGAAUUCGGAACUAAGGAGAGAGAGAGAGAGAGAGAGAGAGAGAGAGAGAGAGAGAGAGAGAGAGAGAGAGAGAGAGAGAGAGAGAGAUUGAUUUGCACUGAUAAAACUACGGAAUAAGCUUUGCUUCGUUUAGUAACUAGCCUAGCAGCACUUCUAGUAGUUAAGGCAUAUCAUCUUAUAUAUACAAACUUUGGAGGCUUGUCUUAAUCCUAUAAAAUAUUAUUUUCCACAUGAUCAUUAGAAAAUAGNNNNNNNNNNNNNNNNNNNNNNNNNNNNNNNNNNNNNNNNNNNNNNNNNNNNNNNNNNNNNNNNNNNNNNNNNNNNNNNNNNNNNNNNNNNNNNNNNNNNNNNNNNNNNNNNNNNUAGUACCCAGUCAGUCAGUGUUGUAGCCGAAUGAAUUGGAAUUUUUCUUCUGGGGGUGAAUAUUACAAACGAUAUUCUAUUACAGAUGGUCAAAAGGGCUCUUGGCAGCAGCCUUCACAAGCUGCCGUAGAAUAAAUUUGGCUUAUAUUAACGGCGGGGAGGUUCGUGCCUUGAUUCUUUCUUAUUUUCUGUUAGUGAGUGGGGGGGGGUAUAAAUAGAGGGCCUCCCCCCCCCCCUCCCUUACCUUUUCUUUUUACCCCUUUCCCGCACACAUAUGUGUUUAAAUUGAAUUUACCAAAAUCCACACACACAGAGAGAGAGAGAGAGAGAGAGAGAGAGAGAGAGAGAGAGAGAGAGAGAGAGAGAGAGAGAGAGAGAAACCGAGAGUUUGAGCGAGCGGCCCGAGCAAGAGAGAAAGAGAGUUUGAGCGAGAGAGUGGGCACGCGGGUGUGAGCCGCGAGGGAGGAAAAGGAGGAUCGCCUUCCGCCGUGUCCGAGCUGCCGCCAUCGACGCCGCCGAUCCCCGUCGCCGAUUGAGCUGCGUUCGAAGUCCCAAGUUUCUGUUUUUGUUUGCCGAUCAAGCUAGGAGAAAUGCUGGUAGAUGUGAGAAAAUGCAGAAUAGGAAGCUGCAUGUUGAGUUUUUGGAUGAUUGAGAUAAAGAUUGAAUGCCGAAAUGUGGAGGAUUGAAUGUGAUGUUGCUGUUUUGUGUUGGAUUGAACUAGAUGAGUACUAGAUCGAAGCUACCAGCCAUUGCAUGUUGUAUUAGGGUCUUGUAUGUUUCGAAAAUUGAGUGUGAGAUGGCUGUGUGGAUCGAGCAAGGUGAGGAAAGGGUUGCCGAGGGAAAGGAUGUGGUAUAUGUUGAGAUGAGUGAGUUUAGGGAUGAAUGUAUGCUUUGAGCCGAGCUGUGGAAGGUUUUUCUGCUAAUAAGAACUUGCUAAAAGUGUUCUUAGAUGCUGUGGAAGAGACUUGAAGUGCUGUAGGAUAGAUUGGUAGGGAAACAAAUGGUUGGACUGAGCUAGAAAUGAAGAAAACCAUAUAUGAAGAAACUGUUUUAGAGGAAUAUGGAUAGAAAGCCUUGUUAUUGGCGUCGCUUUGAUUUAUAAUGAUGAAAAUAAGGAAAGGAGCCAUUUUAUUUAAAUAUUAUAUCCAUUAGAUGGAGUUUGACAUCUAGCUAUAGCCAUAUGAAUGUGAAUUAUGAAGGUAGAAGUGAACCUAUUGAAAACAGUGAACUGUUUCGUAGAAGAUAGCUUGACCUGUGAUAAUUCCGUGAAUUUUCUGUAAUUCUAUAGAUAGAAUUGGACUUCGAACCCUUAAUGAAAGUUUUAGGACACUUCCUUAGGUAUAACGUAUCAAAAUUUGAGAACAAACGGACAAGACUUAGUUGGUGAAACGAAUUUUCUUCUGUAGGUACUGAAUCUGAAAGUUACUGCAGAAUUUUGAAGGAAACAUCAAAAUAUUAUUCUUUAUACACAACGAAUUUGACUUAGUGUCCUUCAUGAAAUUUAUUCCUUUUGGUAUCAUCUAUAACAUAUAAAAAUUUUAGAAUUUUCUGAGUUCAUUAGGGGCUACUCCAAAAUUAUUACUAAAACUGCACAUUGUGAUGUUUGAGCUGCUUUGUUCCGAUUUUGUUCAAUUUGUCCCAAAGGUGAAUGCAUUUUAAAUUGCUAUUUGACAUGAUGAUAUGGGCAUUGGCAUAUUAUGCAAUCUUGAGAUUUGAUGAAGGAUUCUUGGGACAUCUUGUCAUUGCAUUUGAAGGUAUUUUUGGAAAUUAAAAUGUUAAUUGUUGCCGUUGGAUCCUUGGGUCAACGAUGCCCCGGGAGUUGGGAUGCCCAAAAGAUCGAAUGAGUCUAUGCCUUGUGGAUACCCGGUGGCCCUAAGUGGCUGAAUGCCGGAGGUCUUUCCUAGGGAGCUUCGGGAUGCUCGGUUGUAUGCUAGUUGGUACGUAAAUCCGGAGGGCUGGGGUAACCAUUCUCAUGGUGAGCCUCGGAGGUAUUCCUCGUGAUGCCAGGUGGGGUACGAGAUGCCUGGAGGUGUGAUACGCUCCGGAUGCCCGGUGGCCCUAAGUGGCUGAAUGUCGGAGGCUUUCGUGAUGCCAGGGUGGAUGCGAAUGCCCAGAGGGACGCAAAUAUUGGUCCUCUGGGGGAUGAAACCUUUUGAGUGAUAAAAUGGAUGAUUCUACUAUAUGUGUGUGUGGUCUGGUUAAAGGACUAAGUUGUAUGGCAUGGAAUGGGCCAUGUCAUUACAGUUUGGCCCUAUAAUUGAGACUUGUGUAACUGGACAUGAUGUACUUUGAUCCAUGGAAACUGCAUUUGCCAUUGCAUUGAAGAAUUUCAUGAUUUUGAUGCAUGCUUAUUCUUUAACUACUUGUUUUUGUUUAUCUUGCAUGAAUCUGGAUAUUGAUGGUAAUGCUUGAUAUAGUUUGAUGAAUCUUUUACUGCUGAGUGGCUGUACUCACCCCGUGUGGGGACCUAACAUUUCAGAUUAAAAGAUGCCUCUAUUGCCUAUCACUCACGGUACUUUUUACGGUGUCCCAGUCAACGUUGAGUGCAUGUGUUCAAAGCACACUCAUGUAGGGAUUUGAGGAUUGGUUUUCAUCCGAGUACGGGUUCUAGUCAUGUAUGGCGUUGGUUUACCUGAUGGCCCCAUGGUUCAGGAGUUUUUGUCAGUGCACGUUCGUCGUGAUGGGAUCAUGCUAGGGAUGUUGCCGCCGCCGCCAGCCGAUGGACGGGGUUGGGUGUGAUCGUGUGUGACAGGUAGCAGAUGAAACUUUUUGGACUGUCGGCACUGUCUGAUAGACUUUUGUAUAGGGCUGAAUGGAAAGGAAAGAAAAAAAGAGUCGGUUAUCUUUUGAGUAUGUAGCCGGGUAUAGAAAACCACAGCAAAUUUUGGUGUACCAACUUAUGAUGUCUAUCAAGCUUAUGUAAAUAAAAGUGCUCGGCUUUAUCUUAUAAAACUGUCUAGUGGGUGUGCAUCAUUUCAACACUUUUUGUGAUAGGGAGAGGUGAUAUCGCUUCCGCUAUACAUUUAUACGCUGCGCAGGGACCGUUUGAAAAUUAUAAACCCCCAGGACUUAUGGACCUAUUAUAAUUCUAUGGUAUCAGAGUGAUAUAAUAUCAGGUCAAGAGAAAGGCAAGUGGACUGUGGCGACCCUAGCGGAUCGGGGGCCGUUCGAGGGGUGCCACAGAUUAAUUAUACAAUUUAGUUUUACUUCAAGAUCCACCACUAAUCUAUUAUGAGUGGAUUAGAGACAUAUUAGAGACCAAGUAAGAUGCGAGAGCUCAUUUUACUUUUACGAACUAGAGAUUCAUGGGUACAUCAAAUGACUAUUUUGGGACUUUUUCUCUUCUAAUGAAAAGGAUUAUUCAUGUGAUCUUUUCAAUUAUUUUUAUCCAAGACAUGCAAAGCAGGUGAUCAUGCAUAAAUCAUUCAAACAAACACAUAAGUAAAAUCCAAUAAUAUCCAAGCAAGUAAAGUGUGGAUAGGAAUGAAACCGAGCCGUACUCGGCAAAAUUAAACAUAUAAGUUAUAAAUGAAGGGUCAUUUCUUCAAAAUAAACUAAUACUUGAAAAAGGAUAGUGAAUAUGCGAACAUGAAGUGCUAUGACUAUUUUCUAAAUAAAUUACUUCUUUAAAAUGAACUAUUAAAAACAUGUAAAUACAAUUUAAUUAACGCGGUCUAAAAAGAAGUGCAAUAUUAAGAGAAUGAAUCUAUUUGUGAAUAUGCAAAUUUUGCUGAAUGCACUCCUAGACAUAUUUGGUGACAUUUUUAAUGAAGAUGCAAUCUAAAAUUAUUAGCAUACAAGAUAUGAUCUUUUAUAUUUUCUUUUUUUAUGACAUGUGAUUGUGAAAAUAAAGUGUUAAUGCAAUAUAAUGUUCCAAAGAUGCAUCAAGACAUCUAUUCAUGAAAAUUUUAAAUUCUCUUACAAGGCAAUUAUCAUUUUGCAAAUAAAAUAUGGAAUCCUAUUUAUGCAAAAACAUGCAAAAGUAUCAAUAAGCUUACAGAUGCAAAGGCAAACACAACUGGACCUGCAAAUAUGAAUUUUUCUAUAUACGCAAAUAUCAAGACGUAAUUUACUCAUAUAGGUUCCCUAAUUAAUCUAAACAUGUGUUUCUGACCCCCCCCCCCUCAACAAAAAAAAUCUAAACAUAUGAUUCAUGUAACAUUCCCUUAUUAAGACUAUAAAUAUAACAUGUCAAUCUAACAUUCAAAACCUUUCUGACCAAAAAAAAAAAAAAAAAAUUCAAAACCUAGUGAGUAUAUUAUAUGAUAUGCAAAUUACUACAUGGAACUCCAUGCAAAAGUGACAUGAAAUACGAUCACAAACCCAACACAUGAUUAUGUGACGAAUUUUUAUUAUGGAAAUCAAAUGUACACAAAUUGUGUGACCAAAUUAACAUUAUGCAGUGAAAUUGAUCUAAACUAACAUGCAAAUCUGAAAUUUAAAAAAAAACAUGAUAAUGUAGUCAAACAAUGAUCUCAUCAAAUAUCAACAUUGAAAUAAGUUAAAACGAUGCGAGUUACAACGUCAAUUGCAAUAUUUUUAUGAGAAGAUGAUAAACCAAAAUUAAAUAUAAAGGGAGUUGGUUUGGAUAAAAUCAAUUUUUUGAGACGAGUUGCUUGGCAUUAUCGGUUCAGUUUAUGAAUGCACUCGGGGACAAAUAUCUAGACAAAAUCAAAGUAGAACAGUUCACAUAAUUUGAAUUAAUCAAAGAAUGGAAACCGGGAAUUUAGAUUUUUUUACCUUGAAAUCACAACCAAUGUUGGAAAACCGUCCAACUCGGUUCUUCAAUUCUUCAUGAUCUCCUUUUCCAGCGGUGCCUUCUGUUUUCUUUCCUCCUAGUCCACACCGCUUUAUAGGUCUAGGUAUUGAGCUCCAAUAUGUAGCCGAAUAUAUUCUGGACAUAUUUGCUCAAUCGUGUGCACUUUUCAGCCAACACUUACUUCUAGAAGGAAUUAUGGUGUUCUUCUUGACUUGUAGGAUUGGUUAGCUUCAGCGUUAUCUCACAGCGUGAUGUAAGCCGACCAAAGAAGCCGUUGUCUGUGUAGAUAAUAAGACUAUACUGGGUAAAUAAAAAACGAACCGUAAAGAACGCUAGAAAUUAACAUGAAUUGUUGUAAGUGUUAGCACUUUCUUCACGAAAAGAGUCAAAUGUAAAUAGUUCUCUAUUAAGUGAAAGUUAUAGAGUUAAAUCAAUAGCUCACUCCUCACUUGUUCCCCAAGCUCCAACACACAAAAUCCUACAAACUCUCGUAUCUUACCAAAUUUUGCUAGAAAACCCUGCAAGGCACAUUAAAUAACUUUUGUACGUGUUCUAAACAAAAUAGGAGAAAAAACUUACUUAAAAGGGACAUAACCGGUCCGAACACCCUCUCUUGAUGGGUUAACCUGACACAUUCUAAUGAGACGCUCUAACAAUGUCCGAAAACUAGGCUACCGGUCAGUUUACCAAACCAACUCAUGACAAUCUCCUCUCUCUCAUAUUAGACCAUCUUGGAUAUCGAUCCAACUCCAAAAUGAUAGAUUUGGCUAGAGACUGAGCCACAAAACUCCUUGGCUCAAUGCUCUUGGCCAAGGUAUAGUGCUCAUAGUCCAUGCUGGCUCUCCCAACACCUCGACGAGCACUCAUCCUCCAUAGAUGCCAAUCAAGCUCCAAUAACCUUGUCCUUGCAAUGACAUCUGGGAUGAAUAUUUCUUGAUGUUGAUAUGAGUAGUUAAUUUGUGAUAAAUAGGAUUUCUAACCAAAUAUAUCACAACUUUGUUGUCACAAUGGUUGAUAACACUUUUGUUGAGGGUAACAAUGCAACCUAGAGGAGGAGAAACAGGUUGUUUAUAAACUUUGAAAAAAAUUUGUAGAACUUUUCAAAUUAAACAUUGAUAAAUGCAAAAACAUAUUAAUAUAGUCAAAUGCAGGAUGCUUCUAUCAAACAUAUAUUCCUAAUAGUGAAGAGAUAAAAAAAAAAAAUAUUGCACAUAGAUAUAUAGUGAUUCUGCUUAUACCAAGUCUACGUCUACUCUCCAUGACUAAAUCCAUAACAAGGCUGAAUUCCACAAGUAAUUUUAAUAGAGGUUACAAAGUGUCGGUUCAAUAUGAAGCUAAUAGAUGGCUCUAGAACAUCGCCAUCACACUUGUAUACUUCUAAUCACAUAUUACUAGCAUGAGAGCUCUUGCUUGUGAGAGUUAUUGACCUCCGAAUUUCGCUGAUACAUUUUUUUUUUUUUGAGGAAAAUUAAUUCACAAAUUAGGGAUUAUAAUAUUGAUGUCUCAUGCCCGAGCCAUUUAAGCAUCAAAAUCAAUAUUCCCCUAGGAUUUUUUUUUUAAAGGGUUUUUUAGAAGCUUCAAGAAAUCUUGAGGUUUCUCUGUCUUAUAACAAAUUUUCGUUUUCUUUUGGCAAUAACUAAGUCACAUACACAUGCAUAUUCACGUAUAUGGCAGAAAGCCUCAAGAAUGGGUUUUGACCAGAUGGGCAUUUUCAUCUUUGUAUAUGGGAGUAGAAAAGGAAAUUUCCGCUUCCUUCGUCAGAGAGGAAGGUAAUAGAGACGCACACACGCUCAUGCCAUCAAAAUAUUUAGUACAAGACGCGGCAAUGAAAUUAUACAUCAACUUCAACGGACGAUAGCUACAAUUUAUUGAGAAAUAAGUAUUGACGAAGUUGACCUUCUCAUGGUUUCCGUAACUAAGUUCUACACGUUACCUCGAUCAGCUUCUCCGCAUAUCUAUUUCUUUGAAACCACUCGUACCGCACAUAGAUACAUGUACAUGCUAUUUUGUCCUAUUCGGAGAAAAUUCCGACGUUAAAUUGGACGAUGUCGAUGGCAAGGAUCGUAAUUAUCAUAAAGAGCGUUACCAAAGCAUCAGUAUUGGACCUCAUGCUUUCAUUUUGAGAUUUUCGUUAACCUGAUAUCGUAGGCAGAGGGAAAGCAAGUACGGUAUACAUUUGAAGUACCUUUAUUACCAUAAGACAGGACCGAGAUUAACCGAGAAGUUGGUGUAGAAUAGAUCAAAAUGAAAUGCAAGUUCUACCUCCAUAACUCUGAAAACUCGCUCAUGUCCAUUCUCUUCAGGAAACAGGCUAUGUCGAAUCAGGAUCUAUAACGUGUCGUGAGCUUCUCGGGGCAGGGGCAACGUAUAGCCAGCAAAUAUCAGGCAGUUACGCUUGAACAGUGGAAAAGGGAGGCAAACAUCCUUGAGUUCACCAUCUGGGUCUCCUCCACUCGCACUUAAUAGCCUCCCUCUGCAAUUCCAAAUCUUUUCAGCGGUGAUAACGCCAUCCAUGGUAAGUUCGGAUGAUCGGUACUAUGGCGCAUCUCCCUUAAGCCACUAUGAUUGUUGCUUCUGCAGCGCAAGUGCACCUUCUCCCCCUCUCACCAAGUACUUGUACCCCUGUACGCUAGAUGGAUAAUCUUGGGUUAGAUACUGCUUCCGUGCUCGGUGCUCAUGUAGUCAGCUUCUGAAUGAAGUUUUUCUGUACUUCAUCCUUGCUAGCUGACCCUCAAAGCUCGGACUCUUUCGUCAACUUUCAAGAACACCGAAAAUAUAAGAUAAGACAACCUGGAUUAGCUUCUAUGGGGGGCACAUAGGAACCAGUUAGCGACCCUGCUUUACCACAUUCAAUGGACAACUCAGUGGCAAGGGACUUCCAUUGUUCGAUGUCCUCAAGACUGUGUAGAGUGUGGGAAUCGGUGCUUCUUGUUGGAGAAAAUUUCCUUAAAUAUUUUUAAGCUGACAAAACGUUUCCAUCAGUCUAGUCUGAAGACUUGCAGACUCUUCCAUCAAAGUCUGAAGACCUCCGGAUUGCUAGACUCAAGACUCAAAGUCUAUUCGCAUUGACAGUUUCUAGACCGUCGAAGAAGACUUAUCCAGAACUGGAUGUUUUGUUAAGGAUUUGACUUUAUCAACUAGAGAAGAUCUCUUGGCUGGAUAUAGCAUGUCGGAAUCCAUUAUUCAAAUCAAGAUUGAUUAAGGGAUUAUAGAUCUGUUGAUUGGCAAAGUAUACUUGGAAGGUUCUACUUAUGGAAACCGAGAUCCUGAUUGUAUGGGCGAGCAGGAUUGAUGGGCUAUCGUCAUGUUCCUUAAAUAGCUCGAAGAUCUUCCUAAUUGAUUCUGUCCAACGAGUAGAUUGGAAGAAUUCCUUUGGUAAGUGCCAACGGGUAUGAUGGCAUAAAGGAGUAUAAAAGGAAGACGUUCCAGUUGUUUGAGUGUGUGCGCGAUAGAAGAAUUCCAAAGUCUGAAGCUCCUUGUUCUUAGUCAAUUCAUUUGUUGAGCGAAAUCUUGUACGCAAAAGAAAGUCUAUAUUUUUUAGAAACCUUGAGGAAGUGUAGUAAAGUCUCUACACUGUGGAAUCAAGGGAGAGCUUUACUGUAACAACUCUUUUGUUCAUAGUGAAAUCCAGCCGGUGGGCUGUCAGUGUGGAAGAGUGGACGUAGGCUUGGAUUAAGCCGAACCACUAUAAACUCUGUGUUCAAAUUCUCUUCCCUACACUCUUUUACUUUGAUCGUAACUUGUUUAUUUGAAAAGAGAGGAAUUUUCUUUUCAUAAUCCAUUGUUGAUUUGAGCUGCACUUAUCUCGCAAAAUUGUUUCUGCACCUAUUCACCCCCCUCUAGGUGCUUAUACUAGCUUUCACAAUUGGUAUCAGAGCCCGUGUAUUCACUUGAUUUGAAGUGUUUUACUUCAGAGUUAAAGAUCCAUGACUAGUAUGUUGGCUUUUGAAGGGCAAAGCAAUACCAGACCGCCUUAUUUCGAUGGAAAAGAAUACAACAUAUGGAAAAACAAGAUGAAGGCAUUUCUAAGAUCAAAGGAUCCUCUGGAAUGGGAUGUGGUAGACAGAGGAAUCAUUCCUAAAGCUACACCUGUCUCAGAAAGAGGAAAAGAAGCUGUUGAGUCUAGCGAAAUGACUCAAGAAGAGAUAACCAAAAUACAAGCUCUUGAUGCAAAAGCAAUUUAUUCUUUAUAUUGUGCAUUAUCACCUACUGAAUAUAACAGAAUAUCUUCUUGUGCUACAGCUAAAGAAGUCUGGGAUAAAUUACACAUCACCUAUAAAGGAACUAAUCGAGUGAAAGAAACUAGAAUCAACAUUCUGCUCGGUCAAUAGGAAGCAUUCAAAAUGAAAUCUGGAGAAUCUAUCACUGACAUGUUUAGUCGUUUUACAGAGAUCGUGAAUGGCCUCGAAAAUCAAGGGCAACCAAUUUCUGAUCUCAUGAAAGUAAACAAGCUUCUGCGUGGACUCUCCAAGGACUGGAAUCACAUAAAGACCUCAAUAAGGGAGACACAAAGAAUUAUGCCACUUUCAGUUGAUGAAUUGGUUUGGACUCUUCAGUCUUAUGAAGUGGAGCGAAUCAACGAAGAUGAAGAUCCUAAAGGUAAGAAAUCCAUUGCAUUAAAAUCUAAUGAUAAUUCUGAUGUCACAGAUUUUGAAGACGAUAUGGAUGACGAAGAGCUUGCUCUCAUGAUAAGAAGAUUCAGAAAGCUGAACAGGAAAGGAAGAAGAUUCAAUCCAAAGAAAAAGAGUUUUCAAAAGUAACAGAGUAAAUUUGUUGAGGAUGAUGAAUCCAAUAAAGAUGUAGUUUGCUUUGAAUGUAAGAAAAAGGGACACAUCAGACCCAACUGUCCCCUCCUGAAGAAAAAGAAAGGAAAAGCUGAGAAAUAUCAAAAGGCACUCAAAGCAGAAACAUGAAGUGAUACAAAAUGUGAAGAAAGUUAUGAUGAUUAUGCCAAUAUUUAUCUCAUGGCACAAUCAGACUCAGAUUCAGACUCCGAGACAGACUCAGAUUCAGACAGUGAAAUCAAGGUAAGUAAUUUGAAAAUCCCUACUAAAGUCUCUAGAUACAUUGAUGAAUUGUGUCUUAGUCUCAAGACUUCUCUUAAAAGGAUUUCCGAACUUAAAAAGGAAAAUUCAGCACUAAAACAACAAGAAAAUGUUUGGAAAGAAAAUGUUGAAAGUUUAGACAAAAGUAUUACUAUUUUGAAAGAAAAUGAAGACAAUCUUUCAAAAGAAAAUGCGUCUUUGAAAUUGACAUCUCAAAUAUUUCUAAAAGAUUUUCUAUAGGAUCUGAAAAACUAGAAAAAAUUCUUUAUGCUCAAAGACCUUAUUUCAAUAAAUCUGGUUUGGGAAUGACUGCAGAAACCAUUCAUCUAAUUGAUUUUCCUAAAGUAAAUGAAAGAAUUAAGCAAAGACCUACUAGAGAUGCUUACAAAAAUCAUUUCCAAAGAGUUUUUGUAAAACUAGUAGGUCGCAAUGCUCUUAAAUGUUCUAAGUGCAAUAGCUCAGACCAUUUUGAGAAAGAAUGUCCUAUGGUUUGGAAACCUGUUAAGAAAAUUUGGGCAAAGACAGUAUAUUAUACUAACACCAAUGGACCCAAGAAAAUAUGGGUACCAAAGAAAGCUUGAGUCGCUUUUCUAAAUGCAGGUCACUAUCAAGAAAAAGGCUAAAUGGUACUUGGAUAGUGGAUGCUCAAGGCAUAUGACAGGAGAUUCAAAUUGCUUCAUAAAGCUUGUUCAAGUUAAUGGUGGAAAAGUUUCAUUUGGAGGAAACAACAAAGGAAAAAUUGUGGAAUUCGGAACAGUAAAAAUUGGAAGCCUCACGAUCAGUAAUGUUUCCUUAGUGGAAUGACUCAACUACAAUUUGCUAAGUAUUAGUCAGCUGUGCGACACCGGUUUCAAAAUCAACUUUCAAGAAGGAAUAUGUUCAAGAACUAGUAAAGACUCAUCUCAGUCUUUCACGGGUAGAAGACAUGGAAAUAUCUAUAUCUUGGAUGUCAAACCAGAUGAAACCCAAUGUCUAAUCUCAAUUCAAGAAGAAGCAAACUUAUGGCACAUAAAACUUGGGCACAUCAACGUGAAACAAAUAGCCAAAAUUCCAGAAAAAAGGCUUGUUCGUGGUCUACCCAAUCUGUCAUACCAAAAGACUGAUCUUUGCACACCAUGCGUGUUGGGAAAACAAGUAAGAAACUCAUUUAAACCAAUAAAUCAAGUUUCCACUAACCGUGUACUGCAACUUCUGCAUAUGGAUCUCUUUGGACCAACCAGAACUUAGAGCAUUGGAGGUAAGAAAUAUUGCCUAGUAAUUGUGGAUGAUUACUCACGAUUCACCUGGGUAUAUUUCCUGGUAAGUAAGUCUGAAACCUUUUCUUAUUUUAAAAAGUUUUCUAAAAAUGUCCAAAAUGAAAAAUGGUAUGUUAUUUCAAGUAUACGAACUGACCAUGGAGGCGAAUUUAAAAAUCAAGACUUUACAAGAUUUUGUCAUGAAUCUGGUUUUCAGCAUGUGUUCUCUUCUCCAUAUACUCCAAAGCAAAAUGGAGUCGUGGAAAGAAAAAAUAGGUCGCUUUAGGAAAUGGCUAGAACUCUUUUAAUUGAAAGUAACAUCUCUUCACGUUUUUGGGCUGAAGCAGUUUUUAUAGCAUGUUAUAUUAUUAAUAGAGUUUUUCUAAGGCCUAUUUUGGAAAAAACUCUCUACGAGUUAUUCAAAGAAAAGAAGCCCAUUGUUUCAUAUUUUCAUGUGUUUGGGUGUAAAUGUUUUCUAUUGAAAAAUGUAAAUGAUCGAGCUGGCAAGUUUGAGGAAAAAUCAGACGAAGGAUCUUCCUUGGAUAUUCAACCACAAGCAAAGCUUACAGAGUCUACAACAAGAAGACUCAAUCUGUGGAGGAAUCAAUGAAUGUCAAAUUCCAAGAUUCUAUGCAAAUUGAAUCGAUUCAGACUCAACUUGAAGAAUUUGAACCUGCUCCGGACUCUACAAAGUCUAAAUCUCCAGAAGCAGCUCAGACUUCAGAAGAUCAGCAACAAAUGAUCGUCGAAGAUUCAAAUGUGGAAAAAGAUCAACAGUCUGACAAAGCAACCAAUAACUGGAAGCAUAAGUCCAGUCAUCCCAAAGAUCUCAUCAUUAGUGAUAUUAAUGAAGGAAUCCGUACAAGAUCCAAAAGGCGCGAAGAGUCUAGUGCUGUGGCUCUUAUUUCUGAAAUAGAACCCAAAAAGCAUAGAAGAAGCUUUAACUGAUGAAAACUGGAUUGAAGCUAUGCAAGAAGAACUCAGGCAAUUCAGUAUCAAUGAUGUUUGGGAAUUGACUCCUAAACCAAAAGGUAAAUCUAUUAUUGGAGCUAAAUGGGUUUUCAAGAACAAGAUGAACGAGAAAGGAAAGAUCGUAAGAAACAAAGCAAGACUCGUGGCCAAGGGAUAUACGCAAGAAGAAGGAAUAGACUAUGAUGAGACUUACGUGCCAGUAGCAAGGUUAGAAGCAAUUAGAUUAUUACUUGCUUUUGCUUGUCAUAAGAAUUUUAGGUUAUUCCAAAUGGACGUCAAAAGUGCCAAAAUGGAGUUAUCCAAGAGGAAGUCCAUGUGGAACAACUACCCGGUUUUGAAGACCAAAGGAAACCAGACUCUGUAUUCAGACUGAAAAAGGCUUUAUACGGUUUAAAGCAAGUACCUCGAGCUUGGUACGAGAGGCUAAGUAAGUUUUUAAUUCAAAAUGGCUUUGUUAAAGGUAAAGUAGACACUACACUGUUUAUCAAAAGAGAAAGCAAAAGUUUUCUACUUGUUCAAAUUUAUGUUGAUGAUAUUAUUUUUGGAUCUUCUAAUGAAAGUCUAUGCAAGAAAUUCUCUAAGUCUAUGCAGGAUGAAUUUGAAAUGAGCAUGAUGGGUGAACUAACCUUCUUUCUCGGGCUCCAAGUAAAACAACUGAAGGAAGGAACCUUUAUUCAUCAAGAAAAGUAUGCUAAAGAUCUUGUUAAAAAGUUUGGACUGGAGAAUUGCAAAAGACUGAUGUACCAAUGUCAAGUUCCUUGAAGCUGGACAAAGAUGAAGGAGGAAAGAAAGUUGACCAGAAACUAUACAAGAGCAUCAUUGGUUCACUUUUUUUAUUUUACUGCUUCUAGACCUGACAUUUUGUUUAGUGUUUGCAUUUGUGCCAGGUUUCAAUCAGACCCUCGAGAAUCUCAUUUAAGUGCUGCAAAACGUAUUAUCAAAUACAUUGCCUCAACUUCAACUAUGGGUCUUUGGUAUCCUAAAGAAGGAGACUUUACUCUUCUUGGAUACUCAGACGCAUACCUAGCCGGAUGCAGAGUUGAUAGAAAGAGCACCUCGGGUACCUGUCAACUACUUGGAAGCAAGACAGUGUCUUGGUUUUCAAGGAAGCAAAGUACAGUAGCUCUUUCUACAGUAGAAGCAUAAUAUGUAGCUCUUGGAAGUUGUUGUUCACAAAUCUUGUGGAUAAAACAAUAGUUAAAAGACUUUGGAAUUGAAGAUUCAUGUACUGAAAUCAAGUGUGACAACACCAGCGCAAUCAAUCUCACCAAGAAUCCGAUUCUUCACUCAAGAGCAAAGCAUAUAGAGAUUCGACAUCACUUCAUUAGAGAUCAUGUUCAAAAUGGAGAAGUUUUGAUUCAGUUUAUUGAUUCAAAGAAUCAACUGGCGGAUAUUUUUACAAAGUCUUUGGAGAAAAAUCAAUUUGAAGCUAUUCGUUCCAGACUCAAUAUCUUAAAGUCUGAGGAAGUUCAGACUUAGGACUGAAAGACAUUCAGACUUAGACGAUCAAGAAUUGCGACUGUAAGUUAUUUUUAUUUUAGAAAAUUAUCUCACGAAUCAAAUCUCGGAAAUGUACGAUCAUCAACCCAUUAUUAAUUGUUGUUAUUUUUAAUUUCCGUAAUUAUUGCAAUCUUUCCUUUUCGAAAAAGGAGUUAUUUUCUUUUGAAAUGACAGUUAUCUAAUUUUUGAAAAGGCAGUUAUUUUUAAAAAGGCAUCUUUAUACUUUCUUUUUUUUUACGACGUUCCGUAUGCCUCUCUUCGACUGCCUUAUAUACUGUCGGUUCCUCUUCAUUUCACUCACAAAAACCCUAAGAGAGCACCGAUCUUCCAUUUAUGUCUUCUUCUCUUGUUUAAUCUUCUAAAAGUUGUCAUCUUUCUUGGGAAAAACAAACUUGGAAUCUCUCCAAGACUGUGAAAAAUGUCUUCCCAAAGAAAGUCUUCGAGGAUCGCGAACAUGGGACCACAUCAGAUGCGUGAGGGGCCUACGCACUUCGAUCUAACUGAAGAAGAAUAAUUUCCUAAUCAGCAACAUAGCCCACAACAUUCUCAGCAGUGUCCAUCUCCUCCAUCUAGACCUCAGGAUGUUGUAUAUCAAGAAGAGGAAGAAAUAAUCGAAGACGCAGAACCCGUAAGAACUCUUAAGCCCUCUUUUACCUACAAGCUUUAUCGUGCUUUGAAGAGGGGCGGUACUCCUUUGAACUAUAUUGAUGAAUUUUUGAAAGACAAAGGGUAUAGAAAUAAAACUUUCUUUUUACGCACAAUGGAACGAUUGGGAAUUGCCCCUGCUAGGUCGGCGGAAGAGGCAUUCGCAAAUAUCCCAAGCGAUCCACGUGUUGGAGGGCUGAGUCAGCCAGAUGGGAAUGAUGGUGAUAGGUUGUACAGUCAGUUUAAACCAAGAAUGGGUGUUGCAGCAAAAAUCCGAAGCAAAAGGACAGACUUGUUUCGAUCAGAAAAACAUAAGCAACUGUACUCUAAGUUGCUGAAGCGUGGGGUGAUAAACCUUAGAAGUGUGGAUUUUGAUUUUCUUGACUCUGUGAAUGUCAAUCUACGGGAAAAAUUCAGUCUUCUUCAACUCGAACAAUUUUGUUCUGAAAGUACAUAAGCCUAUGCUAAACUUACUGCUUAUUUCUAUUCAAAUCUUAGUUUCUUGGAUGCGAAUAAAUUCUCUUUUAGUGUUCGAGAUCAGGACGUUUCAACCCAUUAAUGUGGGCAAAAGAACGCUUCAAGUGCCUUAACUUUGCACAAAGGGACACUUAAGUGCCAAAAUCGGAGUAAAAUGGAUCACUUGAGUGCCAAUCCGGCCAAAAUCCGGCCAAAACGCUGACGUGUCAAUUUUCCGGCGAAGCGAGUGCAAAACGGCGUCGUUUUAAUGCUGACGUGGCCAAAAAUUUAAUAUAAAAAAUAAUUUAAAACUAAAUUUAUUUAAAUAUUUAACAAAAUAUUAAAAUAUUAAAAAAUGUUAAAUUUUAAAAAAUUAUAAAAAUUUUAAAAAAUUAUAAAAAAUAUAUAAAAAUAUGAAAAAAUUUAAAAAAAUUUGUAAAAAUUUUAAAAAUUGUAGAAAAUUUUAAAAAAAAUUGUAAAAAUUUUAAAAAAAAUUUGUAAAAAUUUUGUAAAAAUUCUAUAAAAAUUUAUAAAAUUCUAUAAAAAUUUAUAAAAUUCUAUAAAAAAUUAUAAAAGUCUAUAAAAAUUUAUAAAAUAUUAAAAAAUUAAAUAAAUUAAAUAAAUUAAAAGUUAAAAAAUAAAAAAAUUCAAAAAUUUUAGAAAAUUUUAAAAAAAUUUCGAAAAUUUUAAAAAAUAUUAGAAAAUUUUAAAAUAUUUUAAAACAUUUAAAAAAAUUAAAACAUUUUAAAAAAUUUAAAACAUUUUAAAAAAAUUUAAAAAAAUUUUGAAAUUUUAUUUAAGAAAAUGAGGCGGGCCUGGCCAACCCUCCCCCACCUUCCGGCGACGGCGGGGAGGCGGCGGCAACGAGGGCUCCGCCCUCAACCGUUGGCUGCCUUUCUCCUCCUCCUCCUACAUUUUUUUAAAAAUAAAAAUAGAUUAUAUUAUUUUUUUGUUUUAAAUUUAAUUUAAUUAAUUUUUCUAUUAUAUUAAAAUUCAACUUAUACCAAAACAACGUUGUUUUGGCCGAUUUAAGUGCUCUAAUCUGGCCAACACCCGAAACGACGUUAAUUUGGUGCUGACAUGGUAAAAAAUUUAAUAUAUAAAUUAAUUAAUUUUAAUAUAAAAAUAAAUUUAUUUUAAAAUUUAAAAAUAAAAUUUUAAAAAUUAAAAAAUUUUGCAAAAUUAAAAAAGUUACAGAAAAAUAAUUUAAAAAAAAAAGGGAGGCGGUGAGGGCUGAAAUUUUUUGUAACUUUUUUAAGUUUUUGUAAAUUUCGUAAAUUUUUUAAAUUUUUUGUAACUUUCUAAAUUUUUUUGUAAACUUUUUUGAAUUUUUGAAAAUUUUUUAAAUUUUACGUAAAUUUUGUAAAUUUUUUAUAAAUUUUGUAAAUUUUUUGUAACUUUCUAAAAAAUUUUGCAAAUUUUUAAAUUUUUGUAAAUUUUUAAUUUUUUUUUAAUUUUUAAAUUUUUUCUAAAUUUUGUAAAUUUUUUGUAAAUUUUGUAAAUUUUUUGUAAAUUUUGUAAAAUUUUUGUAAAUUUUGUAAAUUUUUUGUAAAUUUGUAAAUUUUUUGUAAUUUUUUGCAAUUUUUUUUUAUUUUUUCAAUGUUUUAAAGUUUCUAAAUUUUUUUAAUUUUUAAAAAAUGUUUUUAAAUAAAUUUAUUUUAAAUUUAAUUUAAAUAAUUUUUAUAUUAUUAUAAAAUUCAAAUGAUGUCAAAACGACGUCGUUUUGGCCGAAUUCGAGCUGACUCAGCUCUCCGACGAGACAUAUCAGCGAGAAAUAUUAAUAUUUUAAUGCCACGUAUGAUUUCCGGCCAACUUCGCCGGAGAUGGCACUCAGGUGUCCCACUUUUCUUAAAAUGUGGCACUUAAGUGUACCUUUCGUAAGUUAUGGCACUUAAGUGUCCCUUUGGCCAAAGUUAUGGCACUCCAGGGGUCCGCACGUCCAUUAAUGUGUCUAUUCAAUCUAUGUGGUUGACAUGAAUACAUUGGCUGAUGUGAUUGGGGUUGAAAGAGGGAGAUAUCAACCCAUUAUGUGUCUAUUGCUCGUGCAACGUUGGAGCUUGUUAAGGAUAGAAGGACAGAGGGAAAGAUUUCCUAUUUGAUGAUGAAUGCAUCCAACAUUCCGCUUCACAAAAUUGUGAUUAAUUGCCUCAGACCAAAAUCUACUUCAAAGACCGACGUUUCAAACUCGGAGGCAAAGCUGAUGUAUGCCAUCAAUGCAGGGAAAAAGUUCUCUCUCCCACAUACUAUUAUGUUCCACAUUUACAAGGCAGUGGUGAAGGACAAGGGUCAACUUCCUUAUCCAGCUCUCGUGACUAAGUUAUUCAGACAUUUGAACGUUCAGCCUCCCCGAAUCCUUUGUGUUUGAACGUGCGAUCAAAUGGUGGUGGGACAGAAAAUGGUCUCUAAAAUGCGUUUGAAGGAACUCAACAAGGCGUUGGAGAAAUUCAAGGAGAAAACCUCUGUUAAGACUCAUCAAAUCUCUUCGGCUGCAAAGAGAAAAGGAAAGGAGCCCAUGGUUGCUCCAUCCAAGCAAAGAAGAGCUCUCAUCAUUGAGGAUGAAGAGGAUGAGGAUGAUAUCACAAUUUCUGCAAUGGCAUUGAAGAACUUGAGUUGUUAUGUUCCAGAAUCAACAGAAAGACAAGAAAAAGACACGGAUGAGACAGAACAGAGGACUGGAGAAAAAGAAAAUUUGGAAGCAGAGGAGAGAGAAGCAGAAGAAGGAGAUGAAGAGGAGGAAAUAAUUGAAGAAGAAGAGGAGAGAUGAGAUGAAGCAAAGCAUGAGAAACACUCUUCUCCACUUGAAGGCAUGGAAAUAGGGGGAGAUCCUGAGAAAAGAGGAAUGCCCUCAUACCUUGCCACCGGUGAAGGAGUAAGCCGCUCUCCAGCAGAUCCAGAGGACAUCUAUGCCUCUCAAUUUCCUGAGGAAGGACAUGAUGUUUCAUCGCUUAAUAUGCGUGACCAUGCUGAUUUACCAUCGUCUGCCUUUACAUCGUCAAAUCGUGCAGAAGCCAGUACUCAGACUGAUAAUUCAGUAGACUUUCGCAAAAUACUUGAUGUUCUCUUAGAGAUGCGGGGUCAAAUAUAUGCUCUGGGAUACGAACUUCAAAAUUUGCAGAAUGCAGGACAAGCUUCUUCAGUUUCUUUGAAUGAUCAAAUUCAAGCCUUUACUCUUCAAGUUCAAGCAAAUGCUAAGGGUGAAGAUGUGGCGCAAAUGAAGGAGGACUUGAAAAAGCUGGAAGAGAUUGUCCAGUUAAUGGGAGAUUUCCAGCUUGUUCGUGUUCCCAAGCAACCUUAAUACCAUUCUCUUUUCAUCUCUACCUUUUUAAUGAUGACAAAAAGGGGGAGAGAUGUGGUGCAGAUUUGAUUUGAACUUUUUAACAGAUAUGAUUUGAACUUUUUGUUGAUUAUGUUUGACUUGACUUUUGUGUUGUUUGGCUGUUUUGGAUUUGGACUGGAUUUGGGUUUGACUGUUUAAAUGUUGUUUAUCUCAAGUACUAUUGAUAUCUUGGUAUCUCAUGGCUUCGCUUAUUUAUAGAACUAAUCUAUCUUCUGUGGAUGCAGAUUCUAGUGUUAUUAAGCCAUUUAUCUAUAUGAGAUAUCCAUAUUUGCUUAAGUAAUAUUUUGCAGGUCAAAGUUAUCCAAAUCUGUAGGAAAGUUUUGUCACAAUCAAAAAUGGGGAUAUUGUUGGAGAAAAUUUCCUUGAAUGUUUUGAAGUUGACAAAACGUUUCCAUCAGUCUAGUCUGAAGACUUGCAGACUCUUCCAUCAAAGUCUGAAGACCUUCGGACUGCUAAACUCAAGACUCAAAGUCUAUCCGCAUUGACAGUUUCUAGACCGUCGAAGAAGACUUAUCUAGAACUAGAUCUUUUGUUAAGGAUUUGACUUUAUUAACUAGAGAAGAUCUCUUGGCUGGAUAUAGCAUGUCAGAAUCCAUUAUUCAAAUCAAGAUUGAUUCAAUGAUUAUGGAUCCAUUGAUUGGCAAAGUAUACUUGGAAGGUUCUACUUAUGGAAACCGAGAUCCUGAUUGUAUGGGCGAGCAGGAUUGAUGGGCUAUCGUCAUGUUCCUUAAAUAGCUCGAAGAUCUUCCUAAUUGAUUCUGUCCAACGAGUAGAUGGAAGAAUUCCUUUGGUAAGUACCAACGGGUAUGAUGACAUAAAUGAGUAUAAAAAGAAGACGUUCCAGUUGUUUGAGUGUGUGCACGAUAGAAGAAUUCCAAAGUCUGAAGCUCCUUGUUCUUAGUCAAUUCAUUUGUUGAGCGAAAUCUUGUACGCAAAAGAGAGUCUAUAUUUUUUAGAGACCUUGAGGAAGUGUAGUAAAGUAUCUACACUGUGGAAUCAAGGGAGAGCUUUACUGUAACAACUCUUUUGUUCAUAGUGAAAUCCAGCCGGUGGGCUGUUAGUGCGGAAGAGUGGACGUAGGCUUGGAUUAAGCCGAACCACUAUAAACUCUGUGUUCAAAUUCUCUUCCCUACACUUUUUUACUUUGAUCGUAACUUGUUUAUUUGAAAAUAGAGGAAUUUUCUUUUCAUAAUCCAUUGUUGAUUUGAGCUACACUUAUCUCGCAAAAUUGUUUCUGCACCUAUUCAUCCCCCCUCUAGGUGCUCAUACUAGCUUUCACACUUCUUAGAACCACCACCAUGAUAGCCAUCCUAAAUGGGAGCAACAUACUGAAAAAUGCAGCAUACUCCAUGAGGCCCCGAACGCCAGCAUUGUGAAAGCGCGCUUUGAGCAACAUCGCCUGAAUGCCCCGAAGACAGCCAAAUAGAUUAGGCAGCCAGCUAGGAGGACCAGCGGCGCCUUGACUCGAUAGACCCUGGACUGGCGACUCUCCUGCGUAUUCACCGAAUAAUUUAUGUAGAAAUGCUCUUCUAUUUCCGGGAUUGGCGCUGGGACCAACCAAAUUAACAUGUUAAUGGAGGGAAAAUUUGUUCAAAAAUUUUUAAACCUAUUUCACUUUUCUCUGCUCUUCGUGUGCAUCUCUGCUCUUCUUGCCCUAAAUGGCAAGGAACGAAAUCCUUAAUUUCAAAAAUUAGAAAAUCGUAGCCCCAAAUCAGUCAAUCAUGCUCAGGAUUCAUCAAUCUUGCGAGGGGAUUUGUGGGGAUUCUCGUGAGCAGCUCGUGAGGGACCUCCACGACACUUGUGAGGGGAGGGGAUCUCGUGUGACGCUCGACGAUGGCCGUCCGAUGCUCGGAAAUGCUCAGGAGGAACCGGGGGAUUUCUACGAGCAGCUUGCAAGGGAACUUGACAACGACGACUUAGCCUAGCAAGAGGAGGACAAGCCACAAUUGCGCGGUUCUGCCACUUUGCAAUGCAGUUUGUUUCAGCUUUUGUAUACACAAGUAGAGCCUGAGAAUAGUAGUUUCAUUUGUGCGAAAAUCAAUCACGAAUGAGGCUGCUUUGAUAUAUUGAGCUUCUAUUUUAGUAUGUCUGUGAAAGAGUGAGUUUUACAGUGAUAUCAUUCGAUUUUAACCAUCCAAUAGCUAUUGGAUCAUCAAUUUGAAUAGAACUUAUCGAAACAAUAUGUCAUAGUUUAUGGAUUUGUUUUUGUUAUGCAUUGUCUUUACCUUUUUGAUUCUAUGUUCUGUAUUGCCAUCAAGAUGAGUGUAGUUCAAGUCAACGAAGUUUCAGAUUAUUAGAGGCUAAUCUACUUAUCUAUGUUACAUUUUCUUCUCAUAGCUUUAAAUUUUUAUUGUAACUGCUUCCCAAAUCUGUUGGUUAUUGGGUUUGUAGCAGCUGGUGGUUCAAAUUUUGUUCGCAUGCUGAAGCAUUAAAUUAUUUUUAUUGCUUGAUUUACUUGCAUUGCUGGGGAUACGAUCUCAAGAAGUGUGGGGAAUGUUUUGUUUUGUUAAGUAGUAGAACCAAUGCAAGAAUAGAGCAAGCACACUUUAUUGGAUAGCAUCUUCAUCUUGACCUUCAUUAGUGGCAACGUUUUCCAGAGUUGCUUGUUGCAAAAUUGAAUUGAAUUUUCACAUGCUAUUAACUAAUUUUGCAUGUAUCUGUUCACCUAUUCAUCAUGUUUGUAUAUUGCCUUGAUUAUUGAAAGAGGUACUUCAAAUUGUCAGUGGGAAUCUAUAUGGAUCGAAUCUGUAAUAGGUUUCUAAAGAUAGCUGAAUCACAGCAUCAGGAAAUCAGGUCAAGCUCAAAGAGAUAUUUCUUUUAUUCUUCCACACUUUGACAAUAUGGACCUCUUUAGACAGAUUUGCACAAGAUCUUUAAAAUGUCAUCCUCAUUAGGCUUUGGCACCAAAGGUUUCCUUGAUCUAUUAAGGCUUUGCAUCUCUCGAAUCAAAGAGAGAUUUCAAGGCUUCUCGGACUACCUCCAACCAGUCAAGUCCAGUGGAUAACCUUUCUCAGAGUUCCAGUGAACACAACUCCGAGGAGGCUCUGGUUGAUAUGAACCAUUGUCAUUGGUCUCAGCUACAGGAAGUAAGCAGAUGCUCUGUCCUUGGAACUAUACACACACACACACACACACACACAUAUUGGCCUGAAUGACACACCAUAAAUGUUGUGAAUAAUAUUGAUUGCAUACUUAGUCUAAACAUACACAUUCGAAGAUAGUUGAUGUCCCCAAUCUUUGUUCAAUUAGGAAGAAGAUGGUUUUGCACAAGAAGUUCCAGAUGCAUCAGAAUUGAUGGAAAGUGGUAAGCCCAAGCUAAUUGUGGCCUUAGGGUUCUGAUAUGUGCAGAUAUGUUGUCAUGAAUUGGCUUCCAUUAUCUACUUAAUAAGUUAAAAAGGGCAGGUGAAUUGGAUGAGGUUGGAAGACCAGGACCCUCAUUACUACAACAAUCCAGGCUUCCAAUUCAUAAACCUUGCGUGUCAUUCAAGGAGCAUCAACCCAAAAGCCCUGUAAACAGAGUUGAUGAAAAAACAAGAAGAGAGUGCAAAAAGCCCAUUGUAAGGAGUUCCUACUUUAAGCAUCAGUUUUGGAAUGAAACUGAUAGAGACAGGGAGAGAGAAACUACCCCGGUUGGAAGUGACCCAACGAGUGUAGGUGAGACCGUAUGUGUGAAAGGAAUGAUAAAAAAGAAGACCUAUGCCGAUGACACAGUAAAAAAUGUAGGUGUAAACAGCAUUGAGAAAAAACAAGAAGAGAAAACAGAGAGGUUAUUGUAAGGAGCUCUUGUUUCAAGCAUCAUGCUGCAAAGGAAACUAAUAGAGAUGAUGGAAAGGAAAAUAUCCUGGUUAAAGGUGAUCAUCCAAUCAGUCUAGGUGAGACUGACUUUAUGAAGCAAGUGAUCAUGAAGGGGAAAGCCUCCCUUGAUGACAUGUCGGAGAAAGGUGUAAACAGAAAUGAGGACGAAUCAAGAAGAGAGAACAGGAAGUUUAUUAUAAGGAAUUCCUAUUUUAAGCAUCAGUCUGCAAAUAGUGCUGACAAAGAUGACGAAAAAGAAAACAUCCCUGUUGAAAGUGAUCAUCCCAUCAGUCUAGGCGAGACUGGCUUUCUGGAAGGAAGGAUCAUCAAGAGGAAGGCCUCCCUUGAUGGCACAGCGGAAAAAGUAGGUGCAAUCAGGUUUUUACGAAAAUUCUAGCAAUGCAAAACAAAAGCGUAUGCAUGUGGAUGAUUCUCUUGUCAAUGAUGGUAUGUUGUCAACUGAAACCGCGUUAUUAAUACCAGUACUUGUUUAGCAAUUUUCUUGGUUCUUAAUCUUAACAUACUAUCAUGUUUGGCAUAAAUCUAGAUUGAUGUUGCUAGAUAUUGUACAAGAUACAACCUUCAAAGAAUUAAGGAUGAAAUUGCAAAAGCCGUUUAUUAUCUAAUUAAUGAAGAUGCAUGCAUCAACAUGACAAAGCCAAUGCAUUUUCUUUGUAGAGCUAAGCUGAGCUUCUAAUUGGUUUGGAACAUUCAAGGCCGAGCAUGCAUUUCAUGUUUAGCGCAUAAUUUGACUUUUUAAAACCGGAAAUCUUUUGCAUCAUUUGGUAUUUGAGUGUACAUGGAAUAAAGUCGGCAUUACUGGGAAGCCAGAAAAUCUUGGGGUUAUGCCAUGUAUCAAGAGGAACCAUAAUGAUUUGACUCUACAUGUUACAAUACAUUAUAGCUCUGAAAAAAGGCCUCCUGCUUUAGCAGUGAGUUACAGUCCAUUUCUAGGCUCAUACUCUGAUGAAUUGAAUUCUAAAUCCACGACUCAUCUGCAUGUACUUCCAUUUUGAAAGUGAAGGCUCUUCAUCGGAGGGUUAUCUUAAUUGCUUACCAUUAUUUGGGAGUCCACCUUUUCUUUUGGGUUCUGGGGUGGCCUCUUUGGCAUUUUGAAGACUACAGGAUGAAGUUUGAAAUCUGAUAUCUCUUGGCUUCGGGAAGCCGUGCCCCUGGAUUAGACAAGUCAUUCACUAGUUCUGAAGGAAAAUUUGGAGCCGACAUCUCCAAUUUAGGCCGCUAUUCUGACAUAGCAGGAAGUUCAUUGGAGAGAUUCGUCUCGGUAAUAUCGUCAUUUAGAUUCACCGCUUCUGGUUCUCGUGCCAGUGGUCUCCGUGCUCCUUUGAAGGUUGUGCACAAUGCAUGUACGAAUAGGUAGGAGGAUGACAGCAAAGAGAUUCUCUACUUUUCCGCGAUCUUAUUUGGUUAUCCCUCAUUGAUUUCGUUCAAUAGUAGGUCAACUACUGCCCCGGAUAUCAGUCAAUUUGAUGUAGAUCGAUGCAUCUGCCGAACUCCUAGUCAAAACAAUUGAACGAAAUAUGUGGCCAAGAGCAGGAAGCCCGUGAUUCCAACCCGCAGGAGUUGAUUGUGUGCAGUAUAUUUCGAUGUAGAUCGAUGCAUCUGCCGAACUCCUAGUCAAAACAAUGGUUGCCACCUUUAUGUUUCCCAGGCAUGGCCAAUUAAAGUGAACAUAUGCUUGUGUUUUAUGAUAAUGUGGAAACUGUACUUGUUAUGAUCCUUUGCCAUCCAACUGUUAUGAGCAGGGUCGAUCCAGUAACAUGUUCUGCACGAGUCGAAAUCAUCAAUGACGUUGCUAUCCCUGCGACUCGUGUCCAUCAUCUUCGAUACUGUUAAUCAAGAUGUUACUCCCUCAUUUCAAGGCGGUGGAGGACCACAUCAAGGUUGAUUUUUUGUUUUUUCCCGAUAUGUUGGUUGAUUGAUUUUGGGGGAAGGAGAUCCAUUUCAUCAGGUUGAACUAGCAUGCUAAAAUUGCUAGAGACCUCUUGUUUACAUUUUUUAUUUCUGGAUCACUUUGAUUGGAAUUAUCUUUGGAUUUCAUUCCGGAAAGGCUCAAAAACAGAGUUAUGAUGGAUUGGGUUACAUGAUCAGUUUUGCUUUCCCGGUUGCAAGGGGCAAUAUGGGAUUCACAAUCACAUAGUAUUAUGUAAUGCAAUUUUUGCGGGGAAUUGUUUCGUGGAAUGUGUAAGUGAUCCAGACGACAGGAAUUUGCUAUGCAUUCUCUUUUCCAAUUCAUCUGCAUGCCACGAGGUUUGUUUUCUUCUUUUAAUUUUUUAUUUUUGCCAAAAACACUUGAAAGUCAUUCAUUAAUAAAAAAUGUCAUUACAAGCUCAAAUAGGUUUCUCCCCCAAUUUUGUAACAAAUAAAUUGCAAAAAGUUAGACCAUCAAGUUGAUCCUUCGCGCUCACUGCUCGACUCCUCAACAAAAAAGCCAUGAUCUCCUCAAUCCAGGCUGAGGAGUAAAGUGCCAUCCCUUAUUUACAGUGUCAUUAGAUCUAGACUAGUGUUCCACCUUCUUAUCCAUCAAGAACUCCCUUAUAGCGUCCUUUAUCUAUCCUACAUCCAUCUCAUGUAUUGGUCUUUUGCCUUGAAAAAGCUGCUGCAUUCCUACCCUCCCAAAUAACCAACAGGUCUAGGUAAUCAAUCUAAGCAAGCAUUUCUUCUCAACGGAGCUUAUUGCCUGCUUUCAACUUGUCGCAAGAGUCGUCUGUCAAAAGACAUUGCCUGUGUCUUCUCAAUCUUGAUCCGGCUUGCCCCAAACCAUACUAACUCUACAAUACUCACAGCAUAAACUAAGGUGUUCAGCUAAUUCAGCAAGACUUUAAAUCAACCACUCAGAUGAUUGCUUAAUUCUCCUCCUAUUCGAACUCUCUUCUGCAGCUAAUGCCCAAGUGCAGAGUCCCCAAAUGAAAUGCGUACCUUUUGGAAUAUAGUCAAUACCCCAAAUAAUCUUCUAGACCUUGUUGUCUUGUCUACCCCAAUAGAGCAUGAAGCCUGGAUUCGUCUACCUUCAAGUCAUUGGAAACAGGGCCACUUGGCAAGCUGAUUUGACUGAGGAGCUGCCGUUCUUACAGCAAGGCGAUAGUAGUUUGUUCAAUUGCACUUGGUUCCAAAGCAUUUAACCCUUGAUCAAUCAAACUACCCACUCAACUGCUCAUCAACCUCCUGGAAACAUUGCAGGCUAGUUUGCACUUAGCUUCUGUAUAGAUUUUUUUUGUAACAUUUCCUUUUUCGUGCUUUUAGGAUUUGGAAUUAUGCACACUAUGGAUAGAAGAGUGAAAAAUGAAAAUUUAAAUAGAAAUGAGAGCAAUUAACAUUGGAGUCAAGGCGCUCCAAAGAAAGGUGGUAUAAGUUCCACGCCUUGCCAAGAACGGUUCAAGUCGAAACUCUCACGUGGGGUCAUCCAUCAAUCUUCCCUCUUUUGAUAAUGGUACGGAACAUCUGCUCACUCUAUAUUUUUACUAAUUUUAACAAAUUUUUUUAACAAGCAAUGAUUAAUUAACUAAACACGCUGCAAAUUUGUAUUACAUCCUGAAUUUCAAGUUUUGUCUUCAAUUGAAUAAGUAGAGCUUUUCAUCGACGCGCCUAUAGUUCUUUCCAUUGAGUUAGUCACUCACGAGAUAACUAGUCUAUCAGGUGAAGCCGUUAAGGAAUCUAAACGCAAUAGACUUGAGAAUUCAACUAGGAAUCGAUUGCUUGACCAUGUUAAUCUAAUAAAGGUCAUUGCAACACUAUCAAAAUCAAUCAGAGGCUGGAGAUAGGUCGAUUUGAUAGAGAUAUGUGAUUAGUGUGUGGAUGAUUCCACCUAAUUGCAAAAUUUCUGCCGAACGAUACUAAACUGAUUUUUCUGUCAUUUCUGUACCAUAUGCUCGUAUUUAAAAUCUCGAGAUUUUCACGACAAUCGAGAGUCGUUAAUGUGUCGAAAAUUUACAUUGUGGCUUGAAAAUAUAUCGAUCACGGGUCAAUUGCACAAAAAAUUCAUAAAAGUUACUCGAUAGGUUAGGUCACGCUAAAAUCACACCUGAUUGAAAUUAACCACGAAUUUGAACCUGAUCUAAAAAAUUGAAAGUUCUGUCAUAUCACAAUUCAUUUUAAGACUAUUGACUCACAUUCCAAAGAUUUUUUUGCAAACUAAGAUUUUUGGCAAAAAUUCAAAAUAGAGCCGUUUUUGAUCAAGAAAACUAGAGGACCAUUUUUGGUCGUGUUUUUGGGAUUCAAGUUAGUUCAAUUGACAAGGAAAAAUCCUAAGAGGGAUGAUGGCAUCUUGAUUGAAUUUAUGGGGACCGGAUUGAGUUCAAUUGGAGGAUAAUUGGAGAGUAAUUGAAGCAAAUUGGAUGGAAAUUGUACAAAAUUCGUAGGCCAUGGGGGACUCAACAUUUUGGACCAUUUGGGAAGUGUGUUGAGGAAGCUUGGGUGCUGCAAAUGGCUGAGGAUGGAAGACAGCGGUUGGUGGGGCUUGUGUGAUGAUGAAAAUGUAUAUUUUGUGGUCAAAUGGGACCCCUUUCGGCUGAGCUCUCUUCUUCUUCCUCCCUUGCUCUGCCUUUCUCCAUUUUAGAGCAAUUUGAGAGCUAAGAAUUGUAGAGAAACCGAGUAGCACACACCCCCCCUUGCUGUUGACCACCGCCUAGAGCUGUCGAGCGCCGUCAUUGCCGUCGCAAGCCGCCCGCGCACUUAUCUCACUCGUGUGCCUGUUCGCGCGACCGUGCGUUGUCGUUCCCACCCUGGUCGCUGUCCCGAGCCAUCGUCUAGCUUCGCCAACCACUGUACGUGGCCAUCCAAGCCGCCGAAAGUCCCGCCAUUCCCCGCCUAGCCCGCUGCAGCCAUUGCCAUCCAUCUUGUGCUAUUUCAACUGCUUGAGCAGUCCCUCAGUCCAAGGAGCAGAAGCCAGAGAUCUUAGCCCAGCUGAGACUUCGUGUGGCUUUUUCCUAGCCCUUCCGGACCCAUUUUUCCCAGCAGAAGCCGAAGAUCUCAGCCCAGUUGAGACCGUCGGAGUUUUUUUAUGCAAAAUAUUGAAAAUGAAUUUUCUAUAGAGUAAAAGGGAUUUUUCUCUGACAAAUCUUCGUUCUAUGAUUUCACCUGACCUUAAGGGUGUUGUGAUCUCCAAAAUGAUAAAUCGGUUGAAAAUGAAGCUUUUAAAACUCAUUUUUCCCAGCAAAUUUCCAACAAUCAGAGUUUUUUAAGUAAAAUAUCGAAAUGAAUUUUCUAUGGAGUAAAAGGGAAUUUUCUCUGACAAUUCUUCAUUCUUUGAUUUCACCUGACUUUAAGGGUGUUGUGAUCUCAAAAAAUGAUAAAUCGGUAGGAAAUAAAGCUUUUGGAACCCAUUUUCCCAAUAGAUUUCCAACAGUUGUAGUUUUUUAGGCAAAAUAUCGAAAAUGAAUUUUCUAUGGAGUAAAAAGAAAUUUUCUCUGACAAAUCUUCGUUCUAUGAUUCACCUGACUUUAAGGGUGUUGUGAUCUCCAAAAUGAUAAAUCGGUUGAAAAUAAAGCUUUGGAACCCAUUCUUCCCAGCAGAUUUCCAACAGUAGGAGUUUUUUACGCAAAAUAUCGAAAAUGAAUUUUCUAUGGAGUAAAAGGGAAUUUUCUCUGACAAAUCUUCAUUCUAUGAUUUCACUUGACUUUGAGGGUAUUGUGAUCUCCAAAAUGAUAAAUCGGUUGAAAAUAAAACUUUUGGAACUCAUUUUUCCCAGCAGAUUUUCAACAGUCGGAGUUUUUUUAGGCAAAAUAUAGAAAAUGAAUUUUCUAUGGAGUAAAAGGGAAUUUUUUUUUUUUACAAAUCUUCGUUCUUUGAUUUCGCCUGACUUUAAGGGUGUUGUGAUCUCCAAAAUAAUAAAUCGGUAGGAAAUAAAGCUUUUGGAACCCAUUUUUUCCAUCAGAUUUCCAAUAGUCAGAGUUUUUUACACAAAAUAUCGAAAAUGAAUUUUUUAUGGAGUAAAAGGGAAUUUUCUUUGAUAAAUCUUUGUUCUAUGAUUUCACCUGACUUCGUGUCGCCGUCGACGUGAACUUAUCGGAACGCUAAACCGGUGAGUUUACUUGCUAAACUCUAUUUUUGGAGUUAAUGAUGCUUAAUGGAUGAUUAGUUUAGGCUAAUUAAGGUUUAGGUGGAUAGUUAGAUUAGAUAAGUGAUUUAAUUAUUCAAUUAUGCAUGUUAGGUAGUUAGAUUAAAUGAAUUAAGGGCUAGAUAAGUUGUACUAUUUAUCUAGGUAGUUUUGAAAAUUUUCGCGGCCCGUUUGGGCGGUUAAUUAAGCAUUUCUGGCCUAAGUUGUUUUUUUAUUGCAUUUAAAUUAAAUUAUUUAAUUAAUUUUGGUAUUUAUUUAUUUAUUUAUUAUUUUUCGAAAAUUAUACCGAGAUGGCCGGUGACCGGAAUUUUGUGCUGAUUGCAAUGGUGUGGUUAAUUCUACAAUUAAGUGUUAAAUUGUGCAAAUUGAGUGGUAAUCGUAAUUUUGAGUAUCUAAGUCAAAAUUUGGGAAUUUUGGUAAUUAUUUAGAAAUUACCAGGUGACGGGUUUUGACACCAAAAAUUAUUUUAAAUACUAUAUCAAAUGGUGGGAUUUGAAAAUGAAUGGUAUCAAUUUUUCUGGUCCGAAUUGACCGUGUACCCACACACGACUAUUUUACUGUGUGUUUUUAAUACGAAGAAAAUAGGCUAGGAUUACUAUUUUAAUUGAGGCAUUUGAGUGCAAUGCAUGGUGUCCUAGGUCGAGAUUGAAUGGUCAUGUAUUGGUUAAGAGAACCUGUCCUGAGCUGUUGAGCUGGACGUGUCCCUAUAUGGGAUGCGCUACCAAUGGAUACCGGUUAUAGUAGAUUCUGAACCGAUGCUCCUUUAUGGAAUGCCGUCGACGUAGUGACGUUGCCAAGCUCGAUGGGGCGAGACAAUGCCUAGUUAUGCCAGAAGACCGUCGAGCUUCAAGUAGACCCUGCCCAUGUGUGACCGUGAUUAACAAUUGGAACACCUGCUGAGUGAAAUUGAUGCACCGAAUUAUGGGACAAAAUUGUGUGGCACGGAAUGAGACGUGUCAUAAUGAUUUGGUCUUAUAAUCGAGACCCCUUGUGUUGUUGAGAUGAAAGUGUUGGCAUUCCAAUUGUUUGAGCAUGAAUACUAUUUAUGUUUGUGUUAUGAGUUGUGUUGACAUGCAGGAAGGAUCUAAGACGAGGUAAAUCUCCGUGAUUGUGUGGCUGUAUGGUUAGGACGCCCAUAGGCGUAUUUCCUUCCUAAUUAGAGUUUAGGGGGUGAACUUGUUGAGACAUUGUCUCACCCCGUCAUGGGCUCAUUUCUUUUUAGGUCCUUAGAUGGAGCAGCGUCAUGUACACUAUGAGGUUUCGAGGGAGGUAGACUUCCAGCAUUUCUAUUUCCCAGUUUCCAGGACCGACUUGACCCAUGAGCUUGUGGAGUCCACUAUUUGGGUUGAUGAGGGUCUACCCCACCUGGUACCUCAUCGUUUCAAAGCGCGGUACCUUCAUAAGCAUGAUAGGAGUCGAGAGGGUCCUAUAGGUGGUUUUGACAAGCCUCCCAUUGAGACAGGGGAAUGGGAGAUAGGGCACCCCUUGGAUAUUGACACCCCUGAUAGUGCUGUGGAGGAUUCGGAGCCAAGGACUGGAGAGCCUGGAGUUUAGAAUCUCCGUAGCCCUUUUUUGAUCUAGACUUCUGUAUAUAGCCCUUUUAGUAGACUUUUGUAUAUGACUUAGCUUGUGUAUAAAGGUGUUUGGUUUGAUGUGAUUGUCCUGCUUUCCUAUCCUAUGUUGUUUGUUGUCAGGAGUUGUUUAUUCGCUUUUGCAUGUGCAAUAAAAUGAAUGGGUUGGCGACGCAUCUUAGGACGUCGCAAAUUUUAUCGACCAUCGAGGGAUGGGCAUGCACUCAAGGAUCAAGGCGUGACAAUUUGAGUCUAACCUUCCAUAAAAAUUGUAAUCAACUUGAAUUUACCAUAAAUCUCUUGUUCUUAUUCUUAGUAACUUUUUUUUCUCGAUAAUCAUAGCUUUCUUUCACAAUUCAUAAACUUAAAGACCCUAUUGGUGAGUAAUGGUCGUUAUAUGUUGUAGUUUUCCUUAAUCAAUAGUGACAAUGACAAUGUUUAAAUGUUUUUAAUUAUUGCCUUUUAAAGAUUAUCUAGGAAAAUUGUCCAAAAUGUUUUAAACUUAUCGUAUAGCGACUAAUUUAAUCUUAAAAUUUUUAAUUUGUACAAUUUAAUCAAAAUCUUUUUGAAGAUUAUCAAUGUAAUCCUUCUAACUAAUUUUGGCUAAAAAUUGCUAAUAUAUACACCGGCCACCUAAUGUGGCGUAGCCGGCGCCGAUAUAGAUAAUUUUUAAUUUUUAAUUUUUAACAUUUUUUUCUCUCUUCUGGUUUGUCGCCUCAGUGGUGGGUGGUGGAGGUAUCUGGUCACGGGCAAGGGCAUCAGUCAUUUUGGCUUUCACUGGGAUGAUGGACCACCGAGGGAAAUAGAGAAAAAAGAAAAAAGAAAAAGGAAAGAAAUGAAAAGGAAAAAAGAGGAAAGUGAAAAGAAAAAAAAAUGUACAAAUUGUCUACGUCAAGGUUGGUUGUGUUGCGUAAAAUGAUCAUUAAUCAUUUCUGGUAAAAUUGGCCAAAAGGAAUUGCCGAAGCCUUACUCCACUCGACCCUGCGAACCAAGUAACGUCCGAUCUCUUGAGUUGCCCUGUUUUAGUUAAAGCUAAGUCUAGAUUUAGUGUCCUUCGUUAGCACACGUUGCGGGCUGGACUGAGAUGUCUUUCACCAAUUCUGUGCUUUAUUUGUUAUCCCAUUUUGAUAUCGAGUCAUGAAUCUGAUUCUUAGAGAGCCGUCCUUCUCCCUAAUCUACACUCAUAAUCUGUUCGACAGGUUCAGUCUCAUUUUUGUCUAAACCGUGAGCAUAGUUGUCCAGAUCAAGUCAUGUUAAUUGGUUUUCAAAGUCUUUUCAAUGAUCGAGAGUGCUUUUUCUGCAUCCUCGUUUUCUUUGUCUUAAGCCUCCGGGCUACUAAUGGCGGUUGUCGGUGAGAUGACGAUCCUAGAUCCAGGGCCUAAAUGAUGAUUGUUAUAGGCAUCGGCAUUGGAUUGCUGGUCGUGUUUCUUCCCUCUAUUUCUUUUACUCGUGUUGUGGCUAAAAGAGAGGUGCUGGCCGAUGAGGGAGGUCAACACUGGUUAUUGGUGCAGGUCUUGCGAUGAACGUGGGCUUUUCAGUGAGUAGAGACGUUCGAGGUGGUGACCGGUAUUGAUGGUCGAGUAUGGUGGCCGACAGCGGGGGUCUGAUGAACGAAACUGUACUGACCGAUCGAGAAAUGUGAAGUUCUUGGCUGGAAUUUCUGGUGAUCUGGCGUGCUUGAAUAGAAGACAAUAGGAAGGGGAUGAUGAUGGGCCAGAAAGAAGGAGGUGAUAGUAUGAAAAUGGCCUUAGUACAGGCUUGUGUGCUGAAGUGUUGAGAUGGAUAUUCAUAUUGGUAGGCUGGGGCUUGAUUUGAUUUCAGUGAGUUUGGGCCUAAGAUAAACUUGGUGUGAUUAGAAGGUAAAAUGGGCUUGAUGGGUUUUCUUUUGGGAAUGGUUUGUCUAAAAUAAGCCCAACCACGUCCAUGGCCCAAGCCUGAAAGUCCAAGUUUAGCCCGGGUCCUUAUUUUCAAUUAAAUAAAAAAUAAAUAAAAAUUUCCAGAAAAUUAUAAAAUUUGGUUGGGAAAAUGUUAGGUUUUGUUCUCUCAGUGGAGUUCAUGCCAUUGAUCGUUUGUUGAUUCUUGUGCCCAAUUGCAUGCUUACUUGUGAGUGUUUUGAUAGAUUACACUUAAUUUUGUUUAGAGAUGAGAUGGGGGACUAGAAUUUAAUAAGGGGUUGAUGACAUUAGCCUACUGCUUUGUGAAUGCAAGUGAGGGUUGAUAAUAAUUGAUUUUAAUUAAUGAACCCUUAGUUUGAUUAGGAGGUGGUUGGGGGAAUCAAAUUGCAUGGGCGAAAUCAAAUUCUCAAGCCGGAUUGCUUGAUCGUUUGUUGAUCGAUGAACUUGCUGAUUGACUGUUUUGAUUGAGUGCAUGAUGGGAAUGUUGGAUGAAAUGGAUGUUAGAAACAAUUAAGGAUGGUGGUGAUCAUGAGCUUCUCGAAUACCGAUGGGUGAGAUUGGAGGUCUCUAGUGGUCAAGGCGACACUUAGUUUAGCUUGGUGUAAUUUAGUUAAUUUCCAAUUAGGCUAGUUAUCUCGGUUUUCACUCAAUAAAACCAAAUUAAACCUAGAAUCAUUUUUCUAAAUAAGGAAUUGGAAUAGCUUACAUUAGCUUCAACAUCAUAACAUAGCUAAAUAACAAAGCCAUGUAUAUUCUUUAUCCGACUCGUAUCGAGUUUUCUUUUCCAAAUUUACUUUAAAGUCAUUCAAUAUUGGAGCCCGCAUUUCAAUAAAUUGUUGUUAAUUUCCUUACUAAAAUUGUUAGGUCCAGUUUAGAAUCAAAUGAAAAACCACAAAAACAUUUCCUUGAUCACCUAGCGCCUUUGAUGCCUUUAUGAUCAUAAUUGAUAAUCAAGAUUGCAUGACCACUUAGAUAACAAUCUUCUAAGUUAGAGAUACCGAAAUGGCACUAAUAGAAGUUAGUGUAAUAGACAAACCUCCUUGUCUUAUUUGGUUCUUAAUCGACUCCAAAUGGCUAGUGGCUACUCCUAAGAUUACAUAGAAUAUUAAAAGAACUUUUAAAUGAAAAAACCAAAAUCAUGUGAGAUAUGGGUGUGGGAGAGUCCACUUUCCUAAUCAAUGGACCCCUUGGAUCAUUAGAAUCAUUUGGUUCGAUGCACCAUUUGGACCUUUUUUUUAAUAGCAAUACCUCUAAAUCUAUUCUCGAGGUCCUUAGACCCCUUGAGAGGGUUUGUGACAAGUAUGACUAUAUCAGACACAUUGAGGUAGAUCAACAUUUCAUCAAACAAAAUCUUGAUUCCAAGAUAGUUUGAUUUUCAUUUAUUAAAUCUGUAGACCAACUGGCGAAUCACUCACGAAGGUUAUUUCUAGCAAGAUCUUCUACAACUCACUUGGCAAGUUAAGCAUUACUGAUAUCUAUGCACCGACUUGAAGGGGAGUGUUGGUGUGAUUUGUCAAUUAAGACUAAUUGAAGAAAUUGUAGGGCUGAUUAGUUGCUAAAUUUGUACUGUUAAUGUCCUUAUUUUGAGGAUCAACCAUAUUCUUAGCCUAAGAUAGUGCAUAGUGGUAGUUAUUUCUCUCUACAAAUAUAUAUGCUAUCGUAUUCAUUCAGAGAGGGAUAAUGAAAAGGGACUAAUUCCUUAAAAUUAUCCAACUUGAGGUCCAAUCCAUAUUUUUCUCCCAAGUUAUAUUGUCUUGAAAGAAAAUCAUAAACUUUAGGUCCAGUCCAAAUUCACCCCAAACUUUUCUUUGUUUAGAAGAAACCCCCAACUUUACAUUUAGCCCCAAAUGUACUCUAGUCCUAAAUCAUCCUCUAUUAACCCUUUGUCCAAAACUCGCUGUUAGUCGUCUCUAAUUUUCAUAUCCUAGAAUAAUUUCAUUUUAGAAAUAAUUUUUCAUGUCACCUCGUUGAUGUGGAAAUGCCACGUGAAGUUUGGAUUGGAACACAAGGGUAGGUUUUAAGAACAUAUUGAAAAUUUUGGUGUUCUUUUUUAGAAAAACGAAAUUCGGGGUAGAUUUGAGAUUGGACCUAAAGUUUUGGAUUUUUUUCUGAGACAAAAAGAGAUUCAAGGUAGAUUUGAGACUGAAUAUAAAGUUUUGGUUAUUUAAGAGAUAAAAAAAAGUUGUGGAAAAAAUUGAGAUUGAACUAAAGUUGAGGGCUUUUUAGAGAAUUAGACAUAAUGGAAAGAGAAAAACGUAUUUGUUGAUCUUUAACAUCCUAUAUUCACAAACUAAUUCAAAAAUCAACUAUUUGUCUAAUGAAUCAGCUACAAUUCUCGACAUUAUGUUUAAUGGACUUCGAUGUCGUACACCGUCAGUUGGGAACAAACCUCGACCUCGAGUUUUAAAAUGUUCGAUUAUCCUAUCGCACAAACAUCUCUCAAUCUACGUAGGCUUUGGAUCAACGCCUUCAAAGGCAGCGGCUUUUCAUAGCUUUAGAAAGCAUUCCACCGAAACUCAGCAAGUGAUUCUUCAUAUUUUAUUAGUAUGACAAAUGCUUGCUUCUCUUCUGCAACUUCUAACAGAAUAUCAAAGUCCUCAAAUUCGAAACCAUCUAUCUUUCCGAGUGGAAAUUCGAGGCCCUCGACUUUUUGCUGUCAAGACUCGUGAACAAUACUUUAAAGGGGCGAAGUUUAAAACCAUCGGCUUUCCACGAAGUUAUUGUUGAGAAAAUCUGGCCCGUGCAUGGACAUGCUUGAUCCUCGAAUUUGUCGCGAAAUAUUACAGUCCCCAAGGCUCGUACGCCCAAAUGCUAUUUUGCCGCCGUAAACACGUCUGAUUGUAUAGUCCCAAUGCCAAAUAUGGUCUCCUUAAAAGCCUUCGCUUGUUCUCCCAAAACCAUUGGCAGAGACUCUUCAUCUAGGUGACGAUCUUCUAACAAACGCUUCUACGAGGCCAAAGCACCACAAUUUCAUCCUUCCGUUCUCGAGAAUCCGUGUACACGAGAAAUCUAGGAUGAGCAUUGGGUCCAGUUUGAUUCUAGCACCUGCCUGGUCGAUUCGAUCCCAAGCUGAUUCUCGGGAGAACUGGACAACGACCAAUUUGAUUUCCAUACUAGGGCCAGAACAGCCAGUUCCGGAAAUUGGUUUUAAACAUGUUAAUACUUUUGCAACCAUCGAGAUUUGAAUCAUGAUUUCAGUUUGAUCAACUAACCACAAAACCAGGGAUCUCCUUGUAAUGAAAUAAUGCAACUUUUCUUUUUUGUCGUAAAAGUUCGAAUUUUUACCCAAAACAUAGUGAUAAGUUGGCUUCCGGGGUACCCAAGAACCGGACUAGAACCCAAUUGUUCCCGAUUUUUGGAGCUGAGGGUCGCUGGCUCAGGAACUGACACACCUAGAAAUAUCAAAUCGCUUCAGUUAGCCAAUCCGAUGUCUAUUAUAUUUGGACUUCCAUAGAAGGUCGGAAUGUCCACUUUCAAAUUGAACUCCUGUCUUGCAUGUUCAUGAUCAUCAUCACCACUAUUUCUUUGAUCAUCGUCAAAAUCAUAACGACGAUCCCACUGCUCGUCGAGUUUUUUCAUAAUCACCCCAUCGUCCACAUUUGCAAUUCCACCGACAGCCAUCCCCGCCCAGACAACUUCUCCCUCACUGUGCAUUAUACACAUUCCGAUCGAGGGCUUCAUCGCAAUACUCAUCCUUGUCGUGGCCAAAGCCGCAACCUUUGUAUUGAAUUCCAAAUCGACUCCCUACCUAUCCCCAUAUAAAUCGAGACAGGAAAGUAGCAACUCAUAGAUUAUCUUUCCCUAAAAAAUGUGUUUUUAAGUACCAAGACGUGCUUAACAAAGUUGAAGGCUAAUUUGUUCGAUUAACACAAAAGGGAUGUGUUUUAGCUAAAAACAUUUUUAAAAUAGCACCCCAUUCGUAUCACUUAGAAAAAUUAUCCAAUUGGAAUAUAUGUUUAUUAUCAACACCAAUAUAUAUCUACUUAUUUUCGUUUGAUGAUGAAAAUAUUUUUCGUUAAUUUACUUUGUAAGCAAUACAAUAAAUUAUUAUUAGGAAUUUGUUUUUCAAAUUAUUGAUUUAAGCGAAUCAAACAUACCCCAAGACUCCCUUUGUUUUGCGGAAAACAAUUUUUAGGAAAACGUUGUCUGGAUUUUCUGAAAUUUGUUUCAUGGAAAAUGAAUUGGUCGGGGAAAAUAUUUUCCAUCAAUGGAAAAAAGUCUUCUAAAAUAGCAGGAUAACAUUUUCCACUUUUCAAGAAGGAGAAAACAAUUUUUUUUUUUUGGUAAAGGUAAUAUAUAUAUAAAUGGAGCUAAGGCAAUAUACAAAAGAUUGGCACCAAAAACCUACACUCAAUCCUCAGAAGGAGACAAAGUGUGGGGGAGCCAAUGUAAGAGGCCACAUAGGCAAACAAGAAAGCCACAAGGGCACAACAACAAAACAAACAAGCGGGAAAGAGAAACAACAAGGCUGACCAACCCUCAGCCCCCCAAGGAAGCGGCUAAGAACGGCGAGCCAAGAAAGAAAGGAGCAACUCGCGCAAAGCAGCAACUAAGGAGCACUAGUCAGACGAGAGAACACCGCAGGGUCGAACCCCCAACCACGCUGAAGCCUCUUAUUCCUCGGGGUAGGAGGAACAUCUUUGAAUGUUAUAGCUUUAUCCCUCACAACCUUAAUAAGGUGGUUUUUUAGAGCCGAGACCACUAAGGAUUCGCCCCGAAAUAUAAUCGCAUUCCUCUUUUUCCAAAUAAGGUGACACAUAGCUCCAAACGAGAACCGCGCAAUGCAAUGGAAGAAGUCCUUACCAGAUAAGAACUUUAAGGCCCAACUGAGGAUAUCUUUCCAACAUCUAUUCCGCCACGGGAGGUUACACCUGGCAGCCCAAAAGUAGGCCAGAGAAGCCGAGGUGCGACACCCGAAGAAUAAAUUUUCGACAGAAUCUGGAACAUCAUUGCAGAAGGCACAAACAUUAUAGUGGAUCCUUCCAUGAGAAAGAAGCAGCAUCUGGGUCAGUAGGCGAUUUUUGGUUAUAAGCCAUAAAUUAAACUGGAACCGCGGGGCUACAACAUUGUCCCAAACAAAAGACGCCCAAUCAACACGAUCCUUCUUGACUCUAAUGGAAUUCCAUGCUGAAGUUACAGAGAAUGAUCCAGAAGUGUCACAGCACCAGGUAAACCUGUCACGAGCCGAAGAGAGAACCGGGAGAGAGAUCCCCCAUCUUUCCAAAAAGGAUUUAAAUAAACAACCCAUAGAGGUAAACAGAUCCGCAACAACAGCAUUGUCAGGAAGACAUAAGCCUUCACGGAAUGAGCAAGGGAUAAAGGCAUCAAGGGGGCCACAAGAAAGCCAGUGAUCAUGCCAAAGAGACACUGAUAGGCCAUUUCCAAUCUUCCACACAAAGGAUAAGCGAAAGUAAUUCCUCAGUUGAAGGAUUUUUUUCCAUGCCCAAGAACAACAACGAGGCUGGGAAGAAAUUCAAAAGUUUCUUUUCUUUAAGAAGUUAGAGUGUACCCACCGACACCACAACGAUUCUUUAUCAGUGAAAAGAAUCCAAAUAAAUUUAAGCAUGGAGGCUUUGUUGCAAUCUUUAAGUUUCCGAAUGCCUAGACCGCCCUCAACCUUUGGGAGACAGACAUCGUCCCAGGAAACUUUGGCCCCACCCCGGCCAAGGGUCGUGCCCUUCCAUAAAAAUUGUCUGAAAAUGCGCUCAAUAUUAUCUAUCACCGAGGACGGAAGGUUGAAGACACUAGUCCAAUAUGUUUGAAUUGAAAGGAGUACUGACCUUAUAAGUUGCAGCCUCCCAGCAAAGGACAGAAAGCGUUGCGCCCAAGAUUGAACCCUGGCAGUAAUACGAUCAGUCAAUGCAACACAGUCUGCUUUGCCCAAUCUAGUAGUAAUAAUCGGAACACCCAAAUAGCAAACCGGCAGUUUCCCUUCUUGAAAACCGAAGGCCCUUAGCAUCAUAUUACGAAGAGAUGAAUCCCCUCCUGAGAUGAAGAUCUCACUCUUGUUUUUAUUUGGGUAGAGGCCGCUCCAAGAGGAGAAAAUGUCCAAACCCUUUUUUAACAACGUCACCGACGCCCAAUUAUCUUGACAGAAAAGGAAUACGUCAUCAGCGAAAAAGAGGUGAGUCAGCUGCACAGAUUUGCAUCUCCAGAAAUAUUUGAAGUCAUUGCUAGCAGUACAGGAGAGCAAGAUUCUAGAGAAAAUUUCCAUGACUAAGGUAAAUAGGUAAGGUGAAAUAGGAUCACCUUGCCUAAGUCCUCUUCCAGCAGGGAAAAAACCAUGCAAAUCACCAUAGAUAGAGAUGGAAUAUUUUGGCGUACGUACGCAAACCAUAAUUAGCGAAAUAAUCCACUCAGGAAAACCAAAGGCACGGAGAGCAAGCUCCAAGAAAUCCCAAUCAACCGUGUCAUAGGCCUUAUGGAAAUCAACUUUAACAGCACAUUUUGGCAGAUAAGGCUCUAAGUGAAAUCCAGCAAACAACUCUUGAGCGAUGAUGAUAUUAUCUCUAAUCCUCCUACCCUUUACAAAAGCAUUUUGUGAAGGGCUUAUCAAAUCAUUUAAGACAGCAGCAAUGCGAUUAGCAAGGAUUUUCGUAAUGACUUUAUAAAUGGUAUUGCAACAUGCGAUAGGCCUAAAAUCAGUGACUGCACUUGCGUUAGGGACUUUAGGAACUAGGGCGAGGAUAGUGGUAUUUAGCUCCUUUAGGAGCAGUCCCGAAGAGAAGAAAUCCUGGAUUGCUUCCACCACCAAUGGCCCCACUAAGUCCCAAUUAGUCUUGUAGAACUCUACCGAGAAUCCAUCAAGACCUGGGGCCUUGCCUUUGGCAAGGGAGAAUAAAGUAUUCUUAAUCUCAGAUGGAGAAACCGGCUCACAUAGGGACCGCACUUGAGCAUCAGAAAGUGGGUGACGAACAAACGUCUUCAACUCCUGAAGCGAAGGUUUAGAUAAAGCCUCAUGAUGAGAGAGCAGAUUCGAGAAAAAACUGACAAAAACUUGCGGCACAAGAACAGGAUCAGUGAUAAUAGCCCCCGACUAAUCCUUAAUGGAAAGGAUCCUAUUAGUAAGCUGCCUCCUCUUCACCGAAUGGUGGAAAAACUUAGUAUUCCUAUCACCUUCUUUUAGCCAUCUCACUCUCGACUUUUGUCUGAAGAAGGAUUCUUCUUGAUUCCUCAGAUCAAUAAAAACACGACGCUGAGAUUUUUCCAACUCAGCAAGAGAAAGGUUGUAAGGGUCCGAUUGAAGACUAACCUGAGUGCUUCGAAGGGCCUCUCUUGCUUCGACCGCCCUCACAGAGAUAUCCGAGAAGGCGUCUUGGUUAAGUAACUUAAGUCGAGCUUUCACAAUUUUCAGCUUGGAAACAAGAAUGUACAUUGGAACGCCUAUGAUGGAGGAGUCCCAAGCCUGAUGAACAAUUGAGUUAAAGUCCGGGUGGUCAGCCCAAAAUUCAAAAUACUUAAACGGCUUCCUCCUCUGGACCGGCUGAGGAACUCUGACGAUCAUAGGAGUAUGGUCCGAGAUACCAGGGUUCAAAAACGAAGCCUCAGAGAACGAGAAAUGAAGGUUCCAAUUGUUGUUAACCAGAACACGGUCGAUCUUCCUCAUCUUCCUAGCGUCUCCUACUGAGGUGGACCAAGUAUAACGGAGGCCAACAUAUCUGAGAUCCAUUAGUUCUAUUUGUGCUAAGCAUUGGACAAACUCAUCAAAAUAAGGGAUCUAGUUGUUGGAACCUCCAACUCGAUCGGAUGGGUCUUUAAUGGCAUUGAAAUCACCAGCAACAAGCCAAGCCGAAUCCUGCAUCAAGUCAUUAAAGUGGAGGAGGUCCUCCCACAAAGGUCUACGAUGCAGAAAAGUAUGUUCACCAUAAAUAGCAGAGAUGUAGUAGCUCACACCAGACAUAUUAUGCUUCAGACUACCAUGCAUAGCCUGGUCAUUGAUAGAGAUAGGCACAAAAGAAACAAAAUCCAGGUUCCAACCCACCCAGAUUCUACCACGAGAAGAAUACUCAUAGUUUGCAAUCCAAUUCCAACCACUAAUUAAGGAAGCCGAGAUAGAAUCAAAAUGUUCCUCAGGAACUUUAGUCUCAAAAAGGCCAAUCAGGCAGAGUUUAUUAACAGCAGCGAAUCUCCUGAUCUCUGCCCGCCUAAGAGGGUUGACCAUGCCUCUAAUGUUCCAAAAGCCAAAAAACAUAUCAAAAAGGAUAGAUGGUAGAAUUACCUCUUCUUAGCCCUGCGACCUGUGGCAGGCGCUUUUGAAGCCACCGAGGGUGGUGGAUCAGGAAGAAGCAAGAGGAGCUGUUCUUGCAUACUUCUAACACCAUCCGGAGCCGGGCCCUUUGGCGAAGGGGAACCCACAGACAAAACAUCUUCAUCAUUUACUUCCAUUUGAGUACUAGAGUUGCAUAUUUCAUCCGAGCUUCCACCCUGAAGUGAAGAGGAGGGAGCUUCCUUCUCAGCAUGCUUUUUCUUUUUCUUACCUUUCCUUUUCACUUGCUUCCACUCUGGAUCGGCAGCAGGAGCUGAGGACAUAGCCACCAAUUCACCACCAUCCUCAGAUGUAGAAACCUUAGCAGUAGAGAUCUUCGAAGGCUUAGGAGGAACAAGUGCGGUUGCCUCCAGUUGCAGCUGAGAAUCAAUCUCAGGAUCGAUCAUAUCCAUGCCUGGGGUAGUAAGUGGAACUUGUAAGUCCACCAUAACCUGUUUUUGACAAUUUUGAGAGAGAGCAGGACCAUAUGGACAAGUGGGGGAGUUAGGAUGCACAGAUUUGUCUUGAGCAGGAUGGAUUCCAACACCAGCAUUGAAGACCUGAUUAGCUUCUGCAGAAGGAACAGCAGAGUUUGUAGGAGCAGCUGUUUUACAGCUGUGACCAAAGAUACCGCACACAGGGCAAGCAAGCGGUUUCCAUUCAUACUCAACUUCCACUUCCACUGAUUUACCAUCAAGGAGCAGCUCAAUAGAUUCACAAGUUGGUUGCUGGGCUGUUAUUUCAACACAAACCCUGGCGAACGUUAGCAUUGUCAUAUGCUCUGUCCGCUGAUCCACAUAGAGUGGUUUACCCACUGCACUGGCCACCUUUCCAAUGGAUUGAGCUGACCAAAAUGAAAAAGGUAAGUUCCGAAGUCUCACCCAAACCGGAACUGAACGAUGGAUGUCUUUACUGAGUUCCAAACCUGGUUUCCAUUGCUGCAGAACCAGAGUAAUCCUUGCAACUGUUAUAUGGCCUCCUUCAAGGAUUUUCCUUCGGAACUCCCUAUCUAGUAUGCGCAAAACAAACAGUCCCCGCCCAAUGGACAUGACUUCAAACAGAUUCGGACCCUAGGCUUUUUUAAGAGCCUCUUCAAUAACUUUCGCCUUCCAAUGAAAUACCCCACAAGACACUCAAAGAGCUUGGGAUCAGCAGCUUCAAGAUCAGAUUCUGUCAUCUGUAUAACUGGUUUAUUGUUCACAAAGGUCGGAGGAGUAUAUUCAAGAUCAUAACCUUUAUGCACUCCACUAGCAACAGCAGCCCAAGACCGAGUUACCGGGUAUUCCAACUCACCCCUGCGUUGAGGGCGCUUGGAUGUCGAUCUACCUCUACUCUUUCCACGCGCCUUAACAGGAGCAAGAGGAGGUCGCGAGUCAUUGUUCUCAAUCGCAGCAGAUGGGGACGAAGGAUUCGGCCUCUGUUUGCUCAAAGAAGGAGCAGCCAACAAGGGUUGUCCAUGAACAGGAUGAACAGGAGGGGAAGGGCUUCGAUUACUCGGCCCCUCAUCAUCAAAAUGGGCCCGGAAGGGUCCGGACUCCAUCAACUCAGCAGACUCGAAACAGCAGAACCGCGAACCAAAAAAAAAACCCUAACCCAUCGCAACCAAAUUAAACCCACUGGAGAGCAUGUACCAAGCAGCACUUAGAGGGUUUGAAGAGCAGUCGAUGGCGCCCAAGAUUCCCAAAUGGAGCAGCAACGUGAUGGUGGGUCACUAGUUCGGCAAGGGAAGCUGCGGCGAGGGCGGACCGGCAGGAAUAGGGCAGCACCCAGAUAGCAGGGACAACCGGCGGAACAGGGGUGUCGCGGUCAGAGCUACCGGAAACUCAGCCGAAAACACCUAUUGGAUCUCCCUAAACGAACAGAAGAACAGUCGGAAACCAGAGGAGAGAAACUGGGCAAAAAUUCGUAACCUAGGCCAGUCGAUUUCUCUGCAUGGAGGGCAUCUUUUGCGAAACCGUUCGGUGAAAACGUAGAGGGGACUGAGCUGAAGCUUCCCUUCGAAAAUCAGCCGAAAACACCCAUUGCAGCUCCCCAAACGAACAAAAGAACAACCGGAAACCAGAGGAGAAAAACUGGGCAGAAAUUCGUAACCUAGGGCAGACGAUUUCUCUGCUUGUAGGCCAUCUUUUGCGAAACCGUUUGGUGGAAGCGUAGAGGGGACUGAGCUGAUGCUUCCCUCCGAAAAUCAGCACAUUCCGAUACCCACAGCCACGGGAAUCAGCAACUCACCAUAUGGAUGAACAGUGACUCGGGAAUUCGAAUUGAGAGCAUCCGAUGAACAGUGACUCGGCAAGGUGAUUACUUAGAAUUGAGAAAACAUUUUCUUUACUCUCUCUUAUCUCACCCCCCCUUCAUAUUCUUUCUUUUUUUCCUUUUUUAAAAAUUAUAAUUUUUAUAUCUUUUUUUAUUUUUUCUUCGGAAGAUAUUUUCAAACUCACUUUCAAGUUUAGGUGAACAACAAAAAAUGUUAUCAUUAUUAUGAAAAAUGGAUUCCUCAAAAAUAUUUUCUAGAAACACAACAUUCUCCAUGAAAUGAAUGGAGCCUGAAAAUAUCAUCUACUUGAUCCUGCUCAAUACAUGGUGAUUAAUGGUUAUGAAUGAGAUUGGCUAAUUGGGGAGUAUAUAUCCCCUUUUGUCGCAACCUACCCCUAGGGGGGUGGUGGGGGAGUAAGUUUAGGAGUAUUGCCGAAAGGACGAACCAAAAGCCCAUGAUUAUGUGCGGGCUCUCCUAAGUUCAUAUCUCGCGUGACAUUGGGGUACUUUUAAGAAUUUUGCAAUAAGGAGUCACUACUAGCCUAUUGGGGUCGGCUAGAAACCAAGUUGGGCAUGAGAGUAUGCCUCGCUUCCUACGUAACCAGAGAAUGUAGGGUCGGGGACUUGAUUACACUAAUUGACCAAUUAGUACCAUUUCAAUACUUAAUCUUGUUCAUUUUAAAAGAAAAGAUUUUUGUCAAGCAGUUUGGAUUGAUUUUAUACCUAUCCACUAACAUGUGAGGUGAUCAUGCAGGUGCGCAAUCAUUAAAAUAAUAAUUAUAGCUACCGAGAUCUUAAUUGCAAUAAGAUUAAGCAAGUGCAAUUAAACAUAAUAAAAUAUGCAAACUAAACAUGCGAUAUAAUCAAAAUACAAGCAAAUAAAGGCCUAAUUACAUUAAGAAGGCAAGAUAUGAUAAUUCCUAACCAAACCCUACAUUUUUUAAUUUUUGAAAAUUUAUAUUUUUUUCGAAAAAAAAUAUUUUUUUUGGGUGAAUUGAGUUGGGUCCGGUCUAACCUGGUCGGGCGAGUGGGGCCCAAUUCAGGACAAACCUGCCCGGGUCCGACUUGCUUGGGGGUGGACCGGUCCGCCGCUUGUAAGGGCCAGGCCUGACCAGAGAUGGUUGGGCCUUUACCUGGUUGAAGGUUGGGCCUGACCGAUGGGCCCGACUCCCCUAAAAAGUGGCCGUAGGCCCAGUUGACUAGCUCAGGCUUUCUAAAACUAAAUAGGGCCCAUGGAAGAAACCUAAAUUAAUCCUAAAGCUCAAACCUAAAUUCAGUCCAAACCCGACUCAGGUAUGCCCGGCCCGAUUUGCCCAAAACCCUACCCGGUUGACUACACUCAGCUCAGCUCUUUUGACCCAGUUCGUGUCUCCUCUCUCUCCUACUCUUUCGCGGCUCUGAAGGAGGAUGGUCGGGACGCCGUCGGGCGGUGGCUCUGUGUUGACGGUGGUGGCGAUGCGGCGGGUGGUGGCUGCGGGCAGUGAGGGGUGACAACAUUGUCGGGGUUUGUGAGGAUGGGCGGCGGCUGUGUUGGAGGCGACACUAAUGGAGUCAGGCAGCAAUAGGGACGGCUACGUUGGGGAUGGAGUCGAGACGGAGGUGACAUCGACGGGCCAGCGAGUAACACGACGAGACUUGUGUUGGAGGCCGAUGGACGCGGCAACGAGUAACUCAACACGACGUUGGGAGGAUGGGUAGAGACAGUGUCAAGCCCAGGCAUUGUCGCAGUCGGGGUCGGACGGUGGCAGCUUGGUGAGCAACGGUGAUUCUGCGCGGUUGCACAGCUUGGGGCGACUAGUAACUCCCGCAAAACUCUAGAUCUGCUUUCAGCUCUCGACUUCUCCUCUGGUCGGCUGGCUUGAUGUCGGGACUACGUAGAAGCAGAUUGUGGCAGGCGACAACGACGUGGCGGAGAUCUAGUGCAGUGACGGCGUUGGGGAGUGUCGACGGCGCCUCCUUCCUCCUCGAAUUUUCCCUUUCUCAGUCUGUUUCCCCCUCCGUUCUCUCUACUCUGCUCUACCCCUCUGCUAUUGCUCUUGGUUCCCCCUUCCUCUCCUGUGGUGCCCCUCCCAUUUUUCCUCUGCUCCACUGCUUUUCUUCCUUUUUUGCUUUCCCUCUCUUUUUCCUUUUUUUGCUUUUUUUUUCUCUCCUGCUGCUGUCUAUCCCUUAUCUUAUCCGCUCUACCCAAUGUCCCCUGCUGUUGCUGCUUUUGCUUUCUGCAGGUUUACGCUCGAAGGUGGCUGGAAGAGGAAGAGCUAGGGCGUGGGCCGAGCCGAGAGGAGAGUGAGGUUGGGCCAGUGUAACAUCCUAGAUUUUCAGUCCUGUUUUCUACUGAAUAAAUCAGGCAUUUCAUUGAUGUGCCUAUAAGGCUGUUCUCAAAGCUGAUCACUCUUGAGAUAACUAGAUUAUUUGGGAAAGCCAUUAAGGAAUUUUAAUGCAAUAGAUUUGAGAAUUCGACCAGGAAUCGGCUUCUCGACUGUAAUUAUCUUUAGAGGCCAUUACGGCACAGUUAAAAAUCGAUUUGAGAUUAGCGAUAGGUUUGUUCGACUAAGAUGUGUGGCUAAUCGUGGGUGACACCACUAAAUUAGAAAAUUCUCAUCGACCGAUCCUAGACUGAUUCUUUUGUCGUUUUCGUACCUUGUGUUCGUAAUUGAAUCAUCGAGAUUUUCACGACAACCGAGAGUCGCCAAUGUGUCGAGUGGGUUCAUUGUGGUUCGAAAAAAAUCGACCACGAGUCAUUUGCAUUAAAAAUCUCUAAAAACUAUCCGGUAGCCUAGGUCACGCUAAAAACGCGCCGAAUGGAAAUUAACUGCAAAUUCAAGUCAGAUUUUAGAAAUCGAAGAUUUUGUCAUGUCACAAUAAAUUCUAGGAACGUCGACUUAGUCUUAGAAGAUUUUUCUGCAACCUGAGACUUUUUGAAAAAAAGUUUCAAAAAGUAGGCGUAGGACCCUUUUUGUUCAGAAAAAGGGCGGGAUUAUUUUUUAUUGCAAAUUUGGGAAGCAUGAUGGAUCCUUAGGUGGGGAAAUAUAUCAAUUGGAACAUGGAGAUGUCAAUUGAAUUUAUAAAUGCCAUAUGAGGUUGGAUUGUGAAGGAAUUGAGUUCAAUUGAAGCCAUUUGCUUGCAAAUUCGUGUGCCCCCAUUCCUUAUAGUCUUUGGACCAUUUCAAGAAGUUGUGGAGAGUGUUUUGGUGGCUCAAUGACAGCCAUAGGACCUUGGCUUGAUGGACAAGCUCAAGGGGGACAAAAAUGUGGAAAUUAAGGAUGGUAGGCCCCCAUCUUUACUUCUUUCUCUUCCUCUCCUCCAAGGCUGCCGUCCACCCUACUUCUCUCUCCCUCCAUUUGCCUUGUGUGACACUAGCAAGCCAGAGCAGAACCAGCUGUAGCCCGUCGCACACUGGAACACCGUUGCCACCGCACACCCUCGCCGUCUCGUCGGAGCUGCGCCGCUUGGCCCAUUCGCAUCCGUCGCCCUUGCUCGCCCCUCACGCCAUUCCAGCCUCUGUCCAACUGCCCGUGGAGCCAAACCGGAGCUUGUCUAGCUACCGUGAGCCGCUGUGGACCGCCUUCCAAGCCAACGAAGUCCCCCACCGGUCCACCGUUGUCCUCACCGCACCAAGCUAGCUUGUUUUCUUCUGUUUUGCAGCCCCUUUUAGCAAGCAGAAAAGUGGGUUUCAGAGCAACUCCCAGGCCCAUUUUGAGGUGUUUGUGGACCUCGGAUCCUAGGCUCACUUUGGAAAAAAGCGACCCUCGCUUCGUUCCCGACGUUUCGAUCCAAACGGAUUGUUAAACAAGUGAGUUUUGCUCACUAAUCCUUGCUUAGUAGAAUAAUGAUGUUUAUGGGUUGAUUAAAUUUAAUUAAGUGCAAUUAAAUGGAUAGAUUAGAUUAGAAUAAUUAAAUUAGGGAAUUACCUAUGCAUGUUAGACAAAUGGUUAAUGUACUUAGCAAGUAGACAAGUCCUAUUAUUUAUUGAACGAGUCUCAGUAAUUUUUCAGGCUCGUAUCGGCUUCCAAUUGGGCAUUACGGGCUUAAAUUGGAUUUAUUGCUAUUUAAUAAUUAAUUUUUGUAAUUAUUUAAUUAUUUAAUUAUUUUCCGAAAAUUAGACUAGGAUAGUCGGUGACCGGAAUUUCGUGUUGAUCAUAGUGGUGAUCUCUAUUUAUUUAAUUGAGUACCUGAUUGCGUAAAUUGAAUGAAAUUGUGUGGAUGAGUGUUUUACUUUAAAAUUGAUUAAUUUUGGCAAAUAUGAGAAAUUGAUUUCAUUGUAUCAUGUCGGCUCAAUGACUGAGGAUGUCAUCUAGGAGAAAGACAUAGUAUUGGCUUGAUGAUUCAAUCUGUCAUCUCGGAGAAUGCACGUGGCUCGUUGAUAAGAUAUAUCGACUUGGAGAAUGCAUGUCGCUUGAUGAUUAGUUAUAUAUAUCACCUCAGAGAAUGCACGUGGCUCGGUGAUAAGGAAUAUCGUCUUGGAGAAUACACGUGGCUUGAUGAUCGGUUCCAUCACCUUGGAGAAUGCAUGUAGCUCAGUGAUAAGGAAUAUCGCCUUGGAGAAUGUACGUGGCUCGGCGAUUGGUUCUAUCAGUUGAGACUGGAUAGUAAUGGCUAGAAUGACUGGGAAAUGGUCAGAUUGACAUGUAAUCAACCAUGUCGAUUGAUCGAUGUUUUGAUUUGUUGUGAUUGUUUGGGUGCCUAUUGAAUUGUACUGAUUUGCAGGUGGAAUCUAAGGCUAAGGUAAGUCCUUUGACCCGUGUGUGCAUAGGUAGCCCAUAUGGCAUAUUGGCUUCCUAAUCGAGUCUUAGGGGGUAGAACUUGCUGAGACGUUGUCUCAAUGGUUAUUAUAUAACCAGUUCAAGUUCCUAAAUAGCAACACCUCCACCUCCUUGUCCUCCGAUGCACUUUGGUAUACCUGAAGAAGUCACCGAGAUAAAAACUCACUUCCCUAUACACCCUCACCCGGAAGGAUUAGAGUAUGUUUUAGUUAAGUCAACCGUCUGGGUUGAUGUGGGUAAGGACACCCUGAGGCUCCACGAGUAUCGGUCAUGGUAUCGUGAGUAUCAUGAUGGGUGAAGGGAGGGUCCCAUGCUAGAAAGUGAAGUACCUCUGUUCAUUUUAGAGGAAGCGUUUGGGGAAGGAACAAUAGAUCCCAAGGAUGGAGCGGUGACCGAUGCUAAAUAUCUUAAGCUCGAGAGUGACAUCGACUCUCCCAAGCAAUCGGCAGUAGACUCCAGCUGGAGUAUGCCAGAAGGAGAGGUUGAACAAGAAGAGGUGUACCUAGAGGAGGAACCCGAGGAAGAGGAACCCGAGGAGGAGGAUCCUAAGGAGGAAGAACCUGAAGAGGAGGAUCUUGAUGAGGAACCCGAGGAGGAUCUAGAGGAUGAUCCAGAGUACGACCCGGAUGAGGACUGAGGUCUCAUCCUGUUUGCAAACCCUGGGUUGGGAACUGAUGUGUGAUAGAUCAGACUUUAGUGAAUAGUAUUGUAAUAUAUACUAUAUGGUUUGCUUGUGUAAAAGUGUGGUUACGGUGGGCACGUACUUGAGGAUCGGGGCAUGAUAGCCAGGCUGCAGCGUGCGCGCGCGCGAGAGAGAGAGAGAGAGAGAGAGGAAAAGAGGAGGGCCGGGUUGGGCCAAGGCCAGAUUCGGCUCGACUUGCCCCCUCUCGCGUCCCUUUUUUGUUGUUUUUUCUUUUCAUUUUUUUUUUGUUUAAAAAUAGGCAUCAACAACUGCCCCUCUUUGAAUGUAACCUCGAAGAGGUUGCAUUCAAAGACAGAAGACACCUAAAUUAUUUUAGUAGUUGAGAGACCCUUAUUGCAUAGGCUCGCACUAGGUCGAGUUAUGGAAACAUGUCGUGUCAAUAAGAGGAAGAAAUACCUUGGGCUAUAGAAGCACGCUGUGUCAUAAGAAGAAAGAGAGACUCCAAGCUACAAAAGCACGCCGUGUGAUAAGAAGAAAGAGAGACUCCGAGCUACAAAAGCACGCCGUGUGAUAAGAAGAAAGAGAGACUCCGGGUUACAAAAGCAUGCCAUGUCAUAAGAAGAAGGAAGACCCCGUGCUACAAAAAAAUGCCGUGUCAUAAGAAGAAGGAAGACCCCAGGCUAUAAAGCACACCGUGUCAUAAGAAGAAAGAGAGACUUGGGGCUACGGAAGCACGCCGUAUCAUAAGAAGAAGGAAAGACCCUGGGUUACAGAAGCACGCCCAUGUUAUAAGAAGAAAGAGAGGCUCCGGGUUACAAAAGCACGCCGUGUCAUAAGAAGAAUGAAGACCCUAGGUUACAGAAGCACGCCGUAUCAUAAAAAAGAAAGAGAGAUUCCGGCAACAAGAGCACGCCGUGUCAUAAGAAUAAGGAGAGACUCUGGGCUACAAAAGCACGCCAUGUCAUAAGAAGAAAGAGAGACUUCAGGCUACAGAAUCACGCUGUGUCAUAAGAAGAAGGAAAAACCCCGAGCUACAGAAGCAUGCUAUGUCAUAAGAAGAUAGAGAUGAAGUCUCAUUGUGUAACAAUGGGUUUUGACCGAAUUAAAAAUACAUGGUUUGAGGAAAACUCAUGAACCUUUGUAGAUGACAUGGUUUAAGGUUGAACAUGAACCUUUUGAAAAUCGUAGUUCAAAGACGGACUCAUUAACAAUUUAAAAUUGUGGUUUAAGGAUAGGCUCACGAAUCUCGUGAUUUAAGGAUAGACUCGCCAACCUUGUGGUUUAAAGAUGACCCACAAACAGUGUGGUUAAGGAUAAACCCACGAACCAUGUGGUUUAAAGAUAAACCCCGUAAUCGUGUGGUUUAAGGAUGACCCACAAACCUUUGGAGACGGCAUGGUUUAAGGCUGAUCAUGAACCUUUGAAGAUGACAUGGUUUAAGGUUGACCAUGAACCUUGUAGGCUUUUGGGAAACAUCCGCUAAUCCCUUGAAAACUGCAUGACUGCACUGGGGAAUCCUGUCAAACUCAACUUGAGCAAAUGUCAUUAGGGACGACAUCAAGAGAUGUGUAAUAAAUAAACAAGCUAAUCAAGCUAAGUCCAACUGCUUUAAAAAACAUUCGAUGUCAAUCACCAUCAUGUGGUGCAAAAUUGUCAUCUUGCUCGGGGAUGUAUUGAUAUGGCUAGUAUAAGUACCUAGAGGGGGGGUGAAUAGGUAUAAAGUGUAAUUUCUUAUGAUAAUCGCACAAUACUAGACAGUUGAUAGAAAUGAGACAAUUUUUCUCGUCAAUAAACAAACAACAAACAAAAUAAGACUGAGAGUAGGGAAGAGAAAAUUGAACACAAGGUUUAUAGUGGUUCGGCUUAUUUCAAGCCUACGUCCACUCUUCUGCACUGACAGCCCACUGGCUGGAUUCCACUAUGAACAAAGAGAUAUUACAGUACUGUUCUUCCUUGAUUUCUCGGUGUAGAAGAUCUACCACACUCCCUCAAGGUAUCACUAAGUAUAGACUCUCUUUGCGUGUACAGUUUCGCUCAAUAUGAAUCGACUAAUAAUCAAGGAGCUUCAGACUCUGGAAUUUCUCUAUCGAGCACACCCUAGAACAACUGGAACGUCUUCCUUUUAUACUCCUUUAUGCCAUCAUACCCGUUGGCACUUACCAAAGGAAUUCUUCCAAUCUUCCCGUUGGACAAAAUCAAUUAAGAAGAUUAUUCGAGCUAUUAAAGGAACAUGUCGAUAGCCCAUCAAUCCUGUUCGCCCAUACAAUAAGGAUCUUGGUUUCCAAGAAUGGAACCUUCCAAGAAUAUUUCGUCAAUCAUCGGAUCUUCAAACGAUCUUGAUUUCGAAUAAAUAAUCCGUUAUAUCAAAUCCAGCCAAGAGAUCUUCUCCAGUCGAUAAGACCAAAUCCUUAACCAAACACUUUAGCUCUGGAUCGCCUUCGUCGCUGGAUUAGAAACUGUCAAUGAGAAUAGUCUUGAGUCUUAAGUCUUGUGUGCUGAGUCUGAUGAUCUGAAAGUCUUAAGACUCUAAGUACAAGGGUCUGCACAGCUUCCAGACUAGACUGAUAUAAACGUUUUGUCAGCUUCAAAACACUCUAGAGAGAUUUCUCCAACAUGUAUCAUUAAUCAUCAAAUUUUCUAGGAGUCAAGUUCUUAUCAUAACGGCUAUGACUCGUGAAAGAGGCUCAUUAAGCACGCAAAACUAGAGCUUCUUAGUUAGAAAGGGUUUCUUACACACUCUCAAUAAAAUGGUUGCUUUAUCCCAUCCAUUCACGUGGGAAGUAACUGAUUGUUGAGGGUAUUUCACAUAACCUAUAUCAAAGGCUUUCAGAAACAUCCACAAUGAGCCCAAUUUGAUCGAUCAAGAAGGUUUUUUUUUAAAGGACUGCAAUAUAGGUUUGGUCAUGGGCUUACACAAAGAGAUUAUUGCUUUGAGGCCAAAAAAGGAACAUUUGUCGCUAUCUUCGUUGGGUUUACAAAUCAAGAACUUGGAAGAUAAAACAAGAUAUAAUUGCUGCCACUCCUUCAAGCGGUAGCUUCUUUGUGGCAUUCUCAUUUUCACUUGAACCAUCUCAAUCAGAAGAGAUUUCGAAAGAGGGUUGUAAUGUUGGCUCGGGAGAGGCUCGAAAGGCUUAAAAUUUUUAAGAGGGUUUUUAAGAGUUGGUGAUCAUCAUGGUAUCGUGACCAAAUCACUCGAUCUUUUGAAAUCAUUUAGCUUUUGAAACACGGUACAUCUCAAAAGUCCCUUAACUAAUCAUUUAUGCAUGGGAGCUUUGCUCCUUUCUCUAAUUUCCUUUGCUCUUACAAUGAUUUUUUUUACGUAGGCACUUGGACUUUGGUAAUUUUUCUUUCACAUAAGAUGCAACCUUUUGUCUCUUUUUCUUGACGGGCAUUGGUCUUGUUUUUAUCAGGCACAUUGCUUUUUCAUGCCCCCUAAUUUUGUUGAACUUUUUGCUCUUUGAACUUUUGGAGCUCUUAUGACUUUCGAGAUGUUUUUUCACGUUUUCUCGUAAAUAUCGAUUGUAUGUGGUCAAUCCUUAUGCUUUGCCCCAGUGAAGGGAGAUGAUCACCGCUCGAGAUUUAGAAAUGAACAAUUAGGCCCAAAUUGGUUUAAGUAACGGAUAUUAGUGUUUGGGUAAAGAAAGAAAUGCUCUUCUUCACCUUGUGAUGAGUCGAGCUUUGAUGAGAAUUCCUUUGAAGCUAUCACUAGAAGAUUGAUGCAAGUGAAAGUAAUAGAAUUUUUCUCAAUCAUUUGCUCUACAAUACGAUCGUAACCUCCUAUGCUGCCCCAAUGUAGGGUUUUCUUGACAGGCGUACUUUGAAGGAUUAUCCUUAUUUGGCCCAAAGGGGUAGCAAGAGAUUAGUGCAAUGCUUGGGAUUGAUGAAGGAAAUGCCUUUAUCAUUUCAAUCUUUCCGCUCAAUACGAAUGAAUCAUUCAUCCUAAGAGAAUGUCGCUCUUCACUAAACUCUCAAGAGUGUUUGAAGGACGUGUUUGGAAGUGGCUUACCUUUCUUCAUCCUAAGCACUUCUUGUUUGGCAUGAUUAACGUUUCACCUUUUACUCUACUAAGAUCAUUUGAUUAGAUCAAUCUCCAUCGGGAAAUUUGAUUCAAAAUGAAUAACCCACAAAACGAGAAAACAAUAUUGAGAUAAAAAAGAUGUUCAAAAAGUUUGUAGAAAGUUUUUUUUUCUUAAUUAUUCAUUUUUUUGUGCUUGUCUCUAGGAAAGCGCCAAAGGUUCUUUUUUGUAAUGGAAAUUCUCCGUUUUGUUUUCUUCAUCCUAAGCACUUCUUGUUUGGCGUAGUUAACAUUUCACAUUUUACUUUGUUGAGAUUAUCUGAGUAGAUCGAUCUCCAUCGGAAAAUUUGAUUCAAAAUGAAUAAUCCACAAAAUGAGAAAACAAUUUUGAGAUAAAAAGGAUGUUCAAAAAGUUUGUAGAAAUUUUUUUUUCUUUAUUAUUCAUUUUUUUGUGCUUGUCUCUAAGAAAGCGUCAAAGGUUCUUUUUUGUAAUGGAAAUUCUCCAUUUUGUUAUUUGUUUUUUGUUUUCUUUUUUUUUUUUUAGUUAAUUUUGAGAAGAAUGGUACUUACCUGUGGCAUGGUGACUCAGUAACCCUAUAAAUGUGAAAGAAUAUGUUAGUGCAAAAAUCUUUAGGGAUUAAAAUGUUGGAAACGAUACAUUAUUACCAUUCACUCGCUUUUAUCCUUUGGGUGCUAACAUUCUUGGAUUCACCCUCGUGGAUAUUUGGUAACUUGACAUUACCUUUCACUUGCAUUUACCUUUAAUUGUUUGAUGUUUUCCUAUCAAAGGAAAAAAAAGGAUUCAUGUCAGUGACGCUAUCAAAAUGAGCAAUUGGAAUCGACACAAUUUACCAUUCAUGUGUUUUCGUUCUUCAAGUAUGAACUUUGCCCAAAGUGGCUAGGGUUGAUUGAAAAAUGGCUAUGUGGCCCUGAUUUUAUCCAUGAAAAGCAUCUCUUUAUUGUAUACAACAAUUUAUGAAGUUCAAUUCUUGUUUUUUCAAGUGCUCUUUUCGAAGAGACGUUUAAUUGAUAAAGAGCUUGAAAAAAUUAAAUAAGGAUAAUUAGAUGUGUUUUUCAAGAUCUUGCUUUGAAAAGAGAGGAAUUGCUCAUUGUUUUCACAUUUGAGGAUAUUGUUCUUUAGAUGCUUUGCCCAUUUAUUGCCUACAAAGAAAAGAUUAGACAUAUUAUUUCCUCGCUCGAGUGGGAAGCAUUUAGGAACUAUACACAUCCCUUUACGCCAAAAUGGAUAGUCAGGUCUUAGCACGAUUCCUUGAUGGAAGGCGCUACUUCUACAAUCAAGGUGCAACUUUUUCCCAUUUAUCACCUUGUAAGAAUAGAAGAUGAAACAUGUCAUCUCAUACUUAAUUAGGUUCAAUUGAGGAACGAUACAUCAUUUCUUGAUGAAUUUGAUAAUGUUGUUCUAGCACACUUCAUUGGUGGGGAAAUGAGAGAUUUUUUUUUCUAAAUCAAACGUUGCUCUUCCACUAUUUAUUUGACAAACCUUUGUUCUAUUCGAAUCUUUCUUGUACCAAAGAAAAGGAUGUGUCAUUUUUUUAUGCUAAAGAGACUCAAGUUUAGGAACGAAAUACAUCGUUUUCCAAAGUCGGAUGAUCAACAUCCCAAGGUAUCUCUUAUGGAGGAAGGGAUAAUAUUGCCCCUUCCGUCUCAUUUGAUUUUUUUUUUUUAAGAUGAACAUGACUUAAUAAUGCUCCAUCGCGUUUGUUGGAACGUUACAAAACUUGGUGCUCUUAAUGUCUCCUUGACAAUGAAAAGAAAGUCAUGUCAGAAACGGUAUCAGAAAUGGAUAAUUGGAAUCGAUACAGUUUCCUAUUCCUUCGAAUUCGCCUUUUUGGAUGCUUGGUAACUCCCUUCAUUUGUCUCAUCAUGCAAAGUGAACGAGAUCAAUAGGCUAUUUUGGCACCUAAGGCUGUUGACACCUAAAUAUUUGCCAAAAAAAAAAAUUCAUUUUCGAAAAAUGGAAAAAUUGUUUUUCCACAAAAAUAUUUCAUGUUAAAUUCUCGCAUAUAGAUUACCUAGGUGUUUAGUAUAUUUUUUUAAUGGAAGAUGUUUUUCCUAUAAAAAAAAAAAGAAAAAAAUUAAUUAUAUUAAAAAAGAAUAAGAAGAAAAAAAAAAGAAGCAAGAUGGGGCCAAUGAUCUAAAUGUGACUAGCCAAGCCUAGAAGGUCAAAUUGUAAUUAAAACGGCAAGUUGGGGCCAAAAUGCAAUUUUCAAAAGUUGAGGGACCAAUUCGAAAAUUUUGUAAAAUCUCGCCCGAGCCCUUAAAUCAUCAUCUUGGUCCUCAAUUAAGUUGAAAUUGAACUUGCGCCAGGUCGAAUCAAUCAAAUUGGGCCAAAAGGACCAAAUUUGCAUUGAAUUGCAUAUUUUCGGAUAAGAAAAUUACCAACUUUAAGGGACUUUCUUGUAAAAUUGGGUGGGCAAAAUUGCAAAAUCUAGUCGAGAUCUUAAACUACUAUACAUGAGCUUGCUAAUUGAUCAAAAAGCAUAGCCAAAUUCAUGGAUUAAAGUGCCCAAACCAGCUAACAAAUUCCAGUCCACAAGUUGGUCUGAAUUCGGAGUUGCUGAGUAAGCAACUUGGUGGCCCCAUCAUAUCCUCCUCAGUUGCCCAAACAGCCUGAUCUUUGCACGUGAUAGAAGACCAUAAUUAGUAGUGCAAGUGGACAAAAAUUUUCCAAGGAUAAGCUGCUGAAAGCACGGGAAAGUCAUAGCAAAAUCGGCACACUCAACAUUUGCAAAAUUUGAAAAUUUUGACUAAGUUAGUGGACUUCUUAGUGGGUAGGCUUGGCAGGAGGGCAAAAAGCCAGUCAAGUGUGGCAUCCAAAAAAUUUUGCUGACCCUUAGAUGUGCAAUGGUAUGUAGCUAAGUGAUGGAGGUAUCAUUCGGACUAUGUCAUUGGUGCCAUUUACGGAUAUUGAUUUGUAUUAUUGUUGGACCGAUACGCUACUUUUGGUAAUGGUCCGACCGUAAAAAAUUAUCCAUGUGUAACAUCACUACUGAGACCCUCUUCCACCUACAUUCGUACCCUACGAACCGAACCUCCUAUGUACAUUGCUGCUGCCCCGUAUAGUCACGUAAAUAAAUAUAUUUCAGCCCACGCACUUGCUGAAAUUAAGAAUUUAAUUUUGGAGAAGUUGGAUCAUGCACGAGGACCCUGCACGCCUCUCCAUUUUGUGAAUCAGCAAGUAAAGAGAUGAAUUUGAAUCACCGUACAGUCUUGUCAGGUUCUUUCCCUAUGCAAGAAUUUUAGUCAUGAACAAGUACAUUUGAUGGAUUGAAUGAAAGGAAAAUGGUUGGACCACGAAGACCAUGGGAUCGACAAUGCUCCAUGCACGUUAUUCCUUCAAGAGUCAAUAAACUUGGAGAGGUUGACUUCCUUGCCACGUUCACUGCAUGGAGAUGGGUCUGCCAACAAAAGCCACGCAACCGAGACCUCAUGCCAGUGGGGAAUUCAAGCGAGGACAGCUGCACGAAGGGGCAGCCAUCGAGGCCCAUGCGGCCAAAGGAGAUGGACACGUUUCCUCCACCUGCCACGUUCACCAGCUGGCUUCGUUGGAUGAUGCCACCAAAUAACCUGCAUGCAGUAAUUAGAUUAAUUAAAUAAUUGAAAAGCAAAGUGCUUGUGUGAUUGAGAGAGAAAGGAGAGAGAGGAACUGAGCAAAAUAACCAGCAAGCGAGAGAGAGUUCGAGCGAGCGAUCUGCGAGAGAGGGCAGCUAUUGGAGUGUUAUGCCUUAGUGCUGCUGAUGUUGCUGAUGUUCCUCUGUUCUAGUUUUUUCUUCUGUUUGUUUUUAUAGCUAAGUUUGUUAAAUUAUGCAGCUGGUAUUUUCGUUACUUUUAGGAAGUGAAUUAACACGUUUAUGUGCGGUUAUAUGUUGCACUUAUGUAAGCAGUUAGUGCUUGUAUUUAGGGACCAGACUCAACAGUUUCUCUAAGAACUGAUGUAUGCAAGUCUUGUGCUCUGUUUUUCUGUGCUAUCUUCCUUUGUCGGAGACCAUAGCCUCUGCUUUUUGUUUUGUUUAUUGCUUUGAUUAGUCAUAACAGUGGUAUCAGAGCAUUUCGAUGAUCUUGAGGGACUGUGAAGUGAGGUAAGCAACGAAGCAUGAAGAAGUAAAAGAUUGAUGGAGGCAGGAUCGAGUGGAUUCUCUGCAAUGGCUGCUCCAGUAUUUACUGAAGAGAAUUAUCAAGCUUGGGCUGUUAAGGUGAUAGCAUUUCUGGAGGGUCACGAUCUAUGGGAGGCUGUGGAGGAAGAUUAUGAAGUUGCUCCACUUCCAAAUAAUCCGACCAUGAAUCAGAUCAAAUUCCAUAAAGAGAGAACCACAAGGAAAGCCAAGGCAAAAUCUUGCCUGUAUGCUGCUGUCUCGCCUACUAUUUUUACAAGGAUCAUGAGGUGUGACUCUGCAAAGGCUAUAUGGGACUUCUUGAAGAAAGAAUAUGAGGGAGAUGAGAAGAUAAGAAGUAUGAAGGUGCUGAAUCUCUUGAGAGAAUUUGAGAGACAGCAGAUGAAGGAUUUUGAGUCAGUGAAGGAAUACUCUGAUAGGCUGGUUGGGAUAGCUGAUAAAAUCAGAGUUUUAGGGACUGACUUGAAUGAUGAAAGGCUUGUUCAGAAGAUCCUGGUGUCUCUUCCAGAGAAAUUCGAAGCUACCAUAGCUUCUCUGGAAAAUACAAGGGACUUAGCUUAUAUAAAACUUGUAGAGUUGUUGAAUGCUUUGUAGGCACAGGAGCACAGAAGACUAAUGAGAAGAGAAGAUCAUGUAGAGGGUGCAUUGCAAGCUAAAGUAAAGCCAAAUGAUGGAGGCAAAGGGAAGAAAUGGAUUCAGUUCAAAGGAAAUACUGGUGAUUCGAGGUUUGUACCAAAAGAAGGAACCUCUGGUGGGUCUAGCAAAUGAAAGAAGAACAAAAAGCCAUGUCAGUACUAUGGUGGAACCAAUCAUCGAUUUUUUAGAUGUUGGAGAAAGCCUAAUGCUAGGUGCAGAAGAUGCCACAAGUUGGGUCAUAUGGAAGCCAUUUGCAAAGAGAAAAAUUACUAGAAAGCAGGAAAAGCACAAGUGGCAGUAAAUGAAACUGAGGCAGAGCACCUGUUUGUAGCUUUAGUUUGUGAAUCUUCAGUCGAGAAUGAUACAUGGCUGGUAGAUAGUGGCUAUACCAAUCACAUGACUGGCAAUUUGAAGCUAUUCAGGAAUCUAAACAAGACAGUCAAGUCCAAAGUCAGAAUUGGCAAUGGAUAGUACAUUGAAGUGCAAGGUAAGGGUAUAGUUGCUAUCGAAGGAAAUCGGGAAGUGAAGCUAAUCAGGGAUGUUCUCUUUGUGCCAAACAUUGAUCAAAAUCUGUUAAGUGUUGGUCAAUUAGUUGAGAAGGGCUAUAAAGUGAAGUUCGAAGGAAAUGAAUGUCUCAUUAAUAAUGAAGACAACAAAGAAGUGUUGAGAAUUCCAAUGAGGGACAAAAGUUUUAUGCUCAAGCCACAAGAGAUGCAACAGAUGGCUUUGAAAUGCAAAGAAGAAAAUGCAGAGCUAUGGCAUAAAAGAGUUGGGCAUGUUCACAGGAGGAGUAUGCUAUUUAUGCAGAAGAAUAGCUUGGUAGAUGAUUUGCCAAGCUUGGAGGGAGAACUUCCACAAUGCAGAACCUGUCUUCUUGGCAAACAAGCCAGAUUUCCCUUCAAAGAAGGAGGCUCAAUGACAUGUAAAAAGCUGCAGUUAGUUCACACAGAUGUAUGUGGAACUAUGUCUGAAUCCUCUCUUAAUGGUAGCAGGUAUUUUAUUACCUUCACUGAUGAUUUGACUAGGAUGAGUUGGAUUUAUUUUCUGCGAGCUAAGAUUGAAGUAGCUGAUGUGUUUGUGAAGUUUAAAGCCUUAGUUGAGAAUCAGAGUGGGAAGAAAAUUAAAAGUCUUAGGUCUGAUAAUGAAUCUAAGUAUACAGCUCACAAGUUUAAGCUGAUUUGUGAGCAAGCAGGAAUUGUGCAGCAGUUUACUGCACCUUACUCACCUCAACGGAAUGGGGUUAGUGAGAGAAAGAAAAGAAGUAUUAUGGAGAUGGCUAGAUGUAUGAUGGAAGAGAAGAAAUUGCCUAAGAGGUUCUGGGCUGAGGCAGCUGAUACUGUUGUGUUUCUGCUAAAUAGACUGCCCACAAAAGCCUUAGAGAAAUCAACACCUUUCGAAGUCUGACAAGGUGUUAAACCUUCUGCAAAUAAUUUGAAGGUUUUUGGGUGUUUGUGUUACACUCAUGUUCCUAAGGUUAAGAGGGACAAACUAGAUAAAAAGGCAGAGAUUGGGAUCUUUAUUAGAUAUAGUCUUCAAUCAAAAGCUUAUGGGAUUUUCCAUCCCAUGACAGGGAAAGUAAUUGUGAGCAGAGAUGUUAUCUUUUUAUAGGAAGAUGAGUGGAAUUGGAUGGAAGGAAGGAUUGCAGAACUGCAGCACUUCGAAAAACAACCUGCAAUAGAUGUGGAGGCUAAUGAAAUUACAGAGGGAUUGGAAGACAGUAUAGAUGACUUACCAGUGAGAGGCACAAGGUCAUUUGCUGAGAUCUAUGAAAGAAGCAAUGUGGCAGUGCUCGAACCAUCUAAUUUUGUGGAAGCCAAAGAAGAUUAGAGGUGGAUUGUAGCAAUGCAGGAGGAGAUUGCAAUGAUCCAGAAAAAUCAUACAUGGGAACUUGUAGACAGACCACUAGAUAAGAAUGUGAUUGGGGUUAAGUGGGUGUUAAGACAAAGCUUAAUCUUGAUGGUUCUGUCAAUAAGUAUAAAGCAAGACUGGUUGUGAAAGGCUAUGCUCAAAUAUGGGGAGUAGACUAUUCUGAAACAUUUGCUCCAGUUGCAAGGCUGGAUACAAUAAGACUUCCAUUAGCUGUUGCAGCAGAGAAGGGAUGGCCUAUCUUUCAGUUAGAUGUCAAGUCUGCAUUUCUAAAUGGAGAGCUUGAAGAGGAAAUUUUUGUUGAACAACCUGAAGGUUUCAGUAUUAAAGGGCAAGAAGAAAAUGUGUACAGACUGCGCAAAGCUCUAUAUGGACUGAAGCAAGCUCCAAGAGCUUGGUAUGAAAAGAUAGAUCGAUACUUAGAGGAUUUUGGUUUUGUAAAAAGCUUAAGUGAGUUCACUCUUUAUGUCAAGAAAGUGAAUCAUAGUGUGGUAAUUCUGUCACUCUAUGUAGAUGACUUAUUAGUGUUUUAUCUAGAUUUAUGAGUAAUCCUAGUCAGCUACAUUUGAUUGCAGCAAAGAGGGUCUUGAGAUAUCUAAAAAGAACCUUGUUCUUUGGUGUGAAGUUUUAGAGGGGUCAAAAGUUUAAUUUACAAGGAUUUUCUGAUAGUGAUUGGGCUGGUUCUAUGGAUGACAUGAAAAGCACAUACGGAUAUUGUUUUAGUCUUGGUUCAGCUUGUUUUUCUUGGUGUUCCAAAAAGCAAGACAUUGUAGCUCAAUCUACUGCAGAAGCAGAAUUCAUAGCUACUACUGCAGCUGCAAAUCAAGCUUUGUGGCUAAAAAAGAUAAUGAAGGAUUUGUGGUUGAAUUCCAGUGGCUGUAUCGACAUCAAUGUGGAUAAUCAAGCUGCUUUAGCAAUAUCACUGAAUCUAGUUUUUCAUGGCAAAACCAAGCAUUUCAAGGUUAAAUUCUUCUUUCUGCGUGAGGUGCAACAAAAUGGUGAAGUUAAGCUAGUUUAUUGCAGAUCUGAAUAUCAACUUGCAAAUAUGUUCACAAAGCCACUUCAAGCUGGAAGAUUUGAGUUAUAAAGAAAGAAAAUUGGAGUUUGCAGCAGCAACUGAUCCAAGAAGGAGUUUGUUGGAGUGUUAUGCCUCAAUGCUGCUGAUGUUGCUGAUGUUCCUCUAUUCUGGUUUUUUCUUUUGUUUGUUUUUUAUAGCUAAGUUUGUUAAAUUAUGCAGCUGGUAUUUUCAUUAUUUUUAGGAAGUGAAUUAACACGUUUAUGUGCGGUUAUAUGUUGCACGUAUGUAAGCAGUUACUGCUUGUAUUUAAGGACCAUACUCGACAGUUUCUCUAAGAACUGAUGUAUGCAAGUCUUGUGCUCUAUUUUUAUGUGCUAUCUUCCUCUGUCAAAGACCAUAGCCUCUGGUUUUUGUUUGUUUAUUGCUUUGAUUAGUCAUAACAGCAGCGAAGGAAGAGGGAAAGGAGACCGCCCUCCGUCCGUGCUCGUGUGAGCUACCGCCAUCGGUCUUCGCCGCCGUUGAGCUGCGUCCAAAGGCUUGCGAGCUUCUCGUUCAGUUUGUCAAUUGAGCUUAGGAGCGAGGCAAGUAGAAGUUCGUUAAUCUAUGUUAUGCAUGCUGUGAUUAUCUGGUGAAGUACAAGUAGACCGGAGAAGGUCUGAAUUUGAUAUUGCAUGUUGCAUUUGAGGCUUGCAUGUCUUGAAAUCUAAGUGUGAGUGAGCUGUGAUUGUUGAGUAAGGUGUGAUGGUGUGUGCCGAGUGAAGAAAAGGUGAUGCAUGUUGAGUUAUAAGAGCUGAGAUGCAAGUAUGUGCUUUGUACCGAGUUGUGAAGGAUUCUAGGUGAGUGAAAAUGUACUAUGACCACUCAUGGACGUUGUGCAAGUGUGUCAAGAUGCUACAUGAUGAAUUUACAGUAAAACAAAUGGUUUGAUUGAGCUGGAAAUGAAGAGAAAGGCAUUAGAUGUUUUCCGUCUUAAAGCAACAUGGAUAGAAAGUCGUUUAUAUUGUGUCGCUUUAAUUUCUAGAGAUGAAGAUGAGGAAUAUAAUCAUUUUACUUAAGACAACAUCCAUUAGAUUGAGUUUAACUCAUAGUCAUAGCUAUAUGAAUACAAGAACGUGUAGAUAGAAGCAAUUCUUUUUAAAACAGAAAUACUGUUCCGCAGAAAACGGCCUGACUUUGAUGAUUCCACGAAUUUUAUGUAUUUUUCUAGAUAGAAUUAGACUUCAAACCCUUAAUGAAAAUUGUAGGAUACAUCCUUAGGAAUAGCAUAUCAAAAUUUGAGAAUAAAUGGACAAGGUUUGGUCGAUGAAACGUUUUUCUUUGUAAAUGUUAAAUCUGGAAGUUAUUACAGAGUGUUAGUAAGGAAUAUCAAAAUUAAUACUCUUGAUAUAAAAUGAAUCUGACUUAGUGUUCUUCAUGAAACAUUUUCCUUUAGGUCUUGUUUAUAACAUAUCCAAAUUUCAAAAUUUUCUGAGUUCAUUUAUGGGUUAUUCCGAAAUUUUCAUUAAAACUGCACAUUCUGGUUUUUAAGCUGUUUUACUCUGACUUUGCUCAACUAAUUUCAAAAGUGAAUGCAUCUUGAGUAGUUAUGUGACAUGAUGAUACUGGCAUUGGCAUAUCAUGCAAUUUUGAGAUUUGAUGAGACUCAAGGGACAUUUUUUCUUUGCAUUGAAAAGUGUUUUUGGAAAUUAAGAUGCUAAUUGUUGCCAUUGGACCCUCGGGUCAACGAUGCCCCAGGAGUCAGGAUGCCCAGAGGUUCGAAUGAGUCGAUGCCCUUUGGAUGCCUGGUUGUAUUAUGAAUACAUGCCCAAAGAUUUUUCCCCGGGAGUGUCGGGAUGCUCGGUUGUAUUAUGAUACAUGCCCGAAGGGUGAAGGGUUAUAUUAUGAUGCAUGCCCGGAGGUUAGGGGUAACCAUGUAUAUGGUCCCCAGUGAUUUCUCGUGAUGCCAGGUGGGGUGUGAGAUACCCUAAGGUUCAAAUGAGUUGAUGCCCUUUGGAUGCCCGGUUGUAUUUUGAAUACAUGCCCGAAGGCUUCUGCGACGCCAGGGAUGGGUGCGGAAUUCCAGAAGGACGCAAACAUUGGUCCUCUGGGGGGUUAAAACCAUUUGAAUGAUUAAAUCUGAUGAUUAUAUUAAGCGUGAGUGUGGUCUAGUUAUGGGACUAAAUUGUACGGCAUUGAAUGAGACGUGUCAUUACAGUUUGCCCCUAUGAUCGAGACUUGUGUAAUUAGACAUGAUGCAUCUUGAGGGUUUCGAAAUUUCAUGAUUUUGAUGCUUGCUUAUCCAUUGAUUACCUGUUUUUGUCUAUCUUGCAUGAAUAUGGAUAUUGAUGGUAUUGCGUGAUAUAGCUUAAUGAAUCUUUUACUACUGAGUGGUGUACUCAUCCCGUUUUGGGACUAACAUUUCAGACUAAGUCAUGAUACCUCUGCUGCCACCGCUACCAGCAGAUGGACCGAGUGAUUGAAUAUGACAACGAGGAGGAGGAUAGUAGAGGAAGGAACUUUUGGACGCCGACACUGAUCAAUGAACUCUAAGUAUACGACUAUUGGAAAAUAUGUCGGUCAUCUUUUGAAAUAUAGCCGAGUAUAGAAAACCUUGGUUUUUUGGUGUACCGACAAAUGAUGUCCAUCUGGUUUAAGUAAAUAAAAGUGUUAGGCUUUAUCUUAUAAAAAUGUUUUGUUUGUGUGCAUCGUUUUCUGAAUAUAGGGAAGGGAGUUGUUAGAUACGCUUUCAUCAUAUUUCUGCGCAGGGACCGAUCUAAAAGAUAUAAACCCCCAGAAGUUAUGGACCUAUUAUAAUUCUAUGAUAUCAAAGUGAUAUAUUAUUAGGACAAGAGAAAGGUAAGAGCACUGUGGCAAACCAAACGGAUCGGGGGCCGUUCGAGGGGUGCCACAUAAAGAGAUUGCUUAAUGCAGUGGAUAAGAUCUAUGAAGCAUGCUUGUUUGAGGGAUAAGAGGCAGAAGACAAGAAACACAAGGAGGAGCUCGGGAUUGUGCCCAAAAAAACCCCUCAGAAUCAACUCCAGAAAAACAAGAACCCAGAAAUUCCAGAUCAACCUUCAGAGAGAAAAGUGAGAUUUUCACAAACUUGCAGCAAAAAUUUUCCAAAACCUUCAACUAGAGAUUGAAACUUCACUCAAAUAUCUUUCCAACCAUAGGUCACACGUCCAAAAUGGAGAUUGGGAAGACUUCCUAAAGCCCCCCCGAAAAGAUACCCUCCUGGCGGGCCAAGGGAGUCCUAAGAUUUUUCUAAGUGUUGAGCCCGGUUGGUCUUGAGUAAGGAAAAGCGAGUGUUUUUCAGAAAAUGGAGAGAUAAAUGAGGAAAGCCAUCAAUUACAAGACAAACUAUAAUAUAUAUAUAUAUAUAUAUAUAUAUAUAUAUAUAUAUAUAUAGUUUGGGUUGGUUUUAAGUUGGUCAACAAAAGAGGUUCAGAAGCCUAAUUUUGGAGGUCAACGAAAACCUUCGUUAUUAACUUUUUCUUCUGUAGACCUCAUUUUCAGUUUGAAGGAGCCAUUUUCCAUGUGCCCCCCGGAUGAUAAUUUCUCGUUUCCUCGACUAGGAGUCACUUGAAAACGAAACUAGGAAGCAAGGUAAGCAUCUUAGUUGUAUUUUUGUUUGAGUUUGAACAUGUUUUAAACACAAAAAUCAAGAGGAAAACUAGUCUGAAGAACUAAUUUUCGAGGUUGAAAUAUUUCUUAAGUGUUUAAAGCCUCUGCAAUACCCCAACAUGCUUGACUUGUUCCUCUCCCUUUGCAUGCGUUUUUUUGUCGUUGUCACUUUGAUGAAUGUUACAUGGGAGUAUAAAUAAUGCAUAGGACAACCCGGUUUAGUCUUUAAAUCUCCUUGUGAAUGAUGAAAUCGUCCAUAACGUGAGCCAAAAACCAAGCCACUCCAUAUUGAGACAUGGUUGGCCAGCAUAGAUCAUGCAUGUACGCUUCUUGGAGAGUUCGUUUUGAUGCGUCCAGUUAAUCGUUUUCAGUGAUGUUCAUUGCAUUUGAAAGUAAAUGUUACCUAUUUUCAUCCGGAUGGAGUAAUAUUUCAUAUAGAUGUUGCAUGUGAUGGUUGUCAGGGCUUCAAUCUGGGCAUUUGACAUGGCUGUUUGACUUGGGUUCAACACCAGAUUUGCAAAACGGCUCCAACCCGCAUAUUGGAGGCCGUUUUCAGUUUGGUUCUUGCAUGUUCUAAGCUGUGAUUUCUAGCUAAACUUGUUCUUUACAUGUUAUAGUAUAUCCUUGAUACUUUGCUUUCACAUGAGAUUGCUUAUGGGUCGAGAUUGAAGGCCACGAACAUGGCCCGAGGAAGCCGUUUUGAGGUGAUUUGAUGCAAGCCAAGUAUUCGACAAAAUGUUUGAACCAAAUUUCGAUCUUAAAAUAGUUUAUUUGAGCUUGAUUAUUGUGAUAUUCAUGUGCUGUGUUACUCCAUGUUAGCAUAGAUCGGUUUAAGGAAUUAUUAUUAAUAUUUUUUUAAAAUAUAUAUAAUAAAAAAGAAAAAUCUGAAAAUUUCAAAAAAUAUAAAAGUGAUAGAUAGUAUCAAAUUAAGGCAAGAAUGACAUAUAUGAAAUUUUAUUAAUUUUAUAAGGUCCUUUUUCCUAAUUUAAUGCCAUUUUGAUAUUUUAUAAUCAUUUUUGUAAAUAAUCCAUUUUCCAUAGAUUAAAAUUAUUUAGAGUAAUAUCAUGCAUAUUUAAAUUCUCAUUUCGCUCAUAAGGGUCCUGCCCCGGGGCGUAAUAACAAGGCCAUGUAAUAUUAUUUGCCCGACUUGUAUCGGGUCUUUCUUUUCCGCAUUACUUUCAAGCCCUUCAAUUUCUUGGAUGUUUAUUUACCGCACCGCUUUUCAAUAAUUUGAGUGUAAAUUUCUUUUCUAAAUUAUGUUAGGAUUAGUUUAGACAUUAAAAAAAAAAACUUUAAAAACUUACAAAAACAUUUAUAUGGACACUUAGUGGUUUCAUAAAGAUUAUAAUUGGUAAUCAAGAUUGUGUGGCCAUUUAGAUAAACAACCUUCCAAGUUAGUGGUACUGCAAGGGCGCUAAUAGAAACAUUGGUGUAAACAAGUCCCCGUUCCUAGAGGAAAUCUCCGGUUGCGUAGAAAUCGAGACAACACUCCCGUGUCUUAAUUGGUUUCUAGCCGACUUCAAUAGGCUAGUGGCGACUCCUAGAAUUACAUAAGUUGUUAAGAACUAAAAAACAAAAAUCCAACGUUGCGCGAGGUAUGGGCUUGGGAGAGCCCACACCUAAUUUAGGGCCAUUGGUCCGCCUCUUUGGGCAAAUACCCCUAAACCUUCUUCCUUUUUCCCCCGAACAAGAAAGAGAGGUCGCGACAAAGGCAUUUGCGUCAUUUCCUCCAAAUAAAAAAAUUUCCUAGAACGGAAUUCACUUCUCUAUGUGGUCAAACAUGAGAAUGUCAAGGAGCAUUGAGAAUGACCUGCAAAAAGAUGACAAUGUUAGUAUGUGAUUAAGAGAAAAUGAUCUCUCAAUGAGGUCGCUUCUUACAACAAAAUUGAGGCGACAGUACAUGCCCCAUAGUCCUCAUUACGGGGUUUUAGUAUUUCAUCAAGAUUUUAUCAUAAGAGAAGACAUCAUUGAAAAAAUCGAUCCAUGGCCAUCAAUCGAAUGUCCACUCUUAUUCGAAAACUUUCAUAUGCAAAAGUGACAUUGAUUUUUGAAAAAUUGAUUUGUGAUUUUACUCAUGGAAAAAAGAGGUGACUUUUAUUUUAGGAAAUCUAUACACAAAAUACUAUAUGAAUUUCAAUCCCAGAAUGUGAGAAAGAAAGAAUUUGAUCGAAAAUAUGACCUCAAUUUUUUUGUGCACCAAAAUAUAAUCUUGAUUUGAAAGAAUCUUUAAACAAAAAGUGGUUUUGAGCCCAUAAUUGAGAAUUUAGACAAAGUCAUAUGUUCAAUGGGGCUAGAUCAGAUAGGCUUGAAAUUUAUAGUCAAGGUUCAUUAUCAAGAGUGCUUACCAAUUUUUUUGAUUAUAACCCUACAUCACUAAGGGAAUUCGAUUGAUUUCCGCGAAUUUCAAAAUGGAAGUUCAAUACAAAAUGAGCAAAUAAAAAGGAAAGUGAUACUUACAAUGGGGGACGACUUUUCUCUCCCUUUAUUUUUUUUUUUAAUUACAUAGACAUACACAUGGGAUGUGAUUCGAUUUUUACUCUAAAUGACUCAAAAUAGAGCCAUAGGAUCACUGGACCAAACUAACAAGAUCGCGGCUAGAUCGUGUUACGCAUGACUCUGGCUUCGUCAAAAGGCUGACCUGUGUCUCGUUGUCGUAGACCAAGAUAGGGACCUUUGACAUCAAGAAAGAAAUUUCAAGGUUAAAAUGGGUGACUCGUACUACAUGAUUGUAGUUGGAGUGGUAUUUAUCUCAAUACCAUCCUAAGUGAUCCUAUGCAGCUCAGGUCCGACGGCAGGUAGUGUGUCAUGGCGUAGUGCAAUGCAAAGAAUAUAUGCACGACAGUCUAUAAGCAAACAUCAUUUCAAAACUUCAAAAUAUAAAUAUUUAUUUCCAACUCCACACCUACAAGACAAGGGGCUAACAAUCAUUCCUCCCUUUAUAACUCCCAUCUUACAAAAACAUUUAACACUCACAUUAGGAACAUACCUAAUAUCCUCAUUGCUAAGCAAAAAUGUUUUUUGAACAAGAUCAAUUCCAGUCUAAGUCCUCUAAGGUCAAAAACUAGUUUCCAGCGGAGUCGCCAAGCUGUCGCGACCUACCCCUUGGGGGGAGGAAAUAUGUUCUGGGGUAUUGCCUAAAGGACAGACCUAAGGCCCAUGAUUAGGCGCAGGCUUUCCCAAGCUCAUACCUCAAGUGACAUUGGGGUAUUUUUAAGAAUUUUGCAAUAAAGAGUCGCCACUAGCCUAUUGGGGUCGGCUAGAAACCAAGCGGGGCAUGGGAGUAUGCCCCGUUUCCUAUGCAAUUAGAAAAUCUAGGGUCGGGGACUUGAUUACACUAAUUGACCAAUUAGUGCCCUUUCAGUACCUAAUCUUGUUCAUUUUAAAAGAAAAGAUUUUUGUCAGGUAGUUUGGAUUGAUUUUAUACCUAUCCACAAACAUAUGAGGUGAUCAUGCAGGUGAGCAAUCAUUAAAAUAAUAAUUAUAGCUACUGAGAUCCUAAUUGCAAUAAAAUUAAGCACGUGCAAUUAAACAUAAUAAAAUAUGCAAACUAAACAUGCGAUAUAAUCAAAAUACGAGCAAAUAAAGGCCUAAUUACACUAAGAAUGCAAGAUAUGACAAUUCAUAACCAAACCCUACAUUUUUUAAUUUUCAAAAUUUUUAAGUUUUACUUUUUAAAUUUUUUUUCGAAAUAAAAUUAUUUUUUUGGGCGAAUUGGGUCGGGUUUGAUUUGACCCGGUAGGGGGCGGGUCAGGCCCGGUUCGGGUCAAACCCACUUGGGUAUGACUCGCUUGGGGGCGGAUUGGUCCGCUUGCCCAUAAGGGCCAAGCCCGACCAGAGAUGGUAGGGCCUUUACCUGGUUCAAGGUUGGGCCUGAUCGACGGCCCAACCCCCCUAAAAAGUGCCGGUAGGCCCAGUCAACUAACCCAGGCUUUCUAAAACUAAAUAGGGCCCAUGGAAGAAACCUAAAUUAAUCCUAAAGCCUAAACCCAAAUUUAGCCCAGACUUGACUCAGGUAUGCCCGGCCCAAUUCGCCCAAAACCCUACCCGGUUGAUUGCACUCGGUCUGGCUCUUUUGACCUAGUUCUUGCCUCCUCUCUCUCAUGCUCUUUCGCGGCGCUGAAGGAGGAUGGUCGGGACGUCGUCGGGUGAUGGCUUUGUGUUGACGGCGACGGUGACGCGGGGGGUGGUGGCCGCGAGGGGCAACGACGUCGUUGAGGUCUGCGAGGACAGGUGGUGGUUAUGUUAGAGGCAACACUGACAAAGUCGAACAGCAACAGGGACAGCUGCGUUGGGGAUGGAGUCGAGACGGAGGUGACACCGAUAGGCCAGCGAGUAGCAUGAUGAGGCUCGUGUUGAAGGCCGUCGGACGCGGUGGUGAAUAACUUGGCACGGCGUCGAGAGGAUGGCAACGACGGCAUCAGGCCCAGGCGUUGCCACAGUCGGGGUCGGACGACAAUGGCUCGGUGAGCAACGGCACUUUUGCGCGGUUGCACAGCUUGGGGCAGUUAGUAACUCCCGCAGAUCACCAGAUCUGUCCUCAGCUCUCGACUUCUCCUCUGGUCGACUGGCUUGACGUCGGGACUACGCUGAAGUAGAUGGUGGUAGGCGACAGCGACGUGGCGGAGAUCUAGUGUAGUGGCAUUGUCCUCAGAUUUUCCCUUUCUCGGUCUGCUUCCCCCCUCCGUUCUCUCUGCUUUGCUCUGCUCCUUUGCUGUUGCUCUUGGUUCCCCCUUCCUCUCCUACGGUGCCCCUCCCCCUUCUCCUCCUCUCCGCUGCUUUUCAUCCUUUUUUGCUUUCCCUCUCUUUUUCCUUUUUCUGCUUUUUUUUUCGUUCUCUCCUGUUGCUGUCUUUCCCUUAUCUUCUCCGCUCUACUCGAUGUCCCCUAUUGUUGCUACUUUUGCUUUUUGCAGGUCUAUGUGCGAAGGUGGCUAGAGGAGGAAGAGCUAGGGCGUGGGCUGGGCUGAGGGGAGAGUGAGGCUGGGCCGGGCUACAGCAUGAGAGAGAGAGAGAGAGAGAGAGAGAGAGAGAGAGAGAGAGAGAGAGAGAGAGAGAGGAAAAGAGGAGGGUCGGGUUGGGCCAAGGCCAGAUUCGGCCCAACUCGCCCCCUCUCGCGUCCCUUUUUUGUUGUUGUUUUUCCUUCUUCUUUUGUCUGUUUAAAAAUAGGUGUCAACACCCUUUCUAAAGUGAAUGAAGGAAUCUCCUAAUGUCACCUCGUAAGUUUAUUAUUUGUAUGGACAUCAUUGUCUUUUGGCGGGUCUGCAUUUUCAGACCUUCUCGUGUAACCAGAAUUUGACCUUAUCAGUAGGAAAAUCAAUGGUUUUUGAUGCCCUCAGUCUCUUGAGCUCAUUCAAGGAAUAAUUUUAUGUAGUGGAGGAUUGGUGGUCAAGGGCAGAGAUUUGAACAAGAUGUGACCGUUACAAUUCUUUUUAAGAUGACGAAAGAGCAAACGUGAAUUAUCUCACAUUGAAGAGAGUGUAGCUAGUCCAACCACAAGCGGACCAAACGGGCAACAUAUAUUUUCUGUAUAAUAAAUUCAGAUGAAAGUUCUAUAAUAAGCCUGCUCAAAUAACAUGAUUCUAGACAUGCCACUGAUUUAUGGAUUAUGUUUGAAUGAUUACCAUCCCAAGCAAAGCAUGUGUCUCAGUUCAACAUAACAAUUAAUUUUUCCUCGCCAUGGCUAUCAUCUAGAGAGUGAUAUUAGCUCCUGAUUUGUUUGUGCACAAGUGACCAACCUUUAUCUUUGGAUAUCUUUCACAUUUUAUGCCUUUCGUCAGUAGAUUUUUAACAAAAACUUUCUGACAUCACUCCCACUAUCCAAUUAAAUCAUUCAUAUUGCAACUCUUAUGCUUCUCCAAGUAUUAUGAAGUUCACCUCCAUGCAUUCAUAGAAAUAGGAAAUGUCAGUUUGUGACAUUCUUCCCCACUUGAUAGCAUUGCGGGCUAAUUUGUUGCUUCUUUGCAUUCCCUAAUUGUCACUGCCUCUCCCUAGGUCCUAGAUGAAUGGCCAAUGCUCACCCAAAUGAUAUUCCUUUUAUAAAUAGAUUCCUAACAUAAAUUCUAUUCCACCACUCUAACAAUUUAGUUGCUUCUCCCGAUUUGAUUGAGUUAUGUUAUGUACCUUUGUAAGAUUGGGAAAUGGCAGACCGAGGCAUACAUGAUAGCAUUAGUUCCACAUGUGAAACAUGUUAGCUGACCUUUUUUUUUUUUUUUUAUUUGGUCUUGCCUUUUCUUUGUCAGGUUAACUUCAUUAGAGAUGAAGAUUUUUUAUGCAUAGGACAGAUUCAUGUGGUUGUAAAUAAAGCGUUCCAAGCUCUGUCCCCGGUCACAUGGGUGUCCUCUCUGUGCGGCCAUUUCACCUUUUUUUCCGAAGAGUUUUGAUUUUCAUAUUUGCAUUACAACCUAAAGUUGAACUACACCUAUCCUAAAACGAAUUGGAUUGGUUAGCUUUCUUAAUUGAGUUCCUUUUUACGGUGGCUCCCCUUUUCAUGGUGCUAUCUCCAUUUACCACGUGAAAGCGUGCCUUUUUUCAGCACAUUGUGUUGUUUCGGGCUACGCCAGGUGAAUUUUUUAAUCAACCUUUGCCCAUUCUUGUAACUGUUCAUCUUCUUCGAGUGGGGAUGGUUGGCAAGGCCAAAUUUGGUUGGCGAGGGGCUGGCAAAGGUCGCCUUAAUCAAUGACUAUCGAAUUAGAUGUGUCUUUCCGGCGGUCGUAGCCCUUUGCACGCUUUAGCAAAGGGUUUGAGUUCUUUUUUAAUAGAAAAUUAUAUAAAAUACGUCUAAAGCCCAUAGCCAAAGUGUUUUUUGCAAAAGAUUACUUUAACCUAAAGGUCUUUUGCAAAGAGUUUUCAUCAAACAUAAUUUGCAUUUUUUCAAAGAGUUUUGAUUUUCAUAUUCGCAUUACAACCUAAAGUAAACUACACCUAUCCUAAAAUGAAUUGGAUUGGUUAGCUUUCUUAAUUGAGUUCCUUUUUAUGGUGGCUUCCCUUUUUGUCUCCAUCUACCAAGUGAAAGCGUUCCAAGCUCUGUCCCCGGCCACAUGGGUGCCCUCUCCGUGCUGCCAUUUCUCCUUUUUUUCCAAAGAGUUCUUAUUUUCAUAUUCGCAUUACAACCUAAAGUUGAACUACACCUAUCCUAAAACGAAUUGGAUUGGUUAGCUUUCUUAAUUGAGUUCCUUUUUACGGUGGCUCCCCUUUUCAUGAUGAUGUCUCCAUUUACCACGUGAAAGCAUGCCUUUUUUCAGCACAUGGUGUUGUUUUGGGCUACGCCAGGUGAACUUUUUAAUGAACCUUUGCUGUCACGCCCCGAUCCUCGGACGCGCGCACAUCCUUCUACUUGGUCGAUUUUAGAAUGCGAUAUCCCAGGACUAUGUAUCGCCGACCCUUUCUUUUUAUUAAGCACAUGCGGAAGCAGUUAUAAAUCCCCAGACAAUAAAAAAUGGGAUAGGAAAGUAGGCCAUAUUUUUCAUAUUGAAAUUCAUAACCACACUUUCAUUAACAGCACAACUCAUAGUAUAUUUACAAUACUAUUCACAACAUACUUGUCUCACACCUAUCUAUGCUAAGACAGGGUUUACAAAAGGGAUGGGAUCUCAGUCCACAUCCGGGUUAUAUUCAAGAUCCCUCUCUGGAUCGUCUUCUUCUUCAAAAGUCUUUCUCCCCUUCAGGUUCCUCUUCCUUAGCUUCUCCUCAGGGUCCUGAAAUGGUUAUUCAAUAACCAAUGAGACCACGUCUCAGCGAGUCCUGCCCCCUAAGACUCGAUUAGAAAGCCAAUACACUAUAGGCUGCCUAAACACAGCACGAGUUGGAGGACUUACCUUGGCCUCAGAUUCCAUCUACAUAUUAGUACAGUUCAAUAGGCAUUCAAACAAUCACAUCACCGAUCGAAGCAUCGAUCGAAUCGACCUAGUCAAUUUCAUAUCAGUCGGACCCUUUCUAGGUCGUUCAUCCUACUUCAAGCAAUUCCUUAAAUUUAGUGGCUUUACGGUCCCACCCGACCCUCUCAAGAACUAGUGGCUUUACGGUCCUACCCGACCCUCUCAAGAACUAGUGGCUUUACGGUCCCACCCGACCCUCUCAAGAACUAGUGGCUUUACGGUCCCACCCGACCCUCUCAAGAACUAGUGGCUUUACGGUCCCACCCGACCCUCUCUAGAUUCAAUUUAGGAAUAAAUCUUAAAUUCACUCAUAAAUUACUUUAGCACCAAAUAAAGCUCAAAUAAAUAAACGGACUGCACCACGACAAUCAGCACGAAAUUCCAGUCACCGGCCAUCCCGGUUGAAUUUCCAGAAAAAUAAAUAAUUAAAUAAUUAAUUUCGAAAAUUAAAUAAAUAAUUAUAAAAAUCCAAUUUAGGCUCAUAAUGCCGAAUUGAAUACCGAGACAAGCCCGGAAAAUUACCGAGACUCGUUCCAUAAAUAACAUGGCAUGUCUACUUGCUAAUAUCUAUUUCUAACCACCUAUCAUGCAUCAUUAAGUCUCUAAUUUAAUUGAUCUAAACUAAUCUAACCACCUAAUUGCAUUUAAUUAAAUCUAACCAACCUUAAGUAUAAUUAGCAAACUAAGAAAGCUUUAGUGAGUAAAACUCACUUGAUAAGAACAAAGACCAGAUCACCGCAACGGCGACGCGACGGCGGCCGAAAUCGGGCUUUCGAAACCACCGGCGGACUUGGACCGGGCCUUAAGCUUGGCCCCAACAAAUCUCAGCCCAACUGAGAUUUGUUCUUGCUUUUGGGCCAGACCCAAGUUGGGUUGGGCCUGCUGAAUUUCUGGACUGAAUUUACUUGAGCUUCAAAUUGCGGGCUGGACUUCAAUUGAUUGCCGGAAACUGGGCCUAGAAAAAGACUGGGCUGUUGGACUCUUGCGGGCUUGAAAUGGCCCUCAUUUGGACUGAAUCUUGCUGGGCCCGAAUUGCUGAAAGUGCUGGACUGGAGACAUGGCCCAAAUCGCUAGAGUUUGCUGGGCCGUUUGCGGGUGGUGGGCUGCGCUUUGCUCGAUCCCACGAGCUGGCUUCGAGGAUGACGACACGCCCGAGGAAAGUGCAAGCCACGAAAAGGGUGCAGCUGGCCGAGACGGUGGGAUUCGAUUGAGACAGCCUCCGCGAAGCAGGGAUUUGUUCGUUGAAGGCGCAAGCUGAAGGAAAGUCGGACGCGUGGGCUGGCGUUGCGGACGAGAUGCAGUCAACGAAGGGGCUUCGGCGUGGCUUGAAGUUGACUGAGAGAAGUUGGAUCGCGGACAGAUGGCGCGGAUGAGGGGCAGUUUCGCUGGACUGCUGGUUGCUGACUUUUGGUGGAGGCUGGCGUGAGUGGCCGACCAAAGUUGAUGCUGCCUUCGGUGAACUGAUUUUGAAGGCACGAAGGAAGACCGAAGAUGAGUGGUCUUCGCUGGAGAUGCUGGCGUGCGACGCUGAAAAUGGGCAGCUUCGGUCUUUGAGAUUCACGGGUGUUGCUCAGUCAACAAACGAGGCCAUCGAGGAAGGCUCUGACCGAAGGGGACCAACGGUAGUGGGGGCUGGCGUGAACUUCAGUUUUCGAAGAGAAGAGCUGCAGGUUCUCCACCGAAGAAAAAUGAAAGCGGAACGGCAGAGAAUCAAGAAAUCGAGAGGAAGAGGAUGGGGAUGAACGGUGGGGUAGGUAUGAGGGAGAUAUUAGAGAUAGAUAAGAGAUGGAGGGCUCCACCAAGGCUUGAUAUUUUGCCAAAUAUCUUUCAAGGCUAUCCUAAGCCAAGUAUAAUCCCAUGGCCUCCAAUGAUCCACCAAGACACUCUCCUAGACUUUCCAAUUGGUCCAAAAUGGCUAGGAGGGAGGGGGCUACGAAUUUUAAAAAUCUCAGCUUCAAUUGGAAAUUCAUCCCAUCCAAAUUUCAUCUCAAUUGGCCCUCAUAAAAUCAAUUGGUCCUCCAUCAAUUAUUUCGGCAUUUUUCCUCACUCAAGUAUCCUUCAUGUUUCUCAAUUUCACAAUUGAAAACCAUCUUCAACAUUUUCUGCACUAAAAUAACCCGGCGACGACUUUUUCCCAAAAAGUGUCAGUUGUUAGAAAAUUCUUCUGAGACUGAGUCGACACUCCUAGAAUUUAUUGUGACAUGACUGAAACUUCAAUUUCUGAAAUCAGACUUGAAUUUUCAGUUAAUUUCAACUUGGCGUGUUUUUAGCGUGACCUAGACUAUCGGGUAGUUUUCAUAACUUUUUAAGGCAAAUGACCCGUGGUCGAUUUUCUUCGAGCCACUAUGAACCCACUUGACUCAAUGGCGACUCUUGAUUGUCGUGAAAAUCUCGAGGAUUCAAUUACGGACACAGGGUACCAAAACAAUAAGAAAAUCAGUCUAGUGUCGGCCGACGAGAAUUUUCUAAUUCAGUGGUGUCACCCACGAUUAGCCACACAUCUCUGUUGAUCCAGUCUAUCUCUGAUUUCAAAUCGAUUUUGAACUGCGCCGUAAUGGCCUCUAAAGAUGGACACAGUCGAGAAGCCGAUUCUUGAUCGAGUUCUCAAGUCUAUUGCCUUAAAAUUCCUUAAUAAUUUUCCCAGAUAGUCUAGUUAUCUCGAGAGUGAUCGGCUCUGAGAAUAACCCUAUAGACGCGUCAAUGAAAUGCCCGAUUUAUUCAGUAGAAGACAGGGUUGAAAAUUUGGGAUGUCACAUUUGCCCAUUCUUGUAAUUGUCCAUCUUCUUCGCGUGGGGGUAGUUGGCAAGGCCAAAUUUGGUUGGCGACGGGCCGGCAAGGGUCGCCUUAAUCAAUGACUAUCGAAUUAGAUGUGUCUUUCCGGCGGUCAUAGCCCUCUGCUGGCUUCAGCAAAGGGUUUGAGUUCUCUUUUAAUAGGAAAUUAUAUAAAAUACAUCUAAAGCUCAUAGCCAAAGUGCUUUUUUGCAAAAGAUUACUUUAACCUAAAGUUUUUUUGCAAAGAGGUUUCAUCAAACAUAAUUUGCAUUUUUUCAAAGAGUUUUGAUUUUCAUAUUCGCAUUACAACCUAAAGUUGAACUACACCUAUCCUAAAACGAAUUGGAUUGGUUAGCUUUCUUAAUUGAGUUCCUUUUUACGGUGGCUUCCCUUUUUUUGUCUCCAUCUACCACGUGAAAGCGUUCCAAGCUCCGUCCCCGGCCACAUGGGUGCCCUCUCCGUGCUGCCAUUUCACCUUUUUUCCAAAGAGUUUUGAUUUUCAUAUUCGCAUUACAACCUAAAGUUGACUACACCUAUCCUAAAACGGAUUGGAUUGGUUAGCUUUCUUAAUUGAGUUCCUUUUUACGGUGGCUCCCCUUUUCAUGGUGUUGUCUCCAUUUACCACGUGAAAGCGUGCCUUUUUUCAGCACAUGGUGUUGUUUUGGGCUCCCCUUUUCAGCACAUGCUUUCUUAUUUGUUUUAUUAAGUUACCAUGUGUAAUGUAUAACUCAAUCAUUUCCAUUAACCAUCAUUCAUUUUCACCUAACCCCUCAAGAAAAUAAUCUAGCACGACAGUUUCAUUUCAAACUUUGAUAUCCUUCCUCUUCAUUCUAUGCUACCAAACAUGAUAAAUUAAAGGAGUAUCAACUUUAUUCUCAUUAGAAAAUGCUAGAUUUACUAUAGCUGAAAAUUGAUUUACUAACUAAUAUGUCACACUACUUGUUUGUUGCUUGAGGCCCGCUUGUCUAAAGGGUCACUUAUAAUCCUAUACGUUCUUUAGUAAAUUAAUUUUAUAAAUUAGUUUUAUUAAAUCCAGCAUUCCCUUUCCAUUAAAAUCCAGUCAUAGUUUGGAAUACCAAACGAGGCUUAAAUUAUUCUCUAUGGCCCACUUCUUAUGCUUUUGACACGGCUCUGAAAAAUUACCUUAGGGUUUUGAUAAGUUAUGUACAAAAUGGACACCAAAAUGGGGUGUUAAAGAGUGCCAGAUGAGUUGCCUGGUUUGUCCAAACGCUGGGCGAGCUAUCUUCUUGCAUUCUCCGAUAGUCCGUCCCCAUCUGCAAGGCUCCACAAACACUUAGAACAUCACGAUAAUCAUAAACUUGUGCCUAUAUCAAAUUCAAUGGGAAACUUCGAGCAAUAAUCAAACAGCUUAUUCAUUUGCAUUUUCUUUUUCCUUCUCAAAAGCCAUUCUGCUAUGAAGACCAAAGUAAAGGCAAACGAGAGAGGUAGAUUCGACACUCGUGGUUUGCUUUAGACAAUGAGGGGAAGAUGCUAUUAUAGAAAAUUUUCUGAUUAGAAUUUUUUUUUUUUUCCUUUCGCUUAAAAGUUGUGUUGGAGGAUAGAAGCUCUCGGUUUGCAAACUCUUUGAUCGUCUGACCUAAUGAUUAGUUAAGUUCGGUAGAUGGGGCAUCGCGGCAUUUAAGAGCAAAUUAAUAACCAUGUCGGCGUUUCCGUUGAUUUUUCUAGCUGCAGGAUCAAUUUGAACGAAAAGGUAUAUAGUCCAUAAAUCCAAUUGGGCAACAAAGAAAUUCCAAAAGUGGAUUACUUGCAAAAGUUUGAGGAGUACAGGUGCGGAAGUAUAUAGUGUAGGAAUCCAACUGGACAAAAAAAGAAAUUCCAAAAGUUGAUUACUUUUGCUAAAGUUCGAGGAGUACUGGAGCCUUCAUCAUUUUUUUUUUCUAAUUUUUUAGUUUGAUAGCUCUGUUGGCCGGUGCAAUCUAAUAAAGGUAAAAAUUUUCAAGAUAUUCACUCGAAAAGUUAAUAAUUUAAUUUUUCCCCCAUUACUAAGCCUCUUGUUGAUGACUUAUACAUGUGGAAAUCUUUUACUUUAUGCUUGACUUAAAUUUAUAUGUAGGUGAUAUUCAUGUUAAUAUAACCUACCAAUAAGAUGUUUAGUUUGAGGAUAAGGAAAAUAUGGCCCAUUCUUUUUUGGAAUUUCAAGAAUUAUCACAACAAUCGAUCCCAAUUGCCUUGUAUGGGCUUUAAAAUUAAGCAAAAAAUAGGAUAUGUCGCUAAUGUAAAGGUAACUUUAAACAAGUCGAUUUCAGAGUUUUUAACUUCUCAUUCUCUUACUAAUCAUCAAAUCAAGAAUGGAUAAUACUAAUUUUAGAAAAACAUAUUUAUAUUGAUAAUGCAUUGUUUAACUACUCUAAAAUUAAGUAAUGAUUUUGAUUGCUUUGCUAAAAGUAAUUUACUUUGAAAGUUCAUAAUUCUCUCAUCGCUCGGCCAAAGCAGCAUCAGUAAAAAGGGACCUUAGAGCAUCACCUAUGUUGUUUCACCGCACAUUCAUCUGCUCUUCACAUUAUAAUAAGUACAGAAGAUCCUUAUUCAUCAUUGGCAUCGGUGCACCAUUUUCUUGGCUCUCUUGAGAGGGGGUUGAUGAUCAUGGACGAAUCCAUUGUCACACCCUAAAACUACAUAGAAUGGGGAUGACACGGCCGUCCUUCCACAUGAAGGACGCAGCCUCAAACACAACUAAUAACAUGAUAUCAAAUUAUAUAUAUAUAUAUAUAUAUGUGGUAUAUAUAUAUAUAUAUAUAUAUAUAUAUAUCUCAACCACAUAUAUAUACAUAUCAGAUAAACCAACAGAUUGGUUGCAACAUCAGAGUUUCUAUAAUCCACCAAAAAGAAAUUUACAAUUAGAACUCAACCGGUCCAACCAUUAGCAAGAAUUAUGUGCACCACUUCCUUAAACCAUACCCAAAAAUAGAACACCUAAAAGUUUCCCAACUGUGCUCUCAUCCUACUAGUUGCUAACUUUGGGACCUAAAAACAUGAAAGAUGAAUGGAAUGAGCAACCACAACUUAGUGAGUAGUACAUACCAUAAAAGCAUAUCAAACUUCCACAUUACAUAUUUAAAACUCAAGACAUGGCUCAUUAUCGCCAAACAAAAAUUUAAUAACUUGCUUGAACAAAAUGUGUUAUAUGUUACCUCAACCUAGCUAUAUCAAAUAGCAAAAUUUCUCAUUCAUCCAUAAUAAAAAAACAAGCAUCACCAAUUUGAUUCAUUAAUCGGACUCAUCCUAUCUCAUAUCGAUGGUUCAAUCCACGUUUAAUAUCCAAACUCAAGGCCCUAGAGGUGGCUCCCACAAAAUUACAUUAUCAUGUAGCACUUAGCCCUUGACCAAAUAUAGCAAUAGUACAAGGCCCUAGACGUGGCUCCCAUGAAGUUACGUUAUCGUGUAACACUUAGCCAUUUAUUAUGCAUGUCAAUAGUGCAAGGCCCUAGAGGUGGCUCCCAUGUGACUCGAGUCACCAUGUAGCACUUAGCUCUUGACUACAAGGCCCUAGAGGUGACUCACACGAAGUUUCGUUAUCGUGUAGCACUUAGUCUUUUACCUAUUCACAAUACAUUUGAUUUUUUCAGCACAACACAUAUCAUUUUUCAAUAGUCAUCACAUGAUCACAUAAAUCAAUUGUACCAAAACAACAUGCAUAACUCUUCAAGGGAGAUUUGUCAAAUCAUCUGCUAAUGUUGUCUUGAAUUCCACAAUAUUCAAUCGGAAAAUCUAGGAAGGCUUUAAGAUUGCAGGCUAUUUGUUUCCUAAUAUAUUUCCUAGAUUUGGGUUUCAAAUUUGGUAAUAUCUUUAUGGUGGAAUUCCUUUCCUACUAGGUUUAGGAAAGUGGGGAUCUAAAGAUCUCUUUAUUGUAGCAUUGUACCUUGUACUCUUGACAUACGCUCAAAUAAGAAAUCGUCUCUCUCUCUCCCUUGGACGUAGGCGGAUCUUUCGCCGAACCAUGUAAAUCUCCGUGUUCUUGAUUAUUCUUGUUUACUUUUUCUCAUUUAGUUAUGGUGUUCUUCCACACAACAAUUGGUAUCAGAGCAAUUCAGGUUAUCUGUUCCUGUAUUGCGACUUCUAACUAGAUGGCUGGAAAAGGUUCAACCAUUUGAUUUGAUAUUGAACGAUUCACUGGGAAGAAUAGUUUUACGCUAUGGCGGAGAAGGAUGAAGGAUUUGUUGAUUCAACAAGGUUUAUCAAAGGUUCUUCUGGGAAGAUCGAACAAGCCGGACACCAUCACUAAUGAUGAUUGGGCCGACAUGGAGGAGAGGGCGUGCAGCGCAAUCCGAUUGAACCUAUCGGAUGAGGCCAUUCAAUAUGUAGCAAAAAUCAAAUCUGCUUUGGAGGUAUGGCUCAAACUCGAAAGUAUUUACAUGACAAAAUCUCUUACGAACAAGUUGUUUUGAAGAAGAGAUUGUAUUCACUUCAGAUGAGUGAAGGAGGAAAUAUGUUGGAACACCUCAACGUGUUCAAUCAGAUGACUAGUGAACUUACAAGCUUGGAGGUAAAGUUUGAGGAUGAAGACAUAGCGCUUCUACUACUGGCAUCGUUGCCUGAUUCGUUUGACCACUUGGUGACUAUGCUCCUUUAUGGCAAGGAAAUCUUGGAGAUUGAAGAGAUGACUGUUGCCCUAAUUUCAAACGACACCCGGAAAAGGGCAAGUAGUUCAAAAUCUUCGGGAGAUGGACUCUUUGCAAAGGAGAAAAGAAAUCAAGGAAGAGGAAGAUCAACGGAUCAAGGAUCGAGCAGUAGGGGUCGAUCAAAAUCCAAGGGAAAGUUAAAAGGAAGAUGCUACGAGUGUAAUCAGGAAGAACAUACCAAGAGAUUCUGUCCAAAUAAGAACGAGAAAAAGAAGAAGAGCUCGGAUGAGGCAAGUAUAGCCAACAACGUUGAGACCAAUGAUGGGGACGUCUUGUCCAUAUCGUCGGGGAAGGACGUCUUUGAAGAUUCAUGGAUCAUGGACUUCGGAUGCACUUUUCACAUGUGUCCUCAUGGAGAAGCCUUCGAUGAGUACAAGGCAUAUGAUGGUGGUUCAGUUCUCAUGGGGAAUGAUACUUCGUGCAAGACUGUGGGUGUUGGAACUGUGAAAAUCAAGAUGUUUGAUGGCAUGAUUAGAACCUUGGCAGACGUGCGUCAUGUUCCAGGUCUAAGGAAGAAUUUGAUCUCAUUGGGAGCACUUGAAUCCAAUGGAUGCGAGUACACGGCUCAAGGUGGAGUCUUGAAGGUGAUUAAGGGAGCUCUAAUUGUUCUUAAGGGACACAGGCACGGGAACCUAUAUCGACUUAUAGGAACCAUAGCGCAAGGUGGAGCAUCUGUGUCCACGGAUGCUAGCACGGAGAUAGAUAACACCUAUCUAUGGCAUAUGCGUCUCAGGCAUAUGGGAGAAAGAGGAUUGAUGGAGCUUCACAAGAGGAAUGCACUCCAAGGUAUAAAAACAUGCAAAUUAGAUUUUUGCAAAUUUUGUGUGUUUGGAAAACAAUGCAGAGUUUGGUUCAAUGCUACAACUCAUACAAGCAAGGGCGUGCUCGAGUAUGUACACACGGAUGUAUGGGGUCCUUCACCAGUAAAGUCAAAAGGAGGGAAAGAAUACUUCGUGACAUUCAUUGAUGAUUUCUCUCGCAAAGUUUGGGUCUACUUCAUGCGACACAAAAGUGAAGUCUUUGAAAAGUUCAAAGAAUGGAAAGUUGAAGUUGAGACUUCAACGGCGGGGAAGAAGGUUAAGUGUUUGAGAUUGGACAAUGGAGGAGGGUACAAAUUGACACUAUUCAUGGAGCUUUGCAAGAAUGAAGGGAUUAAACAUCACUUCACAGUUCCGGAUAUGCCUCAAUAGAAUGGCGUAGCGGAAAGGAUAAAUCGAACCUUAUUAGAGAGAGCUCGAAGCAUGAGGCUACAUGCAGGACUGAACAAGGAGUUUUGGGCAGAAGUUAUUUGCAUGGCAUGUUAUCUUGUGAAUCGGUCUCCAUCAACUGCAAUUAAAUGCAAAAUUCCUGAAGAGGUAUGGACCGGUAAAAUUGUCGAUUAUUCUAAUUUCAGAAUAUUCGGUUGUCCUGCUUUUGAACAUUUGCAGAUCUUGAAGCGCUCGAAGUUGGAUCCAAAAUCAAAACAAUGCAUAUUUCUUGGUUACGAGAAAGGAGUGAAAGGCUACAAAUUAUGGGAUCCAAGUGAGAAGAAAGUUCUAACGAGCAGGGAUGUUAUAUUUGAUGAAUCUACAAUGUUGAAGUCAAGCUGCGUGCCACGCGCGGCUGCUGAAGAGAAGAGUGAUAAAUCUAUCAUUAAGGUGGAGCUUGAACCAGAGAAUCUGCAGAGAAUGGUGAGGUCAUCCAAUGAGGCUUCGGAAGUCAAAGAAACAAUAGAAGUUCUUCGUUACCAUUGCGACGGGUCGAGGAAUGUGCACNNNNNNNNNNNNNNNNNNNNNNNNNNNNNNNNNNNNNNNNNNNNNNNNNNNNNNNNNNNNNNNNNNNNNNNNNNNNNNNNNNNNNNNNNNNNNNNNNNNNNNNNNNNNNNNNNNNNNNNNNNNNNNNNNNNNNNNNNNNNNNNNNNNNNNNNNNNNNNNNNNNNNNNNNNNNNNNNNNNNNNNNNNNNNNNNNNNNNNNNNNNNNNNNNNNNNNNNNNNNNNNNNNNNNNNNNNNNNNNNNNNNNNNNNNNNNNNNNNNNNNNNNNNNNNNNNNNNNNNNNNNNNNNNNNNNNNNNNNNNNNNNNNNNNNNNNNNNNNNNNNNNNNNNNNNNNNNNNNNNNNNNNNNNNNNNNNNNNNNNNNNNNNNNNNNNNNNNNNNNNNNNNNNNNNNNNNNNNNNNNNNNNNNNNNNNNNNNNNNNNNNNNNNNNNNNNNNNNNNNNNNNNNNNNNNNNNNNNNNNNNNNNNNNNNNNNNNNNNNNNNNNNNNNNNNNNNNNNNNNNNNNNNNNNNNNNNNNNNNNNNNNNNNNNNNNNNNNNNNNNNNNNNNNNNNNNNNNNNNNNNNNNNNNNNNNNNNNNNNNNNNNNNNNNNNNNNNNNNNNNNNNNNNNNNNNNNNNNNNNNNNNNNNNNNNNNNNNNNNNNNNNNNNNNNNNNNNNNNNNNNNNNNNNNNNNNNNNNNNNNNNNNNNNNNNNNNNNNNNNNNNNNNNNNNNNNNNNNNNNNNNNNNNNNNNNNNNNNNNNNNNNNNNNNNNNNNNNNNNNNNNNNNNNNNNNNNNNNNNNNNNNNNNNNNNNNNNNNNNNNNNNNNNNNNNNNNNNNNNNNNNNNNNNNNNNNNNNNNNNNNNNNNNNNNNNNNNNNNNNNNNNNNNNNNNNNNNNNNNNNNNNNNNNNNNNNNNNNNNNNNNNNNNNNNNNNNNNNNNNNNNNNNNNNNNNNNNNNNNNNNNNNNNNNNNNNNNNNNNNNNNNNNNNNNNNNNNNNNNNNNNNNNNNNNNNNNNNNNNNNNNNNNNNNNNNNNNNNNNNNNNNNNNNNNNNNNNNNNNNNNNNNNNNNNNNNNNNNNNNNNNNNNNNNNNNNNNNNNNNNNNNNNNNNNNNNNNNNNNNNNNNNNNNNNNNNNNNNNNNNNNNNNNNNNNNNNNNNNNNNNNNNNNNNNNNNNNNNNNNNNNNNNNNNNNNNNNNNNNNNNNNNNNNNNNNNNNNNNNNNNNNNNNNNNNNNNNNNNNNNNNNNNNNNNNNNNNNNNNNNNNNNNNNNNNNNNNNNNNNNNNNNNNNNNNNNNNNNNNNNNNNNNNNNNNNNNNNNNNNNNNNNNNNNNNNNNNNNNNNNNNNNNNNNNNNNNNNNNNNNNNNNNNNNNNNNNNNNNNNNNNNNNNNNNNNNNNNNNNNNNNNNNNNNNNNNNNNNNNNNNNNNNNNNNNNNNNNNNNNNNNNNNNNNNNNNNNNNNNNNNNNNNNNNNNNNNNNNNNNNNNNNNNNNNNNNNNNNNNNNNNNNNNNNNNNNNNNNNNNNNNNNNNNNNNNNNNNNNNNNNNNNNNNNNNNNNNNNNNNNNNNNNNNNNNNNNNNNNNNNNNNNNNNNNNNNNNNNNNNNNNNNNNNNNNNNNNNNNNNNNNNNNNNNNNNNNNNNNNNNNNNNNNNNNNNNNNNNNNNNNNNNNNNNNNNNNNNNNNNNNNNNNNNNNNNNNNNNNNNNNNNNNNNNNNNNNNNNNNNNNNNNNNNNNNNNNNNNNNNNNNNNNNNNNNNNNNNNNNNNNNNNNNNNNNNNNNNNNNNNNNNNNNNNNNNNNNNNNNNNNNNNNNNNNNNNNNNNNNNNNNNNNNNNNNNNNNNNNNNNNNNNNNNNNNNNNNNNNNNNNNNNNNNNNNNNNNNNNNNNNNNNNNNNNNNNNNNNNNNNNNNNNNNNNNNNNNNNNNNNNNNNNNNNNNNNNNNNNNNNNNNNNNNNNNNNNNUCUAUUUAUUGUAGCAUUGUACCUUGUACUCUUGACAUACGCUCAAAUAAGAAAUCGUCUCUCUCUCUCCCUUGGACGUAGGCGGAUCUUUCGCCGAACCAUGUAAAUCUCCGUGUUCUUGAUUAUUCUUGUUUACUUUUUCUCAUUUAGUUAUGGUGUUCUUCCACACAACAAUUGGUAUCAGAGCAAUUCAGGUUAUCUGUUCCUGUAUUGCGACUUCUAACUAGAUGGCUGGAAAAGGUUCAACCAUUUGAUUUGAUAUUGAACGAUUCACUGGGAAGAAUAGUUUUACGCUAUGGCGGAGAAGGAUGAAGGAUUUGUUGAUUCAACAAGGUUUAUCAAAGGUUCUUCUGGGAAGAUCGAACAAGCCGGACACCAUCACUAAUGAUGAUUGGGCCGACAUGGAGGAGAGGGCGUGCAGCGCAAUCCGAUUGAACCUAUCGGAUGAGGCCAUUCAAUAUGUAGCAAAAAUCAAAUCUGCUUUGGAGGUAUGGCUCAAACUCGAAAGUAUUUACAUGACAAAAUCUCUUACGAACAAGUUGUUUUGAAGAAGAGAUUGUAUUCACUUCAGAUGAGUGAAGGAGGAAAUAUGUUGGAACACCUCAACGUGUUCAAUCAGAUGACUAGUGAACUUACAAGCUUGGAGGUAAAGUUUGAGGAUGAAGACAUAGCGCUUCUACUACUGGCAUCGUUGCCUGAUUCGUUUGACCACUUGGUGACUAUGCUCCUUUAUGGCAAGGAAAUCUUGGAGAUUGAAGAGAUGACUGUUGCCCUAAUUUCAAACGACACCCGGAAAAGGGCAAGUAGUUCAAAAUCUUCGGGAGAUGGACUCUUUGCAAAGGAGAAAAGAAAUCAAGGAAGAGGAAGAUCAACGGAUCAAGGAUCGAGCAGUAGGGGUCGAUCAAAAUCCAAGGGAAAGUUAAAAGGAAGAUGCUACGAGUGUAAUCAGGAAGAACAUACCAAGAGAUUCUGUCCAAAUAAGAACGAGAAAAAGAAGAAGAGCUCGGAUGAGGCAAGUAUAGCCAACAACGUUGAGACCAAUGAUGGGGACGUCUUGUCCAUAUCGUCGGGGAAGGACGUCUUUGAAGAUUCAUGGAUCAUGGACUUCGGAUGCACUUUUCACAUGUGUCCUCAUGGAGAAGCCUUCGAUGAGUACAAGGCAUAUGAUGGUGGUUCAGUUCUCAUGGGGAAUGAUACUUCGUGCAAGACUGUGGGUGUUGGAACUGUGAAAAUCAAGAUGUUUGAUGGCAUGAUUAGAACCUUGGCAGACGUGCGUCAUGUUCCAGGUCUAAGGAAGAAUUUGAUCUCAUUGGGAGCACUUGAAUCCAAUGGAUGCGAGUACACGGCUCAAGGUGGAGUCUUGAAGGUGAUUAAGGGAGCUCUAAUUGUUCUUAAGGGACACAGGCACGGGAACCUAUAUCGACUUAUAGGAACCAUAGCGCAAGGUGGAGCAUCUGUGUCCACGGAUGCUAGCACGGAGAUAGAUAACACCUAUCUAUGGCAUAUGCGUCUCAGGCAUAUGGGAGAAAGAGGAUUGAUGGAGCUUCACAAGAGGAAUGCACUCCAAGGUAUAAAAACAUGCAAAUUAGAUUUUUGCAAAUUUUGUGUGUUUGGAAAACAAUGCAGAGUUUGGUUCAAUGCUACAACUCAUACAAGCAAGGGCGUGCUCGAGUAUGUACACACGGAUGUAUGGGGUCCUUCACCAGUAAAGUCAAAAGGAGGGAAAGAAUACUUCGUGACAUUCAUUGAUGAUUUCUCUCGCAAAGUUUGGGUCUACUUCAUGCGACACAAAAGUGAAGUCUUUGAAAAGUUCAAAGAAUGGAAAGUUGAAGUUGAGACUUCAACGGCGGGGAAGAAGGUUAAGUGUUUGAGAUUGGACAAUGGAGGAGGGUACAAAUUGACACUAUUCAUGGAGCUUUGCAAGAAUGAAGGGAUUAAACAUCACUUCACAGUUCCGGAUAUGCCUCAAUAGAAUGGCGUAGCGGAAAGGAUAAAUCGAACCUUAUUAGAGAGAGCUCGAAGCAUGAGGCUACAUGCAGGACUGAACAAGGAGUUUUGGGCAGAAGUUAUUUGCAUGGCAUGUUAUCUUGUGAAUCGGUCUCCAUCAACUGCAAUUAAAUGCAAAAUUCCUGAAGAGGUAUGGACCGGUAAAAUUGUCGAUUAUUCUAAUUUCAGAAUAUUCGGUUGUCCUGCUUUUGAACAUUUGCAGAUCUUGAAGCGCUCGAAGUUGGAUCCAAAAUCAAAACAAUGCAUAUUUCUUGGUUACGAGAAAGGAGUGAAAGGCUACAAAUUAUGGGAUCCAAGUGAGAAGAAAGUUCUAACGAGCAGGGAUGUUAUAUUUGAUGAAUCUACAAUGUUGAAGUCAAGCUGCGUGCCACGCGCGGCUGCUGAAGAGAAGAGUGAUAAAUCUAUCAUUAAGGUGGAGCUUGAAACCAGAGAAUCUGCAGAGAAUGGUGAGUCAUCCAAUGAGGCUUCGGAAGUCAAAGAAACAAUAGAAGUUCCUCGUACCAUUGCGACGGGUCGAGGAAUGUCACGCCCCAACCCUUAGGCACGCACACAUCCCUUACUUUUGGUCGAUUUUAAAAUGUGAUAUCCCAGGACUAUGCAUCGCCGACCCUUUCAUUUUUAUAUGCACCUGCGGAAGCAGUUAUAAUUCCCCAGACAAUAAAGUAAUGGGAUAGAAAAGCAGGCCAUAUAUUUUUCUUACUGAAAAUUCACUACUACAUCUUUUUACAUGCAUCUCAUAGUAUUCUACAAUACUAUAUAUACGCAACUCUGGUCUAACGCCGAAUCACAUGCAAACAAGGUCUGACAAGACAGGACGGGAUCUCAGUCCUCAUCCGGGUCAUACUCGGGGUUAUCCUCGGGGUCCUCCUCCACGUACUCCUCUUCGGUUUCCUCAUCAGGGACCUCCUCAUCAGAUUCAUGCUGACGUGCGGACCCCUCAAGUGCCUUAACUUUGCCCAAAGGGACACUUAAGUGCCAUAACUUACGAAAGGUACACUUAAGUGCCAAAAUCGGAGCAAAAGGGAUCACUUGAGUGCCAAUCCGGCCAAAAUCCGGCCAAAUUGCAUACGUGGCAUUUUCCGGCGAUUUUCGGCGACUUCAUUUACUGAUGUGGCAAAUGUUUUUUUUUUUAAAAAAGCCGACGUGGGCGACAAAAACGACGUCGUCCAUCCACAUUGUGCGAUGACCUAAUCGUUGUUCCUCCCCAUCCGCGUUGACAGUCAAUCUCAGGCCCUUCUCUCCAUCGCCGUUCACGCCCAGAGCUGGUCAUCGAUCGCCGUCGUCAGUCGCCGCUGUUGGUCGCCGUUGCCGCUCACCGCUUACCAUCGUUGGUCGUCGUCACCGCUCACCAUCGUCGCUCGUCGAGGUUCGAACCCUUCUCCCCCUCCCCUGUGAUGAAAUUAGGGCUCGAUUAUUUAAUUAGGGCUCGCUCGAUUAUUUAAUUAGGGUUGGCUGACCUAAACGCCGUUCCUCGCCGUCCGCGUUCACAGUAGAUCACAGGCCUUUCUCUCCAUCGCCGUUCACGCCUAAAGCUGGUCAUCGGUGGCUGUCGUCAGUCGCCAUAGUUGGUCGUCGUUGCCGCUCACCGCUCACCAUCCUUGGUCGUCGUCACCGCUCACAAUUGUCGAUCAUCCAGGUUUAGCCCCUUCUCCCCCUCCGCUGUGAUGAAAUUAGGGCUCGAUUAUUUAAUUAGGGCUCCACUCGAUUAUUUAAUUAGGGCUCAAUUAUUUUAUUACAGCUCCGAUGGAAUUUGUGUUGAUAUACUUCAACUGAAACUUGCUGACAUUACACAAAGAGACCAGAUUUCUCAUUAUUUUGGUGAAUUUGUCUUUCAAGCCAACUGUCAGAGUAUGUGAUUGUUAACUGUCUAUGCAUCUCCUUAAGAGCAUCCUAGUAAAGCACGUGACUAAUGCCAUUCUGAGAAAAAAACUAAGUUCUUGAACCACCCUGCUUGUGAGAGUAUAUAGGGUAUGUCCUUGAACCACCCUGUUUGUGAGGCUGUAUAGGGUAUGUCCUUGAACCACCUUGUUGUGAUUGCUGUAUAGGGUAUAUUUAUAAAUCCAAAACCCUGCUGUGAUUGCUGUAUAAGGUAUGUUUAUCAAUCAAAAAUCCUGAAUAAGAACAUAAUCCUGUUGUGAUUUGAUUAAGUUGAUGUCAGAGUAUGCUAUGCUUUGAUUUGGUUAAGUUAAUGUACAUUCUCUCACAUUGCACAUUUAGUGCAGUAGACAUGCUUGGGCUGUGAUUGCUGUGUGGGGACCUCUGUUUUUGGUUAAUAUUUUAAGGGAAGGGAAGACAAAUAAUUAAAGUGCCGACCUCUUUUUUGGCUUUUUUGGCUGUCAUGUAGGGGCAUAUUGUCAGUGUGGGGACCUCUAUUUACUAAAGUCCAUGAGAGUGGGGGGACUCCCAUGUGCAAUUGUCUAGUGGUCCCAAAAACUAAUGAUUAUUUUUCUUGUUCUUGGUGCAGUAAUGGCGCAUGAGAAGGAUUAUGUCGCUGUUAUAGUUUGCUACAAUGGGGAAUUUGUGAUUGGGGAGGAUGAGUGGGAGUAUGAGGGUGGAAAUGAGGGCACCAUCUUUGUGGAUAUAAAGAAGGCAUCUUAUAUAGGAUUUCUUAGGGAUAUAAAUACUUAUUUGCCUUGUAAAGUUCAAAAGCUGCUGUAUUGUAUCCCUGGGAAAGACUUAAGAGAGGGUUUGAGAUGCUUAGAAGAUGAUAAUGGUCUUAGGGAUGUUCUAUACCAUUAUCUUCAUGGUGAAGAGGUAAAAAUAUUUGUUGAGUACAAUAGUGAAAGUGAGGAUGAAGAUGAUGAUGGAGAGAGCGCCGGAGUAAGACAAGAAGGAGAUGGUAUUCAAGGUAGUACUGACGUUAGGGUCGAAGGAGGGCAGGAUAGAUAUGAUGGACAUGAGAGAAGCGCAGAUGUAGUUCACCAAAGUGAUGAUGACAUAGGUGAUGUCACAAUCUCUGGAUUAGAUUGGGAAGUAGCUGAAUCAACUGAUGAUGAUGAUGGAGGGUUGCCUGCUGAAAAUUUUAUAAGCGAUGACGACGACGAGGAGCUUGUACAGUCAAGAAUACAGCGAAGGGAUUUUUUAACAGCUAAGUUUGCAGCUUUGCAAGUAGCCGAGGAAGUUUCAAACAGACCCGAAGGCCCUACAGAUGCUGGUGCUGCUGGCGAGGAGACUGACUAUGAAGAAAGCGUCGAGAAUGCUACUUCCCAGGAUGAGCUUGAAGAAGAUGAAGGACCUGUGCAUAGAAGGAAAAGGAAAAGUAAGUUUCCUUCUUAUGAUCCAUCCGUUGCCUCUCCCACUUUGUCGGUAGGCAUGAAAUUUCAUGAUGCUAAACAAUUUAGGGAAGCUAUACUGAAGAUCUCUAUUGCUGCACAAAGGAACAUUGACUUCAUUAGAAACACUAAGACCUUUGUAAGAGCUAGGUGUUCGCAGCAAAAUUGUCCAUGGAAGAUCUAUGGCGCAUUUGUUAAGAAAACUGGAUCUUUCCAUAUUAGAGCCUACCAAGAGGAACAUACUUGUUCCAUUAAUUUUGAGAAUAAAAGGGUAACAAGUGCAUGGUUAUCGAAGCAAUUCUUUGAAUUGAUUAAGCUGAUGCCUCAGAUGAAUACUACUCAGUUCAGGAUGCUGGUGAAGGAGCAGGUAGGCAUCAAUAUAUCUAGGAAUCAAUGUAAAAGAUCGAAGCAAAAGGUGAUGAAGAUACUCAUUGGUCAGUACAGCGGUGAAUAUGGACAGUUGUGGGACUAUUCUUGGGAGUGUAGGUUGCAAAAUCCUGGAAGUAGAGUGUAUCUCGAGGUCGUGGAGAGACCACUUCCUGAUAUUGGGAUGAAGUUCGAUAAAUUCUAUGUUUGUUUUUAUGCAUGCAAACGAGGUUUUUUAUCUGGCUGUAGACGGAUUAUAGGAUUGGACGGAUGUUUUUUGAAGGGCUUGUGCAAGGGAGAAUUGCUGGCCGCAAUUGGAAGAGAUGCAAACAACCAAAUGUUUCCCCUGGCUUGGGCUGUUGUGAAGGUAGAGAACAAGGACAAUUGGUCCUGGUUCCUAAAAAAUUUGAUGACUGAUUUGGAGAUAACAAAUGGGGCAGGGUGGGCAUUCAUGAGCGACCAACAAAAGGUAAUGUUUGCUUUUUAAAAUAUUAACAUACUUGUUUGUUUUUCGAUAUCAACAUGUCAUUUGCUUAUAUUUUUUUAUAUUUUCAAUUAUUGCAGGGACUUGUUCCAGCAAUAGCUGAGCUGUUGCCUUAUGCUGAACAUCGAAUGUGUGCGCGACACAUAUACGCAAAUUGGGCAAAGACCUAUAAAGGGGACAAAUUGCAGUCGCAAUUUUGGCAGCUAGCAAAGAGCACGAAUAUGGCCGACUUUAGGACGGCUAAAGAAAAGAUGCUUCAAUUGACAAAGGAUGGUUAUGAUGCACUGUUCCAAACAGACCCGAAGCAUUGGUGUAGGGCGUUCUUCAGCGAGGAAAUCAAGUGCGAUAACAUUGAUAACAACAUCUGUGAAGCAUUCAAUGGGAGGAUAAUAGAUGCUAGAUGUAAACCAAUUAUCUCGAUGCUUGAAGACAUACGGCUUUUGGUCAUGACUCGGCUGCACAGACAAAGAGAUGAUACUGCAAAGUGGACUAAGCAAUAUGGUCCUAGGAUUGCUAAGAAAUUGGAUGACAACUUGGCUGCAAGUAGGUAUUGUCAUCCCAUUUGGAAUGGGGAUGAAGGAUAUGAGAUAAUGAAGGGUUCCGAUAAGUAUGUUGUCCAUUUAGGUACGAUGAAUUGUUCAUGUAGAGCAUGGCAACUCAGUGGAAUUCCUUGUGCACAUGCCAUAUGUGCAAUUCAAUUGAAGGGCCACAACACAGAAGACUACCUUGAUGAUUGGUACAAGAAAUCGAAAUAUCUUGCUUCGUAUCAAUUCAUGUUGCAGCCAAUUAGAAGUAGCAAGUUCUGGGAGCCAACAGAUCGCGAAGCACCUCAACCUUUGCCACUAAAGAAGUGAAUGGGAAGACCAAAGAAAAAAAGAAAAAUGACGGAGGGAGAGGACUCAUGUCACCGUAGGAUGAAUAGGAUGGGUGUACUGAUAAAGUGCUCUUUUUGCCACAUAGCAGGGCACAAUAUUAAGGGUUGUCAAUUAAAGAAGCAGCAGGAACAAUUGAGGCCAGCCGAAGGGCCUAGUGAAGGGACAGUUGGAGAAGGAGAAACAGAAAGGCGAAGUGAGUCGACUGUUCUUCAGUCGACGACAAUAAACCCAGUAAGUCAUGACAAUUAUGUUUAUGUUGCUUUAUGGUUUGUUAUGAAUAUGUACAUAGAUAUAAGUGACAUGUAUGUAAUGUUUUUGUCUUUGUCAGGUCACGGUGACACGUGAAGAAUUGGCCGAAGCCCCUGCUAUACCUGAAAAUGAAGGGCCUGUUCAAAGAACCGAAGGUGGAAGACAGCCAGCUGCAAGAUUGGCUAAAACAACUGGAGGGCCAGUUAAGUCGACUGUUCUUCAGCAGCAACAAAGAAAAAAAUACCCGGUCAGUUAAAUGAUUUGAGUUUACUUUUCAUUUAUGUUCUAAUAUGGCCUGAUGUUAUAUUUAUGAUGUCCUUUGCCUUUUUCUCAGUUCGAAGAAGACAAGCUAGAGCUCAGCUGCUAAUAGAGGGCCUAACUAAAGGGCCACCACAAGAUCCAUCACCAAGGUCAUCACAAAGGCCACUAGAAGGGUCAUCACAAGGGCCACCACCAAAGCCUACCGAAGGUGUCACUGAAGCUGAAGGCGUAACUAGAAAAACAACUAGAAGAAAGCCAAAGCCAAAUCAAGAGCCACCUAUAAGAAGGCCAUCUACAAGAUGCCUAGCUGAAGAAUUGGCCGAAGAAGUCCCUUCUGUAGCUGAAUAGCCACAAGAGCCGAAGAAAUCACAUGCGAGAAGAAGAGGCAACCAAUCACAAGUACCUGAAAGUGACGCUCCCCUUCGAACAAGAGGGGCUCUUGGGAAGAGGCUUAAACAAUAUGGUUAUGGCCUUUAUACAGAUGACCGUUCUGGAACAGUUAUUCUUAAUGUAAGUUUUAUAAGCUGCAUUUAAUUUAAUUUAUAGUGCAAACUUUUGUUGAUAAUUGAGUUUUCUUUUUGAAGCCUGGGAGAAGUUCAGAGGUUCUUAUCUCUCAAGGCCGAACUCAAGAAUCAACGGCUGCGCCAACAAAGAAGAAGACAUUGCCUGCGCCAACAAGAAAGAAGAGUGAGAAGAACCCAGUUGCAGGUCCAUCCGAAUCAGUUCAGCCUACAAUAGUUGCAGCUCCUUCUGAAUCAGUUCAGCCUAGGACAAUUGCAGCUCCAUCAGACUCAACGCAUCCGAAGACAGCUGAAGAAGAAGUCUCACGUCCAGUUAGAAAAAGUGCAAGGAUUAUGAAUCAAGUGCGAAGUCCAUCAAAACGAGCACGAACAGGAGGCAUUGUGCAUAUUGAUUGAUGAAAUGGGAUGUGAUAUGGUUUAUGGGGCUGAGGAGUCAGUUGUAAACAUCUGUGGAUGUUUUUUUUUUUUUUUUAUAAUAGUUUGUCGUUGAGUUAGUUGAGUUUGUGAGACUUCAGUCAUUGAGUUUGUGAGACAGAUGUUCAAAAUCAAUGGAACAACCGUUGUUGCUUAUCAUUUUUGGCAUGCCUUUUUCUUUUUUCUUUUUUGAUUUUGUUUUUUCCUUUACUUAUUGCUACUUCUGGUGGUGGAUAUGUUGUGGUGACUGGGGUGCUCGUGUGGCUGGUGGUGGCUGGUGGUGAAAAGCCUGGUGGUGGUGGGUUGGGUUGGAGGUUUUUGCUGCACCUGGUGCAAGAUGUAUGUGCAAUAUGCACAGCUUACACCAGGUAGUGCUGGUGCAAGCUGGUGUAAGACACCUUACACUUGCAACUUAUGUAGCAACAUACCACCAGCAUAGUGGUGGCUGGUGGCUCAAAUGGAUGCUUGGGAUGCCUGGUGGUGAUGAUGGCUGGAGAUGGUGGCCAGUGGUGAGCGGUGGUGGUGGCUGGUAGUAGCCGAUGUGUACAAAAAAAAAUGCCACUUAACUGAUCACAUUCUAAAAAACCUAGCACUUAAGUAUUCACUUUUAACAACAAGUGACACUCAAGUGAUCCUUUUUAAUAAUAACUUGAUACUUAAAUGACUCUUUGUCUAUCACGACUGGCACUUAAGUGAUCACUAGAUACAAUUUAUAGUACUCCAGUAAUCACUCGUGUCUGUUCUAUGUAUAUGGUGGUUUGUAGCAAAACAGAGAAGCUGCUGGUUUACACAUUUGCUGCAGGUUUACACAUUUGCUGCUGAUUUACAUUCCAUUCAAGUAAAAAUAGUCACCACAACACAUCGACCUAAUAUACAUUCCAUCAUCACUGAUUUAUAUUUGAGAAUAAGCAAAAAUUGUUGAAAUCAUUCAUUCAUUCAUUCAAAACAAGUACAUUUCCCGACACAUUUACAACUAUGGCAGUUGAAGAAACUUCUUCUCAUCUUCCAGUCCUUUACAUUUCAUCAUAAAGUAGGAUAGACAAAGAAACAACAACACAAUAAACGCUUGGUAACACUUCCGUUCAUUUUUCAUUUUUGAAACUUCGUUCUUCAAAUGGUUGACAGAAGAUGCUUGAGCUUGAGCUUGCAUUGAGUCAACAUCGUCCAAGUCGUCCACAAGCGUAGAUGGAGGUUGAUGACAUCCAUCAAGUAGGUCCAAUAUUACCUCUGUGGCUCGGUGAGAGAAUUUCGUAUCGACCCAUUUGAAGUAUUUGCACUUCGAGCCUUCUCUGUAUCGGGCACAUCCAUAGAAUCUUCUCCCGGGAUUCGUUCGAGUCCACGAUGUUCUUCUUGGACUUGGUAACCCACAGAAACAGAAAUGCUCGCCUUCUCCUUCGCUUCGGCGAGAGAAAUUUGAGCCGCUGCUGAAAGUCUUGCUCUCCAUUUCCAAUAUUCGGUGGUAGAAUUUGGGGCAAAUCGAAUUAGGGUGCAGGAUUAGGGCUCCAGCGCUUCAAUAGCAUUUUGCCCGAUUUAGGGUUUUAGAUUUAGGGCAAAUGGGGAAGACGACGGCGUUUUCGCUGAAAUAAAGGGUCUAUUUUGGGCGAACACCCGGAACGACGUCGUUUGGGGUUAAUUCGAGCUGACUCAGCUCUCCGGCGAGACACAUUGGCGAGAGAUAUUAAUAUUUUAAUGCCACGUAUGAUUUCCGGCCAGCUUCGCCGGAGAUGGCACUCAGGUGUCCCACUUUUCUUAAAAUUUGGCACUUAAGUGUACCUUUCGUAAGUUAUGGCACUUAAGUGUCCCUUUGGGCAAAGUUAUGGCACUUGAAGCGUUCUUUUGCCGAUUCAUGCUCCUUAGGCUCCUUAUCCAGGUCCUGAAAUGGUUAUUCAAUAACCACUAAGACAACGUCUCAGCAAGUUCUACCUCCUAAGACCCGAUUAGUAAACUAAUACACCUUAGGGCUGCCUACGCACAACAUGAGUCAGAGGACUUACCUUAGCCUCAGAUUUCACCUGCAUAUUAGUACAAAUCGAAUAGGCACACAAGCAAUCACAUCACAGAUCGAAGCAUCGAUCUAAUCAACUUAGUCGAUUUCAUAUCAGGAAGACCACUCACGAUCAUCUCCCUUCAAUCAUUCAAUUCACAACAUCAAACCAAGGCAAUGAAUCACAUUAAGUCACACUCAGAUCGAUUCAUCGAUCAAUCGACCUAGUCGAUUACAAGCCAGUCGAAUCAUUUCUAGGUCAUUCAUCCCACACCAAGCAAUUCCUUGGAUUUAAUGGCUUUACGGUCCCACUCGACCUUUCCAAGAUUUAGUGGCUUUAUGGUCCCACCCAACCUUUCCAAGAUUUAGUGGCUUUAUGGUCCCACCCGACCUUUUCAAGAUUUAGUGGCUUUAUGGUCCCACCCGACCCUCUCAUGAUUUAGUGGCUUUACGGUCCCACCUGACAUUUCCAAGAUUUAGUGGCUUUAUGGUCCCACCCGACCUUUUCAAGAUUUAGUGGCUUUAUGGUCCCACCCGACCCUCUCAUGAUCUAGUGGUUUUACAGUCCCACCCGACCUUUCCAAGAUUUAGUGGCUUUAUGGUCCCACCCGACCCUUUUUACAAUGCCAUACUAUGUCAUCGAGCCAUGUGCAUUCUCCAGGAAGACAUACCGAGUCUUCGAGCCACGUGCAUUCUCUAAGACUACCUUUUCGCCAAGAUGACAUAUCUAAUCAUCGAGCCACGUGUCUUUCCCAAGUAACAUUCCAAUUCACUGGGCCACGUGCAUUCUCCGGGUGAUUUACCAACUCACUUUCGAUACUAACAACCGAUACCCGACCAAUUCUCAAUCACAAGGCCAAAAUUUCAUUAUUUAAUAACAUAACUCAAAAAUGCACCAUUAAAUCAAUUCGACACGAAUUAAAGCUCAAAUAAAUAAACGGACUGCUCCAUGAUAAUCAGCACGAAAUUCCGGUCACCGCCAUCCCGGUUGAAUUUCCGGAAAAUAAAUAAUUAAAUAAUUAAUUUCGAAAAUUAAUAAAUAAACAUAAUAAUUCCAAUUUAGCACAAUAUGAAGCUCAAUUAAAUAAACGGACUGCGCCACGAUCAUCAGCAUAAAAUCCCGGUCACUGACCAUCCCAGUUGAAUUUCUGAGAAAUAAAUAAUUAAAUAAUUAAUUUCGAAAAUUAAAAUUUAAUUCUUAAAAAUUCCACAUAGGCCCGAUUUGCUUAAUUAACACCCGAUAAGGGACAGGAAAAUUCCCAAGAAGCUUCCAAAAAAUACUAUAGGCAAUUCUCUAUCUAAUUACACUAAUCACACAACUAAUAUGCAAAGCCAUUAACUAAAAAUCACUAAUCAAUUCUAAUCUAACCACAUAAUUACACUUAAUUAACACUAAUCAACCUUUAAGUAUAAUUAGCACACUAAGAAGGCAUUAGUGAGUAAAACUCACUCAAAACGACGGGCUCAACGCGAGGAUCAACUUUCCUCAAAGCGGGCCGAGCAUCCGGGCUCGAGAAGGCGGCCAAAACGGGCCACGAAGGUGCUACCAUACCCAUUUCUGCACUCUCUGUGCGCUGCUGGUUGGGGGCGAAGGAGGGCGGAUCCGAAGCUGGGUUGGGUCGGAAAUGGACGGAGGGGCCGAACCAAACCUGGGCAGGGCUUCACGGUGGCCGGAGGUGGGCUGAACAGCUUCGGCGGAGCUCCACCAAGUCUGAAAUGUCGUUGGAACAGAGGGCUGAGCGAGGGGGAGGCCGAGGCAGGCAGAGCACGGGACGGCAGCUCAGUGAUGGUGGUGGACGGCGGAACGGCGGUGUGCGGUCCAACGGCGUGCGACGGCGACAGGUGGUGCUGCUGGCUGCUCUUUCGGCUUCCCUGAUCUGCUGGGUUUCGAACAACCCAAAGAAGAAGAAGAAGAAUUCCACGGCAGUAGCAGGGAAAGAGGAAAGCGAAGGGUGUGUGCGCAGCGGCGGCGUGCGGCGUGAGGCGGCGAUGACGGUCUUGGCUCCGAUGCGGCUGCAGCUCCUUCAACGCUGCUGGUCUCUAUUUCUGCUUCUGCUUUGUUCGAACAAGAGGGGCGGAAGAGAGAGGGUAUCGAGAGAGUGAGAGCAAGUACCGAGAGAGAGAUAGAUGAAGACAAGAGAGAGAGGAUAAGUUUGAAAAGUCAAAAAGUAAAAGAAAGGAGAAGCAAAGUUGAAGACAGCAAGAGGCCAGUCGGUGGAGGGGGUUCACACACGAGGGAAAAAGAAUAAGAGGGAGAGAGAGAGAGAGAGAAAGAAAGAGAGAAAAGCGGGAAAAAGAGUGUUUAGCCAAAAGGGGAAAAAGAAAUGGGAAGAAAAAGAAUUUCCUCAAAAUACAAAAAUUCUUAUCCCAAUUUCUUUUGAAUUAGCUCAUUUAAUCUCAAAAGAAUUUCCAAGCUAGAGUUCUUGGUCCCCUCUUGCAUUUCUGCAUACAAUUUCCCUCUUGAAUUUCUCUCAAAUAACUCUCAAAAUCAAUUGAUGUCUUACUUAUCAAAUUGAUUAUUUUCCUCAUCCAAGAAUUCCCUCAUGCUUCUCAAUUUCACAAUCUCUGGCUUCAACUGAACGAAAACGGCUCUAUUUAUCCAGUCGAAAUUAGAAUCCAAAAAUCUGGAUGUCACAAGGAAGGCGCACUCCCAAAGCACUGAGAGGUACGGUUUUGAGGAUAUGGUUGCUUAUGCUCUUACCAUAGGCUCUAGCGAUCCAAGCUCCUACCAUGAAGCUUUGAAAAGUGAUCACAAAGAAAAGUGGAUGACCACAAUGAUGGAGGAGAUGGAGUCGUUACAAAAGAAUGAGACAUGGGAACUUGUGAAGAAGCCCAAGGAUCAGAAUGUCAUUGGUUGCAAAUAGGUUCUUCAAAGAAAGGAAGUAGCAACGAAGAAAGAGCAAGAGAGAUCAAGGCCCGACUUAUUACUAAGGGCUAUGCACAGAAGGAGGGGAUUGAUUACGACGAGAUAUUUUCCCCGGUUGUAAAACACACAUCAAUUCGUUUUUUACUAGCUAUGGUAGCCAUGUAUGACUUGGAGCUUGAGUAGCUAGAUGUGAAGACGGCAUUCCUUCAUGGUGACUUGGAGGAGAAAAUUUAUAUGGAGCAGCUUGAAGGCUUCAAGGUGGAAGGAAAAGAGGAUCAUGUUUGUUUGCUCAAGAGAUCACUUUACAGUUUGAAGCAAUCUUCGAGGCAAUGGAAUAAAAGGUUUGAUUCUUUUAUGCUUCGUAUUGGCUACAUGAGGAGUGUGCAUGAUUCUUGUGUCUACUACAAAGUUUUGGAUGAUAAGUCGCUUAUUCUGUUGAUGCUCUAUGUUGAUGAUAUGUUAAUUGUUGUAAUAAAAAUGAGAGACAUUAAUUCCUUAAAGUCUCAGUUAAGUAGUGAGUUUGAUAUGAAGGAUCUUGCUGCUGCAAAGAGGAUCAUUGGCAUGGAAAUCUUUCAAGAUAGACAUGCAAGUAAGCUUUGGGUAAAUCAAAAGAAGUAUGUUGAGAAGGUCUUGGAGCGGUUCAACAUGGGUAAAGCUAAACCGGUUAGUACACCCUUAGCAAAUCACUUCAAAUUAUCUAAGAAACAAUGCCCUAUUUCACACGAGGAAGUUGUAAAGAUGUCUCGAGUACCCUAUGCUAGUGCAGUAGGGAGCCUCAUGUAUGCUAUGGUUUGUAGCAGACCGGAUUUGGCUCAUGCGGUGAGUCUCAUCAACCGAUACAUGAGCAAUCCGGGUAAGGAGCAUUGGGAAGCUAUUAAGUGGAUCUUUCAUUAUUUGGCUAGAAUUGCCGGAAUGGGUUUAAUGUUCAGUUCCAAUGGAGGAUCAAUCGAUUUGGUAGGUUAUGUUGAUUCGGACUACACUGGUGAUUUGGACAAGCGAAGGUCCAUCAUGGGAUAUGUCUUUACUCUUGGUGGUGGAGCUAUUUCAUGGAAAGCAAUGCUUCAACCUACUGUAGCAUUGUCUACAACCGAAGCUGAGUAUAUGGCAGUAACUGAGGCUGCGAAGGAGGGAAUAUGGCUGAUUGGUUUGGUCACAGAGUUGGGUAUAAAGCAAGAAAGUGCUACAUUAUAUUGCGAUAGCCAAAGCGCAAUAUGUCUUGCGAAUAAUCAAGCGUUCCAUUCUAGAACGAAAAACAUUGAAGUUCGGUACUGCAAAAUUCGAGAAUUUGUGGAGAAUGGGAGCAUUGCUUUGAAGAUAAUCCAUACUAAAGAUAAUCCCACAGAUAUGCUCACGAAGACGGUUACUUCAGAGAAGUUCAAGUCCUACAGGGACUUGAUUUCUCGCACUCAUCAUUGAAAUUGAUGGAGACCGCACCAAUCCAGGUGCAGGCGUACCUUUGCGAAGGUACAGUGGAGGGAGAGAUAUAUCCGUUUUCUUAGUUCAAGUGGAGGCUUGUGGUUUAUUCAAGCCAAAGUUGGAGAUUUGUUGAUGUUGUCUUGAAUUCCACAAUAUUCAAUCGGGAUAUUUAGGAAGGCUUGAAGAUUGCAGGCUAUUUGUUUACUAAUAUAUUUCCUAGAUUUGGGUUUCAAAUUUGAUAAUAUCUUUAUGGUGGAAUUCCUUUCCUACUUGGUUUAGGAAAGUGGGGAUCUAAAGAUCUAUUUAUUUCAGCAUUGUACCUUGUACUCUUGACAUAUGCUCAAAUAAGAAAUUGUCUCUCUCUCUCUCCUGUGGACGUAGGUGGAUCUUUUGCCGAACCACGUAAAUCUUUGUGUUCUUGAUUACUCUUGUUUACUUUUCUCAUUUAGUUAGGGUGUUCUUCCGCACAACAUCAUCCCACAAUAACUCAAAAUUACCGAGCACUAUAUCCAUCUUUAUACAACAAAUAUGUCAUCACUUCCCUACACAAGUAUAUGUCGAUUACUCUUACCAUAGUACAUGAGUUUCACAAAACCAAAUGAGACAUUAGUACUACUCACCUGGGGAUGCCCCAAAAUCAAAUGUGUAUUAUUUGAUCCUUCUAUCUCGCGAUCCUAUCAAAUAAGCGAGAAUCAACAUUAAAUUUAGGUAGCACGCCACGUCAACCACGAAACGGCUAUAUUAUGGCUAAAUGUUAACAAAACAAUUCCUAUGCGCUAAUAAAUCACAUACUCAAAAUAAUUAUUCAACAUGUUCGUAAUGUGACACUUGAGCUUAAAACUUAGUUACGCUAUAACUUUCUUUAUUGAACCUUGUUCCAAACAUACUUAUUGUCAAUAGAAAUUCCUUCUAACAUACUAUAAUAAUCCCAACUUAAUCGUCCCAAAAUCAAAUCGAAAACUAACAAAAUAAGGGCCCAAAGCUACUGGACGCACAUUGUUCACUACACUCGGGAAACUUCGAAAUUUUGUUUCGAGCAAACCAUAAGUUCAAAUCACGAUUCGUAAAAUCCCACGGCUCCACAACAACCUAAACUAUCAUUUCUACAAAAAUACGCGGCUCAAUGACUCCAAAAUCGGAUUUCGCCACUCUAUUUUCCAAAAAUUCCGAAUUGGAGCCCUAAACCUGUAAAUUACUUCUAUUGGAUGCAUAAGGGGCCUAAUCUCUUACCAGGUGCUGCGUUAUAAAGUUGAGUCAGCUUGGCGAGGCAUCCGUGGCAUGUACAUGCCAAAACCCCUUUUCAUUUCCUCCCUCUUCUUCUUCUUCUUCUUCUUCUUCUUCUUUUCUCUUUUUGGUCGAGGGAGCUCUCAGCUACUUUUUAGCUGAGCCCCCUCCCCUCUCCUUUUUACUUUAUUGACUUUUCAACUUAUUUUUCUUUUUCUUCUUUUGGGCCCCACUAGCCAAAUAUUACAUCCAUGUUCUAUCAUGGCUCCGGAUACUUGAACGAAUAGCGGAAUUGUAGCAACCAGGCGGACACGCUCGAAAGUCUAGAGAUCCGACUACUAAGAAUUCCGGCACUGUUGGCCAUCACUGCUUCAAUGCUAGUCUUUGGGCUAUUCAGGCGACGAUGUGGCAGCUGGGCAUUGGCAUUAGUCGCAUCUGGGGCCAAUGUCCUUUCACCUGCUAUCAUCGCAUACACGCUUGGCCCCAUCCAAAGUGCAUCUUUCAGCAGUCCGUAUUUCCCUGUGUGGGCAGCAUAUCUUGUGGUGGUUCUCAGAAGCGUGGAUUCCUACACUGUGCACAGCAUUGAAGCAAUGAACAGUGGAAGUCAUUUAAUCUCGACUCCACUGCUAAAUGUUUCAUGACAAGUUGGAUGAUCGCUUCAUACGUUACCCAGUCAAUGUCAACAUUGUGCAUAGUGCUUCUUUUCAUCAUUCUACUCAUGAAAGUCGACAAAAGAGCAUGGGCUUAAUGUUGGCAAGCAAUUCUGUGAUGGAGAAGAAAUACAAGUUAAUAGCAAACUACAUGAGCAUCGAGCACCAAUGCAUCGAUUCAGGCGAGAUCCUAACUCACAUGAAUCAAUCGACAAGGAAGGAGAUUUCUUUCACUCUCAACUUACUUGGAUAAAGGGCAUAAUCAAGGCCAAAUCGGGGUGGGUGCCCACCAAGAUAGGUAGAUUUUAUCAAUUUGGUUUUUUUUUUUUCCCUUUCUAAAAAACCUUUUUGCUAUGAAGAGCAAAGUCGAGGCAGCUGAGAGAGGUAGAUUCAACACUCAUUGUUAGGUCUAGAAAUUGUCUAAAUAUAAUCUUUUUUCCUUUCGCUUAAAGCGAGUUGGAGGAUGGAAGCUCCCUUUUUGCAAACUCCCCAAUCAUAUGAUCUAGUGGUAAGUUAGAUAAAUGAGGCAUUAGGUGUAAUUGUCACUUCGACGUAGGAUGUCACCCAGCAUGCCAGUGUGGCGCUUAGCAGCAUAUCAAUAGCCGUUUAUUUUUCUAAGGGCGGAAUCAAUAUAAAAGAAAAAAAUACACGGUUCAAGAAUUCAAUUGGACAAAAAGAAACUCAAGAAAUUGAUGUAAUUUAGAGAGUAAUGUACAUUUAUCACUUUUUUUAUACUUUUUUUUUGGGGUCAAAACUUUUCUUUUUUAACUCGAUAGCUUCAUUUGCAGGUGCAAUUAAACGAAAUUUUUUCAAGGUAUUCACUUCAAAAGUAAAUCAUUUUGGGCUGCGUUUUUCUCCAUCACUAAACCUUUGAUUGAUGAGUUAGAAACAUGGACCUCCGUUACAUUUUUUUAGUUAAAUUUGCAUAUGACAAUGUCCAUGUUAAUAUAACUUAUAGGUCAAAGGUUUGGUUUGAGGACAAGAAAAAUAUGACCCAUUCUUUAUUGGUUUUUCAAGACUUAUCACAACAAUCAAUCCCAAUUUUCGUGUAGGUGCCGUACAUUCGUCCCCUCUUCACAAUAAAAGAAGUAUAAAGAUCCUUCCUCUUCUUCAUCAACGCGUGCAUGUUAUUAGCAGAAGGCCAUAAAAUAGGAAAGAAACAAAAAAAAACAGAGAUGGUAGGUCUCGUUAACAAGUUCCUGCAGAAGCUCGAGGAGCGCUGCUAACUGAUGAGCGACAAAGAUAUUGAGAUCCAAAUGGCAAAAAUUGAUGCACUGCUGGCCAUCACUGCUGUAACCUCUGUCUUUCUUGGGGUCUCCUGGUCAUUCAGGCAAUGCUGCGGCAACCGCGCAUUCGUGAUGGUCGCAUUUGCGGCCUAUACCCUUAGGCCUGCUGUCAUUGUGUAUACGCUUGGCCUUAUCCAAACCGCUCAAUUCUGUAGUUGGAGUUUGCCUAUCUGGGCGACUUAUUUGAUGGUGUUUCUUGGAAACGCGGAUUCCUACACUGCUCACAGCAUGGGGGACAUUGAGAGGUGGAAGUCAUUUAAAGUCGACUCUGCUGCUAAAUUUAUCCUGACAAGUUGGAUGAUCGUUUCAUAUGUGUGCCUGUACACUGACCUCCUGUCCAGGGCAAUACUGGGCGUUCUUUUCGUCAUUCUAUUCAUGAAAUUUGACGGAAGAGCACAAGCUUUGAAAUUGGCAAGCAAUUCUAUGAUGCAGAAGAACGACAGGUACAUAGCAGAUUACAUGAGCACCGAGCACCAAUGGAGAGAUUCAAGUGACGAAGAUCCUGCUACAAUGCGUACGUAUAGGUACUAGGUGAGAGGGGCAGAAGAGGCAAAAGUGCACUCAUUGUGCUCAAUAGCGAAGUGGAGGCGAAAGGCAGCUCCGUGGCGUGAUGGGGAUGCACCGGACUAUCGACAACUGUUGGAGGUGACGGAUGAAGUUAUCACCGUCGAGCAGGUUUGGAAUUGCAAAGGUAGACUUUUAAGUGUAAGCGGAGGAGACUCGGAUGGCCGACUCAAGGAUCUUUGCCUAUCUUUUUCACUCUUCAAGUUCAUUCGCCUGAGAUUCACUAGCUAUUCGUUGCCCAAAGAAGCUCACAACAAGUUAUGGCGCUUAAUUCAACAUAUGCUUUCUGAAGAGAAUGGUUAUGAGCAAGUUUUCCGAGUCAUCGAAGUAGAACUUGCAAUUCUUUUCGAUUUAUUCUACACCAAACACCCAGUGAAUCUCCAUCGGCCUCCUAUUGUGUAUAGAUUGCUUCUGCUUCCCGUUGUGGUUGCUAUCCCUGUGCUUUUUCUCUACUUUGCAAUUUCCAGCAAGUUGGUGCUAAUGGCUGUUGAAUACGCCUUGUUAAUGAUGUCGAUCCUCGUUGUCGAGCUUACAUAGUUUGGCAUCAUGAUUUUCUCGGAAUGGGCAAAGGUCACAUACAUAUGCAACUAUGUACGAAAUGAGUUGUGGCAAACGAACAUAUGUGCUGGGAAGUUGAUCGAGAUUUUGUGCCUAGUUUCGUUAGUGAAGCCUUUGGGAAGAGAAUUGCGUCAAUACUCGCUCCUCAAAUCGUAUAGCUAUUCUCCACCGAAGUGGAUAUAUAAUCGACUCACUGCUGCUUAUCUUGACUAGAAAAUAAACGGCCAGAAACAAAUUGCUCCGACCAAUUUGUCUAAGCAAGUGAAGAAGGCGAUUGCUCGGUCUCUAGGAAGGAUUUACCAGCAAUUUGGAGAAGGGACAAGCGUCUAUGAGGCGCAACGACUUGUCCGAUGAGCUUUCAUGGGCAUGUGAUCUUGAGACAACUACUCAUGUUAUACUGGUCUGGCACAUAGCAACCACUUUCUGCGAGCAUAAAGUGGCUUGUGCUCAACUUUCACAAGAACAAAGAGACAACUUUGACAUAGCGACUAAGCUAUCGCAAUAUCUUGCUUACUUGGUUGUUUUUGCCCCUAGGUUGCUCCUUGGUCACCCUUGCAGGACCGAAUACAUUUUUGCUCGUGCUAUCAGUGAAGCCAGAGAAAAAUUGGGAGGUUCCUCAGUUUCAAUGGAAGAGAGGAUUCAAAAGCUAAAGAUGGGCAUUGACAACGAACAAUGCCAGGAAAUGAUUGUGGCUCGAGGUGCACGGCUGGAAUGCAGCUUGUGAAUGGAGUAAAGGGUGAGGGGCGAAUUUGGAAGGUCUUGGCUGACUUUUGGGCGGAUAUGAUGCUAUAUGUGGCUCCUUCAAAUGAUACGGCGGCUCAUGCUAAGUAUCUCACCACCGGGGGCGAGUUUGUGACUCACGUUUGGGUUUUGGUCUCUCACACGGGCAUUACGAGAGAUCCAUCUGGUGGUGAGUAACAUGAAGAUCCAGAGAGGAGCUGAACUUGGCCUCAUUUUAUGAUAUUAUGCCUAAUCAACUGUGUAAAAUGUCUAUAUGGUUGUGUAUGUUUGUAGUAGUCCCGUUGUCUUACAUCCAUCCCUGGUCAGAUUCUAGAAAAAAAUUUCGUGUAUGAUGCAUGACCUCUUCCUUUAUGUGGUGUAAUGUGUUGCUUUAUCAAG